UUUCUGUUCCGGUGAAUUUCAGGCGCUCCAUAUGUCCACUUUUUAGCAAAGGUUAUGCCGAAAUUUCCUGUGAAUUUUGGCAUGACUUGUGCUAGAAAGUAGGCAUAUCGAGUGCCGGGAUUUACUGGCAAACGGCAUUCCGGCAAACCAUAGACCUUUUUUUAUGUCAUUUCUCAUUUUAUUAUAGUUUUAGAAUUAAACGAGGAGACUUAAUCAUAGGAAACAUGUCGAACAACGAAGAAACCGGCCUUCUGACCAAGAUGCAGACGAGAUGGAUUAUGAGGGUGAACAACAGUACAUUGACUUUUUGUCUGCUAAGCACAAUCAAGGUUUGCAGGUCGGCCUUGAUGAUGGUACCGACACCGACAUCGAUACCGACGGUGCCGGCACCAAUGGCGGCACCGAGAUCGGCAGGGAAGGUACCGACGGGGAAGAUACCUGCGGGGAAGGUACCAGCACCGAUGCCGCUACCAAAAGGAAGAAGCAGAAGAAGCAGAGGAUACGAAAACCUAACAAACUCGGCAUCGGACGACUAGUGAUCACAAAGAUGGCCCUUGGCAAGUUUGAGCCAUUAGAGCUGGAAGAACCUCGCAAGUGCUAUGGGAACCAAGUAGGAUGCAUCCUAUGGGAAUGUGCGAGCAUCAACGACAAUGACUUAAGGAGUAAAGAACAUUUGAGGCAGUUGCUCCUGACAAAGUUGCACGGGAGAUUCAAGUUCCCCGACCGGGAUGAUAGCAUAGAACAACCGUGGGAUGAUCCAAAGAUGAAAAAUAUUAACAAUCACGCCAUGGGCAUGUUCAACAAUGAUCUGGCCUCCUGGAAAGGGAGGGUGAAACGAGCUAUUGAGGCUGAGGAACCCCCGUCCAAGAUUCUGGAGGAAAAUUCGACACUUAUGGAAGAGGAGUUCGAAAAGUUCAAGGACACUUGCACUACCGAGGCAGCCAAGGCUAAGGCUGCGAAAUUUAAGAGCCUUUAGCAAAGCAACACGGGGAAUCAUCGCCUCUGAAGCCGUGGCUACCUUGGCAAAAGGCCCAUAUGGGAUAAGGAGGACGCAGAACGUGAAGCCGCGGGUCUCCCAGACCCCUUUGUGAAGUUCGCCAACCCCUUGGAGCGUGACUUCAUCAGGGCCCACUACAAGUGGGACAAGGAAAAGAAGGUUUUUUACACGGACCAGAUCACGAGGAAAUUGAUUAGAAUAUUGGUAAUUAUUCUUUUACCACAUUACAUUUAUCUUUUGAUCAAGUCGACUACACAUUCGUAAAUGGUUCACGUUCCUUCUGCAUGAGAAGCAACACUAGCUUGCAGCCGAAAGACCUACUUCGCCGAUGAGGCCAAGUGGGACACCCCUCUCAACUGGGCCUUGAACGAACUUAAGGGACUCCUUUGGACCAGCAGCCGCAAUAUGGACGUGUGCACGACAUCGGAGACAAUGCCGCAUGGAAGGCUUUUUACAACGAGGGCCCGGAGGCCAAGAGGCAGAAAAAGAAGUUUAGUAAGGCAGACAUCGAUGAGAAGGUGAAGCUUGCGUUCAAGAAAAAAGCAGCCGAGGAGAAAAAUGAGUUGCUACAGCAGGCAGUCGAUGCAGCUGUGCAUGCUUGCAGAAAUGAUUUUGCUACUAAGUUGAUCCCGGCUAUCAUCAACUAGACGAAGGAAAAUCCAGACAAGACGGUAGAUGAUUUCCGCAUGCCCAGUUUCGUUGGGAGCAACUCGGUGAACAACACCACCGCACCAUCACCUGCUCACCCAACCGGGCCUGCUCCCGAACCCGCACCCGCUCAUAGCAGCCCGUCCUCAGUCUCUGGUGCACUAGGCAGGCCUUCGUCUUUGGCUGAGCUCGACACCCUCACGGUAAUUACAUGUUGCACCAACAUAUAUCUAGAAUAUUCCAUUUUCAUUGCCUUUCGGAUAUUUUAUGCCGCAAACAUGUGUUUGCAAGCCGACGAAACCCCGUGCACCGUACUCUACUUGAUCAAAGGCCAGAAGGUGGACGUGGAAAAGGGGGUGAUAAUGAAGCCCUUGGAACUCAUGUUCCACGGCCAGCUGAUGCCCCAUGGGCACUUCAGGGUUACCUUGUCGAGUGUAAAAUCGAGGCACGAGGAUUUGCCUCCUCUAGUACGGCUAGGGGGAGAGGACUACGAGACCCCACUGUGGACUAGAAGCUGCAAGGGUUGGGUGCUGCUAUGGCUGAAUAAUCUUCUUCCUUUGGAGUCGGCCGAGAGCACACCAAUAACCACACAUCAACAAGUAGGUAUGGACACCACCACCCCACCUAUGCAAUUACCAGUGCCUGUAGUGCCGGGUGAGAGCGGCGGACGACGUGAUGAAGGGGGUCCAAUAGUGGCUGAUGUAAUCGCCCCCAUAUAACAAAUAAUGGAUGAUGAGAUGGAGGAAGACCUCUUCGGUUCCUCAAUACAGGCGCCUAUGAUGGUGAGUUAGAUAUGAUGAGUCAACCAUAUGAUGACUUGGGCUAUCAGCAUGCUGAUGAGGAUAUGGAUGAUCUGCCCGGGCAGGAAUGUCCUAGCAGGGUGCAAGAAGUCUCUCUUCAUGCAAUCCUCACAUGACACGCUUGAAGAUGCCGCCUCAACACAGGCUCAACUACCCGGGGGUCAUACAGUGCUUAGCCCGACAACACUGGGGCAGGGGUUAUGGAAGGGCCUGGAAGGUCAGCCCCAGAAAAAGGAGAAGAAGAGACCAGGGAAGAGAGGCUCUGCUGCCUAGAAACAAGCCAGAGCACAUAGCAGCCAGACGGCGGAUUUUGAAGAGCGUGUACCUGUCAAAGGUGCGACCAUGUUCCAUGUCAUGGGCAAGCCGAUGCUACCACAGAAACCGCUGGAGGCAAUAUCAGGGGAUCUCAGGAGACUGCACGACCAUGUUCUGUCGAUUGAGAAAAGCAUAGUAGCCUCAAAGGAUCCAGGAUAUCCGACAUAUGCGGCUCGUGUGCCUAAGGGGAAGCGCUAUGUCGACUCACGGCCCACGGAGGUGUUCUUCCUGUGGUUUGACCAUAUCUUCGAGAUGUUUCUGACAAGGCGGCUCGAUUGUACAAUCGUCCACCUUUUUGCGCUACAUAUGAGCUCUGUCAUGGAGAGAGAAGAAGUCUCGCAAAUCUGUGUGGCGAAUCUAUGCUACAUGCAUGAGUCCUUGAAUCUCGGUGACUUUGAGCGUAAAACUGCUAGGGAGUACCUUGAAAACUUCAUGGUACAGAAUAACGACCAGGAAAUAGUCUUCCUGCCUUAUCAUCCAAAGUAAGUCAGUGCCGGACAACCCUUUCGUACAUUUCAAUCAUUUCUUCUCGCUCAUAUGGAGAAUAAUUUGAGGUGUUUUUUCCCCGCAGCAACGGGCACGCCGUCCUUAUCGUUAUUUACCCGCGAGUCUUCCACGCCGUGUAUUUCGACCCUAUCAGAAACUACGAGAAGAAGGACUACAUCCACAUAAUGAAUAUUCUAGAUGUUGCUCUCCAAGGCUUCAGCUUGAGGGGUGGCCACCUAUAGAUCAGGAAACAAAGGCACAAGAAGACAGGUUUCUCGCAUAAAACUAACUUCUGCUGCAUCCAUGUCCCAAAACCAAGCAAGAACGAUGGAUUCUACCUCCUCCACCUCAUGAUGGAGUUCAGAACAGAUCACCAAAAGCUUCGCAUGACAAGCAGAAACGAUGAACAUAUCCGCGAGUGGGCAGAGUCUCUUGGAGAAGCGGAUUAUAAACUUAGAUAUACUUCUUUCGCAUCCAGAGGGACAUUGCGACGAUCAUCAUGAAAGAAGUCGUCGAUGAGAAGGAGAUGUUCCACCACGGCCCUAUAUCGCGAGCUGGCAUCCGAACUCGCAUAGGCAUAUAACGUUAGAACCUCACGCCGUUCAAGAAGCUAGGGUCCAUCCUCGAUGAUAUGGAAGGAUGGAACUUCUAGUGAUUUUUGAUGUCGACGAUGAAGAUAUUUGUCGGUUGAACUUGUAUAGUUUCUAUAGCGAUGAAACUUUGUGAUGUCCAUGGUCCCUGCCGAACUUGCGUAAUGCUACUUUGUUAGUUUGGGUACGAUGACCUGCGUACCUCUAGUUAAUUAGUUUGCAUACGAUGAAACUGCAUUCAUUAUUUGUAUGUUUACUAUAUGUUGCAUCUAGUUGCUAACCCUUUCUUUUUCGUGUUGCUCAAGUAUAUUUUGUUGCAUGUAUGAUUGUACAUUUUCUUGAUGAAGAUGCAUCUCUAACAGGUACCUAGAUUCUUGAUGGUGAUGAAGCAGUGCUAUGUCGUGUACAAAGGGAAGGUUCCGGGAGUGUACGACGAGUGGCUUGAGUGUCAGGCGCAAGUGGAGGGGGUCUCGGGCGCCAGCCAUAAAGGCUUCAAAAGCAAACAAGAAGUAGAAGCUAGUUACUUGAGGUUCACGCUAGCACGAGAGAGGACUCAUAACCACCGCCUCAUGUACUGCAUAGUUCCGCUCUCACUCAUAGUGAUAUCUCUUUUCGCGUAUAUCAUUGUUUAGAUGGAUGACGAUGUAGUUGCAAGUAUUCAAGACUUGUAUCGCUAUUUUUGAGAUGAUGAUUAUGAUCAUGACAUGAUUUGAUGAGACUAUUUGUAGGUAUAUGCUAUGAUUAUAUUUGUAUGUGUAUGAUAUGCUAGAGAUUAUUGUAUAAAGCCCUAAACAAAAUUCAGCAGCACAAAAUAUGGACCUGAAAAAAAAUCAGAAACUAAUAACAGUAGCGGGGGGUAUGGCUUUAGCAGCAACGAUGUCUUAGCAGUAGCGCUCUUUGUAGUAGGGCGCUAUAGUUAUUUGCAGCAGCGCGUGUUGGAGACGAACGCUACUGCUAUCCCUAGAUAGCAGUAGCGUGGGUCAAAUCACGCUACUAAUAAGCGCUAGCUGUAGCGCUGUAUCAGUAGCGCGGCCACCCGCCCUACUACUAAGCAUUUGAUCCGCACUACUUCUAGGCUUUUCCCUAGUAGUGAAUGUGUAGUAUAUGUCUCGUACCCCUUAAAUUAUUAUUCCCUACCACCGAUUCCCUCGAAACAAACAGACUGUUAGAGGCGCAAAAUCAUCACACCAUGGAUUCCCUUAGUAAGAUACUUGAAUUUCAUGCUGCAGUGAAGGUUGAUUUUUGGACGAAGAAUACAGAGGAUUAGAGGAACUACUAUUGGUCCUAACCUAUCUGCUUUUAUUUUCUACAGAACAAUGGGGAUUCCUAUGCAAAUUCAAACACUUUAAUCAGUAAACCAAUACAUAAAUUGGGCAAUCAAGCAACAAGCUGCGAAUAUGGAUGUGCAAAUCGGGGAACAAAUAUUGAUCCACAUGAUUCUGUAUGUAUAGGGGUACAAUCACACUUGGCAAGAUACACAUUCCCUUAAAUUAAUGCCCUACAAUCAUGGCGAUGAGUUUACAAAACUAACAAUUCUCUGGGAACGUUCCCGCAAGACAAGGUGUGUACAUAAAAGAUGCAUCUAUGUAUGUCGCUUCGACGACAUCUUCAUAACAUGGUCCACACAAGUUUCCCAAUUCUUUUAUGGUAUAAGUAUUAAAAUUUUAGGCUAGUCCCCUUCUGAAUGUUAUGCCGAGGAAUAUAACCUCUUGAUAAGGAUGAAAUCCUAGAAGAGUAGUACAAUUUUGGUAGUGCCUUUCGGCCCAGUCUUCAAUGUUGACAAUAAUGCCACUAUCGGGGUCUCGGUUGAUUUUCUCAUUGCAAUCCCACAUUGCUUGGAUGUUGUGAUCCACAAAAGGUUUUGCACGAUGUAAGGUCCAUGGUCCAUGUUCAUCAUAUUUCAGAGGUGGUAGCACAUAACGACGGUCACCAUCACGUAGAUCACACUUGAGGUGGCAUCACACAACGAAGGUCAGUGCUAUGCUUCAAAACUCACUCCGUUUGACAAUGUGAUUGACUAAGGAACCAAACCUGAAGGACGUUGAUCUUGACAGAUGCGCAGCACACCCCAUGCUCCGAUCUUCCAAGAUAAAUAUUUGGAUAUUUACCCUGUUCCAUAUCUUUAGUUGGUUUGAUCACCCAGUACUUGCGAGUUGACAAUGAUAUGCUUUGAAAGGAAAGUCAUUUUGUUAGACAGACAAUAGUAAAAAAUGCAUGCACGUGAAUAAUAACAUCAUAAUAGAGUGAUCUUUUCUCAAGAAGGAAGUACUUACCCCGUCACAGAAUUAUUUUCACAUUGUGUAUAAAGUGUUCCUUGCCAGUAGGCGGCGUAUCGCUUUUUUGCCGUGAGUCUACCCACAUGCCUGCAACCGUCCCCGCAGCGUCCCCUUCCCGAAGAAAGGUCUUCUCCUCCCAUCAUCCCGUUUGCGAUGAGAAGACAUGAAGGGCGUAUCGUGAUGGUGGCCACUCCGAGCCCUCUAUCUCUGGUUCCUUGAACUUAAUGUAACUUGGAAGGUAACAAAUGCGAGGGACAGCAAAAACUUUGUAGUGCGGAGAUACCACCGGAUCAAACACAAUGUACUUGUUAGUGUAGAAGAAACGUGUUCCCAUCAACGCACCGGGGCAUUUGGGCAAGUGAGCCAACUGUCCUGUGGCAGGGUUAACCACGCUGUCGUGAACUACAAGAAGGCCAUUGCAGUGAUCGCUGACAUAGAUGGUUGGAUCGCGGAGGUGGACCAGCUUGCCGGAGACAGCGUGGUCGAGGUUGGCUGAGGUUGCUGCCCCCCUGGAUGGGCGGGAGAGAAACCGCGACGACCUGAGAUCGUACAAAUUUAGGAUGAUGUUGUCCAUCGAGUGUGGGAGGUCUAGCUGCAACAGGCUGUGCGUGUCGAUGACGUCCCGCCAUGCCUUGCAGACGCAGUGGGGCGCGGCGAGACCAUGUGGAGGAAGUCGGCGGAGGGCGUCCAUGAGCAUGUCUUCAGGCAGCAGCAGCACCGUUGGGUCUUCAUGUUGCUCCAUUGUUUUCAUCCUUGGAGGACCCAGAACCGAUUUUUUUUCUUGGUCCCUCGGAGGCUUUCUCUUGGGAAAUAAUCCAAACGUGGGUGCAGCUACAUACCGGCUAUGCCUUCUCCCCGAUCGCAGAUGUUUCAGGUACCAGAGCCUCGUUGAAUUCAUUAGGCUUAAUCACGAUGUGUACGGCUGUGUCCGAGUAGGAUUUGGGAUGUUCUCUGAUUCGAUUUUUUUUGAAAAGGAGGUCAUCCCCGGCCUCUGCAUCGGAAAGAUGCAUGCAGCCACUUUAUUAGAUCAUGUCCAACAAAAAAAGUCUAUUCUGCAAAGUACAACUCACAAAAGGAGCAUAAGAAAAAGUAAACAACUGAAAGCCACAACCGGUUGGACGAAAGGACACUAAGGACCUAUCUAUUAUGCGACCGCCAUCCAAACUGGUUGAAAAUAGCCCGUGCUACCAUCUCCCACCUGUUGCACCCAGUAUCCAGAAGCUCCCUGGAGGCCGUAGGAGUUAGUAACGACCACGUACGGAUCCAUGCCAUAGCCCUAAAGAUAACCUGCAAGAAGUUAAUCAUAGAUAGUCUGUUAAAAAUCAUAUCAUUCCUGCAGUUCCAUAUAGCCCAAAGAAGUGCGCAUAUUCCAGUCCGAAUAAUAGACGUAAUAUGAGUAGUCACUCCAUUUAGCCACGUCCCAAACAACGCUUCAAUGCUAUCUGGAGGGAUAAUGUUAAAGGCUAUAUGAACAGACCACCAAAGUAACUUCACGAGAGGGCAAUCAAGAAAUACAUGUUCGAUUGUUUCAUCGUGAACACAAAAACAACAGCGCGAACUGCCUACCCAUCUCCACUUUAAUAAGUUAUCUUUGGUAAGGAUCACCUACUUGUGUACAAACCACAUAAAAAUCUUAAUUCGCAAGGGAACCUUAACUCUCCAAAUGUGGAUUGAUCGUGGGAUUGGGCCAGAAUUUAUGAGAUCUAAGUACAUUGAUUUGACCAUGAACUCACCAUUACCCGUUAGCUUCCAAAUCAAAGUAUCUCCCUGAUCUGAGAGUUGAACGCCCAUCAACCUCCUUACUAAGUGUAACCAGGAGUUCCAUUGUUCACCUACUAGAGACCUCCUAAACUGGAUAUUCAAAGGUACCGUCUGCAAAACCAUUGCUACGUAAUCCUCCUUACGUUGAGCAAUAUGAUACAGGGAAGGAUAUCGGAGAGCUAGCGGUGUGUCGCCUAACCAUGUAUCCUCCCAAAACCUUGUUGUUCUUCCAUCCCCAACAAUGAAUUUCACCCUAUGGAAGAAUGUUCUUUCACUCUCAUGAGUCCCUUCCAAAAUGGUGAAUCAUUAGGUCUUACGGUAACCUGGGCAAGAGUUUUAGAGUGAAAAUAUUUAUUUCUAAGGAUUUGUGCCCACAUACCCUCGGAUUCCUGUGAUAACCUGUAUAGCCAUUUGCUCAACAGGCAUUUAUUUUAACCUCAAGGUUCUCGAUCCCAAGACCCCCCUGGUCUUUUGGUCGACAAAUAAUAUCCCAUCUUGCUAGGCGAUACUUUGUCUUAACCUCGUCUGACUGCUAGAAAAAACGAGAUCGAUAGAAGUCUAAUCUCUUGCGUACCCCUUUGGGCACCUCAAAAAAGAUAGAUGGAACAUUGGCAUACUCGUGAGUACCAAAUUUAUCAAUACUAGACAUCCUCCAUAAGACAUAAGCUUACCCUUCCAGCAGCUUAGUUUCUUCUUGAAUCGAUCCUCGAUACAUUUCCAUUCUUUAUAAGUUAAUUUCCUAUGGUGAAUUGGAAUGCCUAGAUAACUGAACGGUAAUGAUCCCAGUUGACAACCGAACAGUUGCUUGUGUUGGGGAACGCAGUAUUUCAAAAAAUAACCUACGAUCACGCAAGAUCUAUCUAGGAGAUGCAUAGCAACGAGAAGGGAGAGUGUGUCUACAUACCCUCGUAGACCGAAAGCGGAAGCGUUUAUCAAUGCGGUUGGUGUAGUCGUACACCUUCCCGAUCCAUCCCGAUCAAGUACCAAACAUACGGCACCUCUGUGUUUAGCACACGUUCAGCUCGAUGAUGUGCUCGCCUUCUUGAUCCAGCAAGAGGGGCGAAGUAGUAGAUGAGUUCCGGCACCACGACGGCGUGGUGACGGUGUUGCUGAAGAACAAUCUCCGCAGGGCUUCGCCUAAGCACUAUGAAAACUAUGAUGUAGAAUGAACUAGAGGGGACGGGGUUGUCGGCACACGGCUUGGUGUUUCUUGAACUCUCUUGGGUGCUAGCCCUGCCCCUCUAUUUAUAUGUUGAGCCUUGGGAUCGAAACUUGGAGUAAAAGUCUCCACAAAGUCGGUUUCACCCGAAAGGCAAGAGUCCUUCUCGGACUCUAGGGCCAGACGCCAGGGUUCCCGGCGUCUGGACCCAGACGCCACGGACCCUGGCGUCUGGCCCCUCGACUCCGCAAAACAUUCUUUUGCGCUUUCCAAAAAUCUUGUGGGCUUUCCCUUUUGGCCCAAAUAAAGUGUUCUCGUACCCAAAUGAUACGUCCAUUUUGCAUCAUGUUUUCUUACUAUUAUUUAUAUUGUUUUUAUCCAUAAUAAUGCUUUUUGGAGUAAUUCUAAUGCAUUUUCUCUCAUAAUUUGCAAGGUACACACCAAGAGGGAGAAUUCUGGUAGCUGGAAAUCUGGACCUGAAAAGGCUACGUCAGGCCACCUAUUCUGCACAACUCCAAACAAGAUGAAACUUUACGAAGAUAUUUUAUGGAAUAUUUAAGAAAUAUUGGAGCAAAUAACUACCAGAAGGGGCUCACCAGGUGGGCACAACCCACCUGGGCGCGCCAGGGAGCCCAGGCGUGCCCUGGUGGGUUGUGCCCUCCUCGGCCCACCUCUGGUGCCCAUCUUCUGGUAUAUAAGUCAUUUUUACCUAGAAAAAGUAAGGAGAAGACUUUCAGGGUGGACCGCGCCGUCUCGAGGCGGAACUUGGGCAGGAGCACUUUUACCCUCCGGCAGAGCUAUUCUGCCGGGGAACUUCCCUCCCGGAGGGGGAAAUCAUCAUCGUCAUCAUCACCAACAACUCUCCCAUCAUGGGGAGGGCAAUCUCCAUCAACAUAUUCAACAACACCAUCUCAUCUUAAACCCUAGUUCAUCCCUUGUGUUCAAUCUUGUUACCAGAUCUAUAGAUUGAUGCUUGUGGGUGACUAGUAGUGUUGAUUACAUCUUGUAAUUGAUUACUAUAUGGUUUAUUUGGUGGAAGAUUAUAUGUUCAGAUCCAUUAUGCAUAUUAAUACUCCUUUGAUCAUGAACAUGUUUAUUAUUUGUGACUAGUUACUUUCGUUCUUGAGGUCACGGGAUAAAUCAUGUUGCAAGUAAUCAUGUGAAUUUAAUAUGUGUUCGAUAUUUUGAUGGUAUGUAUGUUGUGAUUCCCUUAGUGGUGUCAUUUGAACGUCGACUACAUGACACUUCACCAUAUUUGGGCCUAAGGGAAUGCAUUGUGGAGUAGUAAAUAGAUGGUGGGUUGCGAGAGUGACAGAAGCUUAAACCCUAGUUUAUGCGCUAUUUUGAAGGCACCUAUUGGACCCAAAAGUUUAAUGCUAUGGUUAGAAUUCAUUCUUAAUACUUUUCUCGUAGUUGCGGAUGCUUGCGGGAGGGUUAAUCAUAAGUAAGAGGUUUGUUCAAGUAAGAACAGCACUUAAGCACUGGUCCACCCACAUAUCAAAUUAUCAAAGUAGCGAGCACAAAUUAAACCAACAUGAUGAAAGUGACUAGAUGAAAUUCCCGUGUACCCUCAAGAACACUUUGCUUAUCAUAAGAGACCGUUUUGGCCAUUCCUUUGCCUCAAAAGGAUUGGGCUACCUUUCUGCACUUUUGUUACUACCAUCGUUACUUGCUUAUUACAAAUUACCUUGCUAUCAAACUACUCCGCUACUUACAAUUUCAGCACUUGCAGACACUACCUUAUUGAAAUCUACUUGUCAUUUCCUUCUGCUCCUCGUUGGGUUCGAUACUCUUACUUAUCGAAAAGAGCUACAAUUGAUCCCCUAUACUUGUGGGUCAUCAAGGCUAUUUUCUGGCACCGUUGCCGGGGAAUGAAGCACCUUGGUAAGGAAACAUUUAUAUAGUGUGCUGAAAUUUAUUGUCACUUGCUACUAUGGAAAACAAUCCUUUGAGGGGUUUGUUUGGGGUAUCUUCACCUCGUACGGAACCACAAUUAAUUGCCCCUCAACCUAUUGCACCUACUGAAAAUAUUGAAUAUGAAAUCCCUUUGGGUAUGAUAUAACAACAGCUAGCUAAUCCUUAUGCAGGAGAUAGAACCGAACAUCCUGAUAUGCACUUGAUAUAUGUAGAACAAAUUUGUGGAUUGUUCAAGCGUGCAGGUUUACCCGGAGAUGAAGUGAUGAAAAAUGUUUUCCCUUUAUCUUUGAAGGGAAAAGCAUUGGCAUGGUAUAGGCUAUGCGAUGAUAUUGGAUCAUGGAAUUGGAAUCGUUUGAAAUUGGAGUUCCACCAAAAAAUUAUCCUAUGGAUCUAGUUCAUCAUGAUCGAAAUAUUCUAUAUCUAAAUAGAGGCACCCCACUAUGUGAUUUUUCUGCCUUCUCAUGAGGCCACAUCACUUCAAUUGUUAUAGCCAUUGAUUCACUAAUGGUUAGGAGUGUGUAGCCAUCAGAUCAAAGAUUGAGCAAAUUUACUAAGAGCUGUCACCGCUAAGUGAAAUAUCGUUCCGUUAUUCUAUUUUCCAGCCCUAUCGCUAGCUGCCCUUUUUUUCCUGAGACACCGUGCCGCUCGCUCGCUGCUAAGCUUCCAGACUCGACUUUUUUGCUUGGGCUUUAUGCGUAUACUUCACCAAAACUGUACACUAGAAAGUCCAUUGAAAGCCCAUUGGCGACAGCCAUGACCAACCCUUUCUUCCGCGAAGCCGCCGCCACCAGCAUCCUUUCCGGCGACUGUGCGAGCACCCACCCAUCCCCGUCCAUCCGCUGCCGCCCCUCCUGCCCUCCCAGCAGCGGCCACCACCCUGUCUUACCUCCAGCCAGCCGUCCAUGCGAACCCUUUCGCCCUCAUCGCCGACGCUCCAGAGAUGCAUCAUCCAGCUGCUGCCAGCCUGCCACCAUGGAUUCCGCCGCCACGGCUCCUCCUCCCGCCAGUCACCGCAGGUGACCUUACGCCGCCACGCCCAACGGCCCCACUGGCAGUGACCGCCGCUAGACCUUCCGUCGCUGCACACAUGAGCAUUAACUCUAGCAAAUUUGUUCAUAUUCCUCACUUUUAUGUCGCAAUCUUCCACCUCCGUGCCACAAAUGCACAUGAAACGGCCUCGCACCAUGCAAUUUACGGCCCUCAUUAUCUUCUGCUUGAGUAACUGAUGCAGUGGUUUUCCCUUAAAGAGGCAUGUUUCCAUCGUCUCCAUAGCUUCCCCCCAUCGCAUGCUGCUACCGUGAAUACUAUCCGGGAGCAUCUGUAGUCCUCGCCAUCGGCAGCCACCGGUUUCAGUCCCCUCUCCCGUGUAGUACAGAUGCCUUUUGUUGUUUGUGGCAGUACAUAUGCAAAAUUGCGGAUCACCUCCUCACGGUGGCCUUGCACUUGGUAAGCACUAAGAAGGCCGUUAAUUCAAUCCAAUCAUGGAUGGAUAUGUCUUAUCCCUCUUAUUUUUCCUGUAAGAUACAUACUGAAUUAUGUACAACUUCAGGUAUCCAAGUCACGGUAAUUACAUCACAAGUUUUUUCUUUUACCAUGGGCUACUAUAUUGAGUGAUUUCAGAUCCUGAUGCUAUUUGUCGCUUAUAUAGCCUUUUGACUAUGUUCAGAAGCAUACAAUUUCAGUCCUUGAGCCAUAUUCUUAUCUUCACUCACGUUGUUGGUUGUGCUUCCUAACAUACUAUAAUUUUAGGCAACUGCAAUUAACUUAUCUAAAAUUCUAAAUCAUCAUGUGGUGUGUUCAGGACCUGUUGAUGGUGAUGUAGGACACGGCGUCAGGUAUACUCCAAGAUUUUCUGCUAUCAAAUAGAUAAGGCACUGUGUUGCAGUUCAGGAUUGCUAAGAGCCUAAGAAUAUGGUCGACGCUACAAUUACUAUAUAAUUAUAAUUCAAUAUAUAUUUAUACAAAAAAUUACAAUUCCCAUUUCAUUGCAUGUAAAUGAAGUCCAUAUAAUUGCUUGCAAUUGUUAUCAUCUUUAUGACAUGUUUGUUACUCAAAAAAUAUGCAACAAAGUCCUGCAGCAACGCGCGGGGCAUCACCUAGUUAUAUAUAUAAUUUGUGGCCUCGUGAAGGAGAAAGUAUCGCUCUAGCUUGGGGGAGGCUUAAGUCAAUGUUAUAUUCAUGCCCCAAUCAUGAGCUCUCAAGAGAAAUUAUUAUCCAGAAUUUUUAUGCUCGGCUUUCUCGUAAUAAUAAAACCAUGCUGGAUACUUCUUGUGCUGGUUCUUUUAUGAAGAGAACUAUUGAAUUCCGGUGGGAUAUUUUGGAAAGAAUUAAACGCAACUCUGGAGAUUGGGAACUCGACAAAGGUAAAGAGUCAGGUAAAAGCUUAAGUUUGAUUGUGUUAAAUCUUUUAUGGACACCGAUGCUUUUCAAAAGUUUAGCACUAAGUAUGGACUUGACUCUGAGAUAGUAGCAUCCUUUUGUGAAUCAUUUGCUACUCAUGUUGAACUCCCUAAAGAGAAGUGGUUUAAGUAUCACCCACCUAUUAAAGAUGAAAUCAAAGAACCAGUACCCGUUAAAGAAGAAACUAUACUCUAUAAUGUUGAUCCAGUUGUUCCUACUGCUUAUAUUGAGAAACCCCUUUUCCUGUUAGGAUAAAGGAACAUGCUAAAGUCUCAACUAUGGUUAACAAAAGCUAUAUAUGUUAGAACACCUAAACAAGAUGAACAAAUUAGAGUGGAACCUAAUGUUGCUAUGGUUAAAGAUCCCUUGGAAGAAGAUGUUGGGGAACGUAGUAAUUUCAAAAAAAUUCCUACGCACACGCAAGAUCAUGGUGAUGCAUAGCAACAAGAGGGGAGAGUGUGUCCAUGUACCCUCGCAGACCGAAAGCGGAAGCGUUAGAACAAUGCGAUUGAUGUAGUCGUACGUCAUCACGGCCUGACCGAUCAAGCAACGAAACUACGACACCUCCGAGUUCUAGCACACGUUCAGCUCGAUGACGUCCCUCGAACUCCGAUCCAGCCGAGUGUCGAGGGAGAGUUCCGUCAGCACGACGGCGUGGUGACGAUCUUGAUGUUCUACCGUCGCAGGGCUUCGCCUAAGCACCACUACAAUAUUAUCGAGGAGGACUAUCGUGGAGGGGGGCACCGCACCCGGCUAAGAGAUCGAGAGAUCAAUUGUUGUAUCUAGAGGUGCCCCCUGCCCCCGUAUAUAAAGGAGCCAAGGGGGAGGGGGCGGCCAGCCAAGGAGGGGCGUGCCAAGGGGAGUCCUACUCCCACCGGGAGUAGGACUCCCUUCUUUCCUAGUUGGAAUAGGAGAAGGGGGAAGGAGGAGGGAGAGAGGAAGGAAAGGGGGGCGCCGCCCCCCUCUCCUUGUCCUAUUCGGACUAGGGGGGCACGCGGCCCAGCCCUUGCCUCCUCUCCUCCUCUCCACUAGGGCCCAUGUAGGCCCAUUAAGCCCUGGGGGGGGGUUCCGGUAACCUCCCGGUACUCCGGUAAAAUCCUGAUUUCACUCGGAACACUUCCGAUAUCCAAAUAUAGGCUUCCAAUAUAUCAAUCUUCAUGUCUCGGCCAUUUCAAGACUCCUCGGCAUGUCCGUAGUCACAUCCGGGACUCCGAACAAACUUCGGUACAUCAAAACUCAUAAACUCAUAAUAUAACUGUCAUCGAAACCUUAAGCGUGCGGACCCUACGGGUUCGAGAACUAUGUAGACAUGACCUAGAACUGUUUUUGGUCAAUAACCAAUAGUGGAACCUGGAUGCUCAUAUUGGCUCCUACAUAUUCUACGAAGAUCUUUAUCGGUCAAACCGCACAACAACAUACGUUGUUCCCUUUGUCAUCGGUAUGAUACUUGCCCGAGAUUCGAUCGUCGGUAUCUCAAUACCUAGUUCAAUCUCGUUACCGGCAAGUCUCUUUACUCGUUAUGUAAAGCAUCAUUCCGUAACUAACUCAUUAGUUACAUUGCUUGCAAGGCUUAUAGUGAUGUGCAUUACCGAGAGGGCCCAGAGAUACCUCUCCGACAAUCGGACUGACAAAACCUAAUCCCGAAAUACGCCAACUCAACAUGUACCUUUGGAGACACCUGUAGAGCUCCUUUAUAAUCACCCAGUUACGUUGUGAUGUUUGGUAGCACACCAAGUGUUCCUCCGGUAAACGGGAGUCGCAUAAUCUCAUAGUUGUAGGAACAUGUAUAAGUCAUGAAGAAAGCAAUAGCAACAUACUAAACGAUCAAGUGCUAAGCUAAGGGAAUGGGUCAUGUCAAUCACAUCAUUCUACUAAUGAUGUGAUCCCGUUAAUCAAAUGACAGCUCAUGUCUAUGGUUAGGAAACAUAACCAUCUUUGAUUAAUGAGCUAGUCUAGUAGAGGCAUACUAGUGACAAUAUGUUUGUCUAUGUAUUCACACAUGUAUCAUGUUUCCGGUUAAUACAAUUCUAGCAUGAAUAAUAAACAUUUAUCAUGAUAUAAGGAAAUAAAUAAUAACUUUAUUAUUGCCUCUAGGGCAUAUUUCCUUCAGUCUCCCACUUGCACUAGAGUCAACAAUCUAGUUCACAUCACCAUGUGAUUUAACACUAAUGUUCACAUCUGCAUGUGAUUAACACCCAUAGUUCACAUCGUCAUGUGACCAACACCCAAAAGGUUUACUAGAGUCAAUAUCUAGUUCACAUUGCUAUGUGAUUAACACCCAAAGAGUACUAAGGUGUGAUCAUGUUUUGCUCGUGAGAGAAGCUUAGUCAACGGGUCUGUCACAUUCAGAGCCGUAUGCAUUUUGCAAAUAUUCUAUGUCUGCAAUGCUCUGCACGGAGCUACUCUAGCUAAUUGCUCCCACUUUUAAUAUGUAUCCAGAUUGAGACUUAGAGUCAUCUGGUUUGGUGUAAAAGCUUGCAUCAUUGUAACUUUUACGACGAGCUCUUUUAUCACUUCCAUUAUCGAGAAAUAUUUCCUUAGUCCUCACUAAGGAUAUUCUUGACCGCUGUCUAGUGAUCUACUCUUAGAUCAAAAUUGUACUCCCUUGCCAAACUCGGAGCAAGGUAUACAAUAGGUCUGGUACACAACAUAUCAUACUUUAUAGAACCUAUGACUGAGGCAUAGGGAAUGACUUUUCAUUCUCUUUCUAUUUUCUGCCAUGGUCGGGUUUUGAGUCUUACUCAACUUGACACCUUGGAACACAGGCAAGAACUCCUUCUUUGACUGUUCCAUUUUGAACUACUUCAAAAUAUUAUUAAGGUAUGUACUCAUUGAAAAAUCUUAUCAAGCGUCUUGAUCUAUAUCUAUAGAUCUUUGAUGUUCAAUGUGUAAGCAGCUUCACCGAGGUCUUUCUUUGAAAAACUCUUAUUCAAGUAUCCUUUUAUGCUUUCCAGAAAAAAUCUACAUUAUUUCCGAUCAACAAUAUGUUAUUCACAUAUACUUAUCAGAAAUGUUGUAGUGCUCCCACUCACUUUCUUGUAAAUACAGGCUUCACCGCAAGUCUGUAUAAAACUAUAUGCUUUGAUCAACUUAUCAAAGCGUAUAUUCCAACUCUGAGAUGCUUGCACCAGUCCAUAGAUGGAUCGCUGGAGCUUGCAUAUUUUCUUAUCACCUUUAGGAUUGACAAAACCUUCUGGUUGCAUCAUAUACAACUCUUCUUUAAGAAAACCAUUAAGGAAUGCAGUUUUGACAUCCAUUUGCCAGAUUUCAUAAAAUGUGGCAAUUGCUAACAUGAUUUGGACAGACUUAAGCAUCACUACAGUUGAGAAAAACUCAUUGUAGUCAACACCUUGAACUUGUCGAAAACCUUUUUGCGAUAAGUCGAGCUUUGUAGAUAGUAACACUACUAUCAGCGUCUGUCUUCCUCUUGAAGAUCCAUUUAUAUAAUAUUGCUUGCCGAUCAUCGGGCAACUCCACCAAAGUCCACACUUUGUUCUCAUAUAUGGAUCCCAUCUCAGAUUUCAUGGCCUCAAGCCAUUUCGUGGAAUCUGGGCUCAUCAUCGCUUCCUCAUAGUUCGUAGGUUCAUCAUGGUCUAGUAACAUGACUUCCAGAAUAGGAUUACUGAGGGAGUCCUGGACUAGGGGGUGUCCGGACAGCCGGACUAUCAUCGUCCGCCGGACUCCAAGACUACGAAGAUACAAGAUUGAAGACUCCGUCCCGUGUCCGGAUGGGACUUUCCUUGGCGUGGAAGGCAAGCUUGGAAAUACGGAUAUGUAGAUCUCCUACCAUUGUAACCGACUCUGUGUAACCCUAGCCUCCUCCGAUGUCUAUAUAAACCGGAGGGCUUUAGUCCGUAGGACAACAUACAUUACAACAAUCAUACCAUAGGCUAGCUUUAGGGUUUAGCCUCCUUGAUCUCGUGGUAGAUCCACUCUUGUACUACCCAUAUCAUCAAUAUUAAUCAAGCAAGACGUAGGGUUUUACCUCCAUCGAGAGGGCCCGAACCUGGGUAAAAACAUCGUGUCCCUCGUCUCCUGUUACCAUCCGCCUAGACGCACAGUUCGGGACCCCCUACCCGAGAUCCGCCGGUUUUGACACCGACAUUGGUGCUUUCAUUGAGAGUUCCUCUGUGUCGUCACCGAUAGGCCCGAUGGCAUCUUCAACCAGCAACGCUUUCCAGGACGAGACUUUUCUCCCCGGACAGAUCUUCGUGUUCGGCGGCUUCGCACUGCGGGCUAACUCGCUUGGCCAUCUGGAGCAGAUCGAAAGCUACGCCCCUGGCCGUCAGGUCAGAUUCGGAAGUCUAAACUUCACGGCCGAUGUCCGUGGAGACUUGAUCUUCGACGGACUCGAGCCACAGCCAAGCGCGCCGCACUGUUACGAUGGGCAUGAUCUAGCUCUGCCGCUGGACAGUGCCUUGGUGGCCGCACAUGAAUCCGCUUCGGCCUUUAGUCCGGAGCCGAUCGCCCAGACCGAGGAUUGGUGGAUGGACACCGCCUUGGGGGCUCCAACUUCCACGACGAUGGAGCCGAACGCUAAUCUUGUCCCCUGCGAAACUCGUGAUUCCGAGGUUCUGGACUCCUUGCCGGACUCCGAACCUCCCGCGCCCCUACCAAUCGAUUCGGAUUGGGCGCCGGUUAUGGAAUUCACCGCCGCGGACAUCUUCCAACACUCGCCCUUUGGCGACAUCCUAAAUUCGCUAAAGCACCUCUCAUUAUCGGGAGAGUCCUGGCCGGACUAUGGCCAGGAUGGUUGGGGUACGGACGACAAAGAAAUUCAGAGCCCACCCACCACCCACUUUGUAGCCACUGUCGACGAUCUAACCGACAUGCUUAACUACGACUCCGAUGACAUCGACUCUAUGGACGACGAUGCCGGAGACGAACAGGAACCAGCGCCUACAGGGCACUGGAAGACCACCUCGUCAUACGACAUAUACAUGGUGGACACCCCAAAAGACGGGGACGGCGAAGAAGCAGCGGAGGCAGACUCUUUAAAGAAGCAGCCCAAACACCAGCGUCAGCGGCGCCGCUCUAAAUCCCGCCACAGCAAGAAUGGAGAUUCUGGCACAGGAGAUAAUAAUACCCCAGAGAGUGCCGAAGACAAUCCCCUCCAGCAAGACUCAGCGCAGGAGGAUGCAGAAGCAAGCCCUCACGAGAGGGCGGCAGACGAAGAGGUUGAGGAUCAUAACUAUAUGCCUCCCUCCGAAGACGAAGCAAGCCUCAACGAUGACGAAUUCGUCGUACCUGAGGAUCCCGUCGAACAAGAGCGUUUCAAGCGCAGGCUUAUCGCCACAGCAAACAGCCUAAAAGCAGCAACAGCUUCAAGCUGAUCAGGACCUGCUGGCCGAUCGAUGGACCGAGGUCCUCGCGGCCGAAGAGUAUAAACUCGAACGCCCCUCCAAAAGCUACCCAAGACGCAAGCUACUCCCCCAUUAGAGGAGGAAGCAUACACACCUCCAUCACCAGCGCACGAUACGGCUGACCGACCACCCCGUGGUCGUGACAGAGAGGCAUCCAGGCCCCCAGCCAAGACCGUACCCCGGCAUCGCUCCAAAAGUAUGAAGCCAAGAGGGAAUGCGCCGGACUUGCGAGACAUAUUGGAGGACAAAGAAAGGCAAUCCAGAUCCAUCUACGGAUCACGUGGGCGCCCCACAACCCAUGACGAAUACCGUCGCGCCGGAUACAAUAACCCCGGCCGGGCCGAACACAGCAGACAACACUCUCUCGAGCUGCGUCGUGAUAUUGCCCAAUGCAGAGGCACCGCACACCCACUGUGCUUCACUGACGAAGUAAUGGAUCAUCAAAUCCCUGAAGGGUUUAAACCCGUAAACAUCGAAUCCUACGAUGGCACAACAGACCCCGCGGUUUGGAUCGAAGAUUAUCUUCUCCACAUCCAUAUGGCCCGCGGCGACGAUCUCCACGCCAUCAAGUAUCUCCCACUCAAGCUUAAAGGACCAGCUCGGCAUUGGCUCAACAGCUUUCCCGCAGAGUCAAUUGGGUGUUGGGAAGACCUGGAAGCCGCAUUCCUCGACAACUUCCAGGGCACGUACGUGCGACCACCAGAUGCCGAUGACCUAAGCCACAUUAUUCAGCAGCCAGACGAAUCGGCCAGACAAUUCUGGACACGGUUCUUGACAAAGAAAAACCAAAUCGUCGACUGUCCGGAUGCAGAGGCCCUUGCAGCCUUCAAACAUAACAUCCGGGACGAAUGGCUAGCCCGGCACCUGGGACAGGAAAAGCCGAAAUCCAUGGCAGCCCUCACAUCAUUAAUGACCCGCUUUUGCGUGGGAGAGGACAGCUGGCUAGCUCGCAGCAACAAUCUCCGUAAAAAUUCUGGCAGUCCGGAUACUAAGGACAACAACGGCAGGUCACGUCGAAACAAAAACAAACGCCGCAUUAACGGCGACGAUAAGGAGGAUACGACAGUCAACGCCGGAUUCCGAGGCUCUAAACCCGGUCAGCGGAAGAAGCCAUUCAAAAGAACCACUCCGGGUCCAUCCAAUUUGGACCGAAUACUCGACCGCUUAUGCCAGAUACAUGGCACCCCUGAAAAACCAGCUAAUCACACUAAUAGAGAUUGCUGGGUGUUCAAGCAGGCAGGCAAGUUAAUUGCCGAAAACAAUGACAAGGGGCUAAACAGCGACGACGAGGAAGAGACCCGACCGCCAAACAAUAGAGGACAGAAGGGUUUUCCCCCACAAGGUCGGACGGUGAACAUGAUUUACACGACCCAUAUACCCAAGAGGGAGAGGAAGCGCGCACUAAGGGAUGUCUACGCGAUGGAGCCAGUCGCCCUGAAGUUCAACCCAUGGUCCUCUUGUCCAAUCACUUUCGAUCGAAGAGACCAUCCGACUAGCAUACGCCAUGGCGGAUUCGCCGCAUUGGUUUUAGACCCAAUCGUCGAUGGAUUUCACCUCACGAGAGUCCUGAUGGACGGCGGUAGUAGCCUGAACCUACUUUAUCAGGAUACAAUGCACAAAAUGGGCAUAGACCCCUCAAGGAUUAAACCUACAAAGACAACCUUUAAAGGUGUCAUACCAGGAGUGGAAGCCAACUGUACAGGCUCAGUCACACUGGAAGUGGUCUUCGGAUCCCCGGAUAAUUUCCGGAGCGAGGAGUUAAUCUUCGACAUAGUCCCAUUUCGCAGCGGCUAUCACGCUCUGCUCGGACGAACCGCGUUUGCAAAAUUCAACGCGGUGCCGCAUUAUGCAUACCUCAAGCUCAAGAUGCCAGGCCCUCGUGGAGUCAUCAUGGUCAACGGGAAUACGGAACGCUCCCUCCGAACGGAGGAACAUACAGCGCCUCUCGCGGCAGAAGUACAGAGCAGCCUCUUAAGGCAAUUCUCGAGUCCGGCCGUUAAACGGCCGGAUACAGCAAAAUGCGCCCGAAGCAAUACCAACCAAGACCACCUGGCGCGAUCAGAGCAUGCGUAGCAAUGCGGCCCCAACCCCCGCCCGCGCAUGAUCGCAAGAAUAACACUCCGCGUACAUCAUUACGCUUUGGAGAUACCAUGGGCACAGGGGAAGGGGCACGAUCGCAAUGGACCCAGAGUGCGGUUCGACCACACCAGGGGCUCGCAAGUGUGCCCCCUUUUUUAUUUUUUAUUUUUUAUUUUUCUUCUUUGUGUACACAGGACUCCGUUAACCAGAGGCCCUGUCCGGCGAUGAACUUGCCGAACUCAUGAUGCAACAGUCAGGGACGAAAGAAGGUUGCGACGAACACUCAGGUGGUCUCAAUUACGAGCAUUAAAUUCGAUUAUAUACACCAAGUCCGCAGCUCACCCCUGGAGGGGGGACAUGUUUAAUUAGUCCAAAUCCCUUGCUUACCGCACUAUUUGUAUCAGUCCGCACUCAUAGCAGACUUUCUUUCAUAAAUAAUGCAGCACCUUUUUGACUGCAAUUGCAUUACCUUUUAUAUAUAUAUGCUCAUCAUAUGACAUCUUGCACCCAUAUAUUUUGGUACGGCCUAAUACGCCAGGGGCUUAUGUUCCCCACACUAUGGUGUGAUAAGUCCGAACACUUUCAUAAGUGUGGCACCCCGAACUUAUAGCAUUAUAUGAAUCGGCUCCGAAUCAUGUCUUGGGUCAAUAGUUGGGUUUGCCCGGCUCCCAUGUUUUGGUGCCUUACAUUCCGUUCUGUCGGCUAAGGUGGCACUGGGAGAACCACUGCGAUUGCGCCCCGGUUGAGUCGGGCGAGCGCCUCAGUGGAGAAAGCUAAAACUGACUGGCAUGAUAAGGCGAGAGACUGGUCGCUGUUCGAGAGGUCUUUUCGGGUCCUUAAAGACUCACGCCGCUUCGAGCGAAGUUCCGGACCAUGUCCGACGAAGGCGUGGAUAGCGCCCCGGAUUCGGUCUUCCGAAUACUAGGGGCUUCGCCGAAAUUUAAAAUUAUAGAAUUCUAUGGCUAAGUGAGAGUGUUUAAGCACUAUAAGUCCGGUUGCCUUGUUCGUUGUGUUGAGCGCCUUCCUAGAUGGACCCAAAAAUGGGAACAACAGUGCUCAAGUUUAUCCCGAACACCCCAGCACUCGUGGCUUGGGGGCUGAAGCCAACGACUUGCCAUCUCUCAGAUUUUAUAAACGGCCGCACAGAAGGUAAUAUUUUAAAUUAGACAAGCGUUGCUUAAUGCGCACAUGAACAAUGUUUCAGCGCACAGGAUAAUACAUAACGAGGUUACUCAAAGAUUACAUUUCUGGGGCACUCAUCCGCAGUAUCGCGGGCUCCCUUCAGGACAGUUUUAUAAUACAUCUCGGGAGUGCGAUACUCCUUGCCCGGUGGCGGUGGGUCCGUGAGAAGCUUCUCCGCAUCCAACCUGCCCCAAUGCACCUUGGUGCGGGCGAGGGCCCGGCGAGCACCUUCAAUACAGGCGGAGCGCUUGAUGACCUCCACCCAGGGGCACGCAUCCACCAGCCGCUGCACGAGGCCGAAAUAGCUCCCAGGCAUGGCCUGUUCAGGCCACAGCCGGACUAUAAGGCCCUUCAUGGCCUCCUCAGCUACCUUGUGGAGUUCGACCAGCUGCUUCAGCUGGUCGCUUGGAGGCACCGGAUGGCCGGCCUCAGCGUACUGAGACCAGAAGACCUUCUCCAUCGAGCUCCCCUCCUCGCCACGAUAGAAUGCGGCGGCAUCGGACGCACUACGCGGCAGAUCUGCAAACGCCCCUGGAGAGCUCCGAAUGCGGGUAAGUGUCAGGUAGUUUACAUUAACAUGCCUGCUUUGCAUGAAAAAUGCCUUACCCGCCGCUAUCUUCUUUACAUCUUCAACCUCCUGAAGGGCCUUAUGGGCCUCGGCCUUGGAGGACUUGGCACUUUCGAGAGCCGAGGCAAGCUCAGACUCUCGAGUCCUGGAGUCAUGCUCCAAACUCUCAUGCUUCUCCAUGAGAGCCUGGAGCUCUUGCCGAACUUCCACCACCCGUGCCUCCUGCUUUUCUCGCUCUGCUCGUUCUGCAGCCGCACUGCGUUCAGCCGCGGACACAUCCUCCUUCAGGGCUGCCGCCUCGUUCGUGGCCCCUGCAAUACCCAUAUUAUCCUUUUAACUUUAUUGCAACCAAAACCCUUUUCUGUAAGGUAACUAUUCAAAGUGGUGUUACUCACCUUCUUUGUCCUCGAGCUGCUUCUUCGCAUGGCCGAGCUCUUGCUCGGACCGCUCGAGAUCUUGCUUCAGCACAUUGACCUCCGCAGUCAGUGCGGCAAAGGUCAGCAGCGCAGCCUGCAAAUCCAUAUUGACAUAUUUUAAGCAACACUGCGUAUAUCUUGUUAGAUCCUCAGUCCGGCUUUUCUUUUCGAACACCGAACUGAGCAUCAGGGGCUACUGUCUAUGUGGUAUUAUAUUACAUAAUUUUAAACUUUUUACCUCAAAGCCUGUUAGAAGGCUGCUGCAGGCUUCGGUCAGCCCGCUCUUGGCGAGCUGAACCUUCUGAAUCACCGCAUUCAUGAUAGUGCGGUGUUCUUCCUCGAUGGAAGCGCCUUUAAGCGCCUCCAACAAGUUAUCCGGCGCCUCCGGUUGGACGGAGGUCGCCGGUGUCACGGUCUUGCCCUUCUUUCGAAGGGGCCGCCCGCCCGACUCUGGAACCACUGCGGGUUCCGAUGUAGAGUCCGGCACAAAGUCCGGGAGGCAGCCUGACGGCGCCUCCGGAGCCUCCUCCUGAUGGGUCCCUCUUUGGGAUCCCACCUCGGCGUCCUCGCCGGCGCGGGGGGUAGUGGCAGUCGGAAGUGAAUCCACAUCCGACGGGGCCAAUGACCCGCUUGAUGAAGCGGGGAGAUCAUCAUCAGCCGGACUACGGAUAGAAUGCGGCGUUAGAAGGACACUAUGCGACACGAAAGAAAUUGCAUAUCAAGGAUCCGGAUACUUACGAUCUUGCCGGAUGCCUGGCCCUUGGAGGCCACUCAUCCUCGCCAACGGUGGUGUUGGUGAAACUGUCCGGGGGGAUAGUCCUCCCCCUCCUGGACCCUUCGGCCUCCCCUAUUGGGGAAGCCUUCCUCUUCUUCUCUCCCUCCUCCGGGAGAGAGUCCUCCUCCUCCUCGUCGUCUUCGGGGGAGGAGUCCGCCACGUCGUCGGACGCCUGAUUGCGGGAACUUUUUUGAGUCCUCGCGGCCACCUUCUUGGCCUUCUUCUCCGGCACCACAUGCGGUGCUGGAACCAGCAGCCCUGCUAAACGGGCGUCCACUGGGUCUUCUGGCAUGGGAGGCGGGCUGAUAAGCUGCUUGGCCUUCUCCAUCCAUUCCUGUCAAAGGAAAAGAAAGAAUGAAACCCUCUUAGAAUCAAUUCGAUUACCACAAGUGUCCCGUAAUGGGGUUGAAUCACUUACCUCGUCAGCCGGAUGCUGCGAGCGAAAUCCGUGAUCUUCCGUCGCGGAUACGGGGGCUUCGGCGCCCUUAAACAGCACCCUCCAGGCGCCUUUGUAUGUCGUAUCGAAGAGCCCGCUCAGCGCCUGGUGCUGUUCCGGAUUGAACUCCCACAGAUUGAAUGCCCGUUCUUGGCAUGGGAGAAUCCGGCGGAUGAGCAUGACUUGGACCACGUUGACGAGCCUGAGCUUAUUGCUCACCAGCUUCUGGAUGCAGGCUCGGAGUCCCGUCACCUCCUUCGGAUUGCCCCACAGCAAGCCCUUCUCUUUCCAGGAGGUGAGCUGCGUGGGGACGCCAAAUCUAAACUCGGGGGCCGCCGCCCAUGUGGGCUUGCACGGCUCGGUGAUGUAGAACCACCCCGAUUGCCACCCCUUGACGGAGUCCACAAAGGCCCCUUCGAGCCAAAGGACGUUGGGCAAUUUACCCAACAUGGCGCCUCCGCAUUCCGCUUGCGAGCCCUUCACAACCUUCGGCUUGACGUUGAAGGUCUUGAGCCAUAGGCCGAAGUGGGGCCGGAUGCAGAGGAAGGCCUCGCACACAACGAUAAACGCCGAGAUGUUGAGGAUGAAGUUCGGCGCCAGAUCGUGGAAAUCCAGGCCGUAGUAGAACAUGAGCCCCGGACGAAUGGAUGGAGUGGAAAGCCCAGUCCGCGGAGGAAGUGGGGAAGGAAGACGACCCUCUCAUGAGGCCCAGGGGUAGGGAUGAGCUGCCCCUCGUCGGGCAGCCGAUGCGCGAUAUCGCCGGAGAGGUAUCCGGCGCUGCACAGCUUGGUGAUGUGCUCCUCCUUAACGGUGGAGGCCAACCAUUUGCCUCCCGCUCCGGACAUAUUCGGAGAAGUUCAAGGCGAGAUGCGCGAGCUUGGGCGUUGGAGCUUGAGUGCGCGGAGAUGGAUAAGCAAAGGAGGAAGAAGGCGUAGGUGAGAAGGUAAAUCCUUAUCCCUUAUAUAUAGGCAGACAAAACUGUGCGUCCCCCACCGGCCUGGUAAAACUCGCUUAUCUCCCAAGCGCCACCAUCAAUGGCGCGGUUGGGUUACCCACGUCCGUAUUGAUGAGAAUCCCAGAAUAAGGGGAACACGAUCUCUGCUUUGACAAGACGUGCCAAGGAAACCGCUUCGCUAAACGUGCUAAGGUGGUAUAGUAAAAAAACGAUUCAAGUAAAAGCCUGGUAGCGGUGUGAUGUCACGCCGCAUAAUACGUCAGCAGAUUGGACUAGUGUACAUUUUAUUCUCUCUAUGGUGGAAUGUGGAAUUUAUUUUGCAGAGCCGGACACUAUCCUGGUGUUCAUGAUCUUCUCUGGAUUAUUCAAGGGAGGAACCCGCCUUGCAAUGCCGAACAUUAUGCGCGCCGGACUAAUCGUCAUUGAAGCCUGGUUCAGGGGCUACUGAGGGAGUCCUGGACUAGGGGGUGUCCGGACAGCCGGACUAUCAUCGUCCGCCGGACUCCAAGACUACGAAGAUACAAGAUUGAAGACUCCGUCCCGUGUCCGGAUGGGACUUUCCUUGGCGUGGAAGGCAAGCUUGGCAAUACGGAUAUGUAGAUCUCCUACCAUUGUAACCGACUCUGUGUAACCCUAGCCUCCUCCGAUGUCUAUAUAAACCGGAGGGCUUUAGUCCAUAGGACAACAUACAUUACAACAAUCAUACCAUAGGCUAGCUUUAGGGUUUAGCCUCCUUGAUCUCGUGGUAGAUCCACUCUUGUACUACCCAUAUCAUCAAUAUUAAUCAAGCAGGACGUAGGGUUUUACCUCCAUCGAGAGGGCCCAAACCUGGGUAAAAACAUCGUGUCCCUCGUCUCCUAUUACCAUCCGCCUAGACGCACAGUUCGGGACCCCCUACCCGAGAUCCGCCGGUUUUGACACCGACAAUUACCGUACCACUCUGGUGCAGACUGCACUUUGGAAGACCUAUGAGGUUUUGUAGUAACUUAAUCUGAAGUUUCAUGAUCAUCAUCAUUACCUUCCUCACUAAUUGGUGUAGGAAUCACCGGAACUGAUUUCUGUGAUGAACUACUUUCCAAUUCGGGAGAAGGUACAAAUUACCUUAUCAAGCUCUACUUUCCUCCCACUCACUUCUUUCGAGAGAAACUCCUUCUCUAGAAAGGAUCCAUUCUUAGCAAUGAAUGUUUUGCCUUCGAAUCUGUGAUAGAAGGUGUACCCAACAGUUUCCUUUGGGUAUUCUAUGAAGACGCACUUCUCCGAUAUGGGUUCGAGCUUAUCAGGUUGAAACCUUUUUCACAUAAGCAUCGUAACUCCAAACUUUUAAAAAUGACAUCUUAGGUUUACUUGCCAAAUCACAGUUCAUAAAGCAUCUUCUCAACGGAUUUUGAUGGUGCCCUAUUUAAAGUGAAUGCAGCUGUCUCUAAUGUAUAAACCCAAAACGAUAGUGGCCAAUCGGUAAGAGACAUCAUAGAUCGCACCAUAUCUAGUAAAGUAUGAUUAUGACGUUCGGACACACCAUUACGUUGUGGUGUUCCAUAUGGCGUGAGCUGUGAAACUAUUCCACAUUGUUUAAAAUGAAGGCCAAACUCGUAGCUCAAAUAUUCAUCUCUACGAUCAGAUCAUAGAAACUUUAUUUUCUUGUUACGAUGAUUUUUCCACUUCACUCUGAAAUUCUUUGAACUUUUCAAAUGUUUCAGACUUGUGUUUGAUUAAGUAGAUAUACCCAUAUCUGCUCAAAUCAUCUGUGAAGGUCAUAAAAUAACGAUACUUGCUAGGAGCAUUAACACUCAUUGGAUCGCAUACAUCGGUAUGUAUUAUUUCCAAUAAGUCAGUAGCUCGUUCCAUUGUUCCGGAGAACGGAGUUUUAGUCAUCUUGCCCAAAAGGCAUGGUUCACAAACAUCAAAUGAUUCAUAACCAAGUGAUUCCGAAAAUCCAACUUUAUGGAGUUUCUUCAUGCUCUUUACACCGAUAUGACCCAAACGACAGUGCCACAAAUAAGUUGCACUAUCAUUAUUAACUUUGCAUCUUUUGGCUUCAAUAUUAUGAAUAUGUGUAUCAACACGAUCGUGAUUCAAUAAACCAUUUAUUUUGAGUGUAUGACCAUAGAAGGUUUUAUUCAUGUUAAUAGAACAACAAUUAUUCUCUAACUUAAAUGAAUAACUGUAUUGCAAUAAACAUGAUCCAAUCAUAUUCAUGCUCAACGCAAACACCAAAUAACAUUUAUUUUUGGUCCAACACUAAUCUCGAAGGUAGAGGGAGUGUGCUAUGGUGAUCUUAUCAACCUUGGAAUCACUUCCAACACACAUCGUCACCUUGCCCUUAACUGGUCUCUGUUCAUUUUGUAAUUCCUAUUUCGAGUUACUAAUCUUAGCAACUGAACCGGUAUCAAAUACCUUGGGGUUACUAUGAACACUAGUAAACUACACAUCAAUAACAUGUAUAUCAAAUAUACCUUUGUUCACUUUGCCAUCCUUCUUAUCCGAUAAGUAUUUGGGGUAGUUCCGCUUCCAGUGACCAUUCCCUUUGCAGUAGAAGCACUCAGUUUCAGGCUUAGGUCUAGCUUUGGGUUUCUUCAAGGGAGUGGCAACUUGCUUGCCAUUCUUUAUUGAAGUUCCCUUUAUUUUCCUUGCCCUUUUACUUGAAACUAGUGGUCUUGUCAACCAUCAACACUUGAUGCUCUUUCUUGAUUUCUACCUUCAUUGAUUUCAGCAUCACGAAGAGCUCGAGAAUCGUAGUUGUCAUCCCUUGCAUAUUGUAGUUCAUCACGAUGUUCUAGAAACUUGGUGAUAGUGACUAGAGAACUCUGUCAAUCACUAUCUUAUCUGGAAGAUUAACUCCCAUUUGAUUCAAACGAUUGUAGUACUCAGACAUUCUCAGCACAUCCUCACUGGUCGAGCUAUUCUCCUCCAUCUUGUAGGCAAAGUACUUGUCAGAGGUCUCAUACCUCUUGACACAGGCAUGAGACUGAAAUACCAAUUUUAUCUCUUGGAACAUCUCAUAUGCUCCAUGGCGUUCAAAACAUUUUUGAAGUCCCGGUUCUAAGCCGUAAAGCAUGGUGCACUAAACUAUCAAGUAGUCAUCAUAUCGAGCUUUGUCAAACAUUCAUAACGUCUGCAUCUGCUCCUGCAAUAGAUCUGUCACCUAGUGGUGCAUCAAGGACAGAAUUCUUUUGUGCAGCAAUGAGGAUAAUCCUCAGAUCAUGGACCCAGUCCACAUCAUUGCUACUAACAUCUUUCAACUUAUUUUUAUCUAGGAACAUAUAAAAAAUAGUGGAGCUACAACGCGAGCUAUUGAGCUACAACAUAAAUAUGCAAAAUACUAUCAGGUACUAAGUUCAUGAUAAAUUAAAGUUCAAUUAAUCAUAUUACUUAAGAACUCCCACUUAUAUAAACAUCCCUCUAGUCAUCUAAAUGAUCAUGUGAUCCAAAUCAAUCAAACCAUGUCCGAUCAUCACGUGAUAUGGAGUAGUUUUCAAUGGUGAACAUUACUAUGUUGAUCAUAUCUACUAUAUGACCCAAACGACAGUGCCACAAAUAAGUUGCACUAUCAUUAUUAACUUUGCAUCUUUUGGCAUCAAUAUUAUGAAUAUGUGUAUCACUAUGAUCGAGAUUCAACAAACUAUUUUCAUUGGGUGUAUGACCAUUGAAGGUCUUAUUCAUGUAAAUAGAAUAACAAUUAUUCUCUGACUUUAAAUGAAUAACCAUAUCGCAAUAAACAUGAUCAAAUCAUAUUCAUGCUCAACACAAACGCCAAAUAACAUUUAUUUAGGUUUAACACUAAUCUCGAAAGUAUAGGGAGUGUGCGAUGAUGAUCAUAUCAAUCUUGGAACCACUUCCAACACACAUCGUCACUUCACCCUCAACUAGUCUCUGUUUAUUCUGUAACUCCUGUUUCGAGUUACUAAUUUUUAGCAACCGAACAAGUACCAAAUACUCAGGGGCUACUACAAACACUAGUAAGGUACACAUCAAUAACCUGUAUAUCAAAUAUACCCUUGUUCACUCUGCCAUCCUUCUUAUCUACCAAAUAUUCAGGGUAUUUCCGUUUCCACUGACCAUUUCCUUUGCAGUGUAAGCACUCAGUUUCAGGCUUUGGUCCAGCUUUGGGCUUAUUCGCGGGAGUGACAACUUGCUUUUCAUUCUACUUGAAGUUCCCUUUCUUUCCCUUUGCCCUUUUCUUGAAACUAGUGGUCUUGUCAAUCAUCAACACUUGAUGCUCUUUCUUGAAUUCUACCUUCGUCGAUUUCAACAUCACGAAGACCUUGGGAAUCGUUUUCGUCAUCCCUAUAGUUCAUCACGAAGUUCUAGCAACUUGGUGAUGGUGACUAGAGAACUCUGUCAAUCACUAUCUUAUCUGGAAGAUUAACUCCCACUUGAUUCAAGUGAUUGUAGUACCCAGACAAUCUGAGCACAUGCUCACUAGUUGAGCGAUUCUCCUCCAUCUUUUAGCUAUAGAACUUGUUGGAGACUUCAUAUCUCUCAACUCGGGUAUUUUCUUGAAAUAUUAACUUCAACUCCUGGAACAUCUCAUAUGGCCCAUGACGUUCAAAACGUCUUUGAAGUCCCGAUUUUAAGCCGUUAAGCAUGGUGCACUAAACUGUCAAGUAGCCAUCAUAUUGAGCUAGCCAAACAUUCAUAACGUUUGCAUCUGCUCCUGCAAUAGGUCUGUCACCUAGCGGUGCACCAAGGACAUAAUUCUUCUGUGCAACAAUGAGGACAAUCCUCAGAUCACGGAUCCAAUCCGCAUCAUUUCUACUAACAUCUUUCACAAUUUUUCUCUAGGAACAUAUCAAAAUAAACAUAUGAAAGCAACAACGCGAGCUAUUGAUCUACAACAUAAUUUGCAAGAUACUACCAGGACUAAGUUCAUGAUAAAUUUAAGUUCAAUUAAUCAUAUUACUUAAGAACUCCCACUUAGACAGAUAUCUCUCUAGUCAUCUAAGUGAUCACGUGAUCCAAAUCAACUAAACCAUGUCCGAUCAUCACGUGAGAUGGAGUAGUUUCAAUGGUGAACAUCACUAUGUUAAUCAUAUCUACUAUAUGGUUCACGUUCGACCUUUCGGUCUCCGUGUUCCGAGGCCAUAUCUGUAUAUGCUAGGCUCGUCAAGUUUAACCUGAGUAUUCCGCGUGUGCAACUAUUUUGCACCCGUUGUAUUUGAAUGUAGAGCCUAUCACACCCGAUCAUCACGUGGUGUCUCAGCACGAAGAACUUUCGCAACAGUGCAUACUCAGGGAGAACACUUCUUGAUAAUUUAGUGAGAGAUCAUCUUAAAAUGCUACCAUCAAUCAAAGCAAGAUAAGAUGCAUAAAGGAUAAACAUCGCAUGCAAUCAGUAUAAGUGAUAUGAUAUGGCCAUCAUCAUCUUGUGCUUGUGAUCUCCAUCUCCGAAGCACCGUCGUGAUCACCAUCGUCACCGGCGUGACACCUUGAUCUCCAUCAUAGCAUCGUUGUCGUUACGCCAUCUAUUGCUUAUACGAGUAUAGCUACCGUUUAGUGAUAAAGUAAAGCAAUUACAGGGCAUUUGCAUUUCAUACAAUAAAGCGACAACCAUAUGGCUCCUGCCAGUUGUCGAUAACUCGGUUACAAAAUAUGAUCAUCUCAUGCAAUAAAAUAUAGCAUCGCGUCUUGACCAUAUCACAUCACAACAUGCCCUGCAAAAACAAGUUAGACGUCCUCUACUUUGUUGUUGCAAAUUUUACGUGGCUGCUACGGGCUGAGUAAGAACCGUUCUUACCUACGCAUCAAAACCACAACGAUAGUUCAUCAAGUUAGUGCUAUUUUAACCUUCGCAAAGACCGGGCGUAGCCACACUCGGUUCAACUAAAGUGAGAGAGACAGACACCCGCCGGGCACCUUUAAGCAACAAGUGCUCGUAACGGUGAAACCAGUCUCGCGUAAGCGUACGCGUAAUGUCGGUCCAGGCCGCUUCAUCUCACAAUACCGCUAAACCAAAGUAUGACAUGCUGGUAAGCAGUAUGACUUAUAUCGCCCAUAACUCACUUGUGUUCUACUCGUGCAUAUGACAUCUACGCCUAAAACCUGGCUCGGAUGCCACUGUUGGGGAACGUAGUAAUUUCAAAAAAAUUCCUACACACACGCAAGACCAUGGUGAUGCAUAGCAACGAGAGGGGAGAGUGUGUCCACGUACCCUCGUAGACCGAAAGUGGAAGCAUUAGAACAACGCAGUUGAUAUAGUCGUACGUCUUCACGGCCUGACCGAUCAAGCACCGAAACUACGGCACCUCCGAGUUCUAGCACACGUUCAGCUCGAUGACGUCCCUCGAACUCCGAUCCAGCCGAGUGUAGAGGGAGAGUUCCGUCAGCACGACGGCAUGGUGACGAUCAUGAUGUUCUACCGUCGCAGGGCUUCGCCUAAGCACCGCUACAAUAUUAUCGAGGAGGACUAUCGUGGAGGGGGGGGCCGCACACAGCUAAGAGAUCAAGAGAUCAAUUGUUGUAUCUAGAGGUGCCCCCUGCCCCCGUAUAUAAAGGAGCCAAGGGGGAGGGGGCGGCCGGCCAAGGAGGGGCGCGCCAAGGGGAGUCCUACUCCCACCGGGAGUAGGACUCCCUUCUUUCCUAGUUGGAAUAGGAGAAGGGGGGAAGGAGGAGGGAUAGAGGAAGGAAAGGGGGGCGCCGCCCCCUCUCCUUGUCCUAUUCAGGACUAGGGGGAGGGGCGCGCGGCCCAGCCCUUGCCUCCUCUCCUCCUCUCCACUAGGGCCCAUGUAGGCCCAUUAAGCCCCCGGGGGGUUCCGGUAACCUCCCGGUACUCCGGUAAAAUCCCGAUUUCACCCGGAACACUUCCGAUAUCCAAAUAUAGGCUUCCAAUAUAUCAAUCUUCAUGUCUCGACCAUUUCAAGACUCCUUGUCAUGUCCGUAAUCUCAUCCGGGACUCCGAACAAACUUCGGUACAUCAAAACUCAUAAACUCAUAAUAUAACUGUCAUCGAAACCUUAAGCGUGCGGACCCUACGGGUUCGAGAACUAUGUAGACAUGACCUAGAACUGUUUUCGGUCAAUAACUAAUAGCGGAACCUAGAUGCUCAUAUUGGUUCCUACAUAUUGUACGAAGAUCUUUAUCGGUCAAACCGCAUAACAACAUACGUUGUUCCCUUUGUCAUCGGUAUGUUACUUGCCCGAGAUUCGAUCGUCGGUAUCUCAAUACCUAGUUCAAUCUCGUUACCGGCAAGUCUCUUUACUCGUUAUGUAAUGCAUCAUUCCGUAACUAACUCAUUAGUUACAUUGCUUGCAAGGCUUAUAAUGAUGUGCAUUACUGAGAGGGCCCAGAGAUACCUCUCCGACAAUCGGAGUGACAAAACCUAAUCUCGAAAUACGCCAACUCAACAUGUACCUUUGGAGACACCUGUAGAGCUCCUUUAUAAUCACCCAGUUACGUUGUGACGUUUGGUAGCACACAAAGUGUUCCUCCAGUAAACGGGAGUUGCAUAAUCUCAUAGUUGUAGGAACAUGUAUAAGUCAUGAAGAAAGCAAUAGCAACAUACUAAACGAUCAAGUGCUAAGCUAACGGAAUGGGUCAUGUUAAUCACAUCAUUCUACUAAUGAUGUGAUCCCGUUAAUCAAAUCACAACUCAUGUCUAUGGUUAGGAAACAUAACCAUCUUUGAUUAAUGAGCUAGUCUAGUAGAGGCAUACUAGUGACAAUAUGUUUGUCUAUGUAUUCACACAUGUAUCAUGUUUCCGGUUAAUACAAUUCUAGCAUGAAUAAUAAACAUUUAUCAUGAUAUAAGGAAAUAAAUAAUAACUUUAUUAUCGCCUCUAGGGCAUAUUUCCUUCAGAAGAUAUAGAUGGGCAUGUUAUCUACUUCUGUGUAGAAGCUGCUAGAAUUGCUAAACCCGAUAAAAGGGAUAAACAUAGACCAGUUGUUGGCAUGCCUGUCAUUUCAGUUAAAAUAGGAGAUCACUGUUAUCAUGGUUUAUGUGACAUGGGUGCUAGUGUAAGUGCUAUUACUUACACUUUAUAUCAAGAAAUUAAGAAAGACAUAGCACCUAUAGAGAUAGAAGACAUAGAUGUUACUAUUAAACUUGCUAAUAGAGACUCCAUAUCACCUUUUGGGAUUGUUAGAGAUGUUGAAGUCUUGUGUGGGAAAAUUAAAUACCCUACUGAUUUUCUUGUUCUUGGUUCCCCACAAGAUGACUUCUGUCCCAUUAUCUUUGGUAGUCCUUUACUGAACUCAGUUAAUGCUAAGAUAGAUUGCAAGAAACAAACUAUCGGUGUUAGUUUUGGUGAUGAGUCUCAUGAGUUUAAUUUUUCCAAGUUCAGUAGAAAUCAUCAUGAAAAAGAAUUGCCUAGUAGAGAUGAAUUAAUUGGUCUUGCUUCUAUUGCUGUGCCACCUACUGAUCCUUUAGAACAAUAUUUGCUAGACCAUGAAAAUGACUUACAUAUGCAUGAAAGAAAUGAAAUAGAUAAGAUUUUCUUUGAACAACGUCCUCUACUUAAACACAAUUUGCCUAUUGAAACUCUAGGAGGUCCUCCUCCACCUAAAGGUGAUCCUGUGUUUGAAUUAAAACAAUUGCAAGACACUUUGAAAUAUGCUUAUCUUGAUGAAAAGAAAAUAUAUCCUGUUAUUAUCAGUGCUAACCUUUCAGAACAUGAAGAAGAAAGAUUAUUGAAAGUUCUAAGGAAGCACCAAGCUGUUGUUGGAUAUACUCUUGAUGAUUUAAAGGGCAUUAGUCCCACUUUAUGUCAGCACAAAAUUAAUAUGGAACCUGGUGCUAAACACGUUGUUGAUCAACAACGUCGGUUAAAUCCGAAGAUGAAAGAGGUGGUAAGAACGGAAAUAUUAAAACUUCUGGAAGCAGGUAUAAUCUAUCAUAUAGCUGAUAGUAGAUGGGUAAGUCCUGUUCAUUGUGUCCCUAAGAAAGGAUGUAUAACUAUUGUUCCUAAUGAUAAGAAUGAGCUUAUCCCACAAAUAAUUGUUACAGGCUAUAGAAUGGUAAUUGAUUUUAGAAAAUUAAAUAAAGCAACUAGAAAAGAUCAUUACACUUUGCCUUUUAUUGAUCAAAUGCUUGAAAGAUUAUCUAAGCAUACACAAUUUUGUUUCCUUGAUGGAUAUUCUGGCUUCUCACAAAUACCUGUUUCUCUACCUGAUCAAGAAAAGACCACUUUUACUUGUCCUUUUGGAACCUAUGCUUAUAGACGUAUGCCUUUUGGUUUAUGUAAUGCACCUGCUACCUUUCAAAGAUGUAUGACUGAUAUAUUCUUUGACUUUUGUGACAAGAUUGUUGAGGUUUUCAUGGAUGACUUUUCUGUUUAUGGGAAGUCUUUUGAUGAUUGUUUAAGCAAUCUUGAUCGAGUUCUGCAGAGAUGUGAACAAACAUAUCUUGUCUUGAAUUGGGAGAAGUGCCACGUUAUGGUUAAUGAAGGCAUUGUCUUAGGUCAUAAAAUUUCUGAAAGAGGUAUCGAAGUGGACCAAGCUAAGGUUGAUGCAAUUGAGAAAAUGCCAUGUCCUAAGUACAUAAAAGGUAUAUGUAGUUUCUUAGGUCAUGUUGGUUUCUAUAGGAGAUUUAUCAAGGACUUCUAUAAAAUUUCUAGGCCUCUCACUAAUCUUUUGCAAAAGGAUAUUCCUUUUGUUUUUGAUGAUGACUGUUUAGAAGCCUUUGAAACACUAAAUAAAGCCUUAAUCUUCACACCUAUUGUUCAACCACCUGAUUGGAACUUGCCUUUUGAGAUUAUGUGUGAUGCUAGUGAUUAUGUUGUUGGUGCUGUUCUAGGAUAAAGAGUUGAUAAGAAAUUGAAUGUUAUUCAUUAGGCUAGUAAAACUCUAGACAGUGCUCAAAGAAAUUAUGCUACUACUGAAAAAGAAUUCUUAGCAGUGGUUUUUGCUUGUGAUAAGUUAAGACCUUAUAUUGUUGAUUCCAAAGUAACUAUUCACAUAGACCAUGUUGCUAUUAAAUAUCUUAUGGAAAAGAAAGAUGCUAAAUCUAGACUUAUUCGUUGGGUCCUCUUGUUACAAGAAUUUGAUUUACAUAUCAUUGAUAGAAAAGGAGCUGAGAACCCCGUAGCUGAUAACUUGUCUAGGCUUGAAAAUGUGCUUGAUGACUCGCUACCUAUUGAUGAUAGUUUUCCUGAUCAGCAGUUAGCUGCAAUAAAUGUUGCUAAUAGUACUCCUUUGUAUGCUGACUAUGCUAAUUACAUUGUUGCUAAAUAUUUGCCACCUAGCUUUACAUACCAACAAAAGAAAAAAUUCUUCUAUGAUUUAAGACAUUACUUUUGGGAUAACCCACAUCUUUAUAAAGAAGGAGCAGAUGGUAUUAUUAGACGUUGUGUACCAGAGCAUGAACAGGGACAAAUCCUACAUAAAUGUCACUGCAAACCAUGUGGAGGGCAUCAUGCUGGAGAUAGAACUGCUCAUAAGGUAUUGCAAUCUGGAUUUUAUUGGCCUACUCUUUCAAGGAUGCUCGUAAGUAUGUCUCGUCUUGUGGUGAAUGCCAAAGAAUAGGUAAUAUCGGUAAACGACAAGAAAUGCCUAUGAAUUAUUCACUUGCUAUUGAACCAUUUGAUGUUUGGGGAUUUGAUUACAUGGGACCUUUUCCUUCCUCUAAUGGGUAUACACAUAUUUUGGUUGUUGUUGAUUAUGUUACUAAAUGUGUAGAAGCUAUUCCAACUAGUAGUGUUGAUCACAACAGCUCUAUUAAAAUGCUUAAGGAAGUUAUUUUCCCAAGGAUUGGAGUCCCUAGAUAUUUAAUGAUUGAUGGUGGUUCACACUUUAUUCAUGGUGCUUUCCGUAAAAUGCUUGCCAAGUAUGAUGUUAACCAUAGAAUUGCAUCACCCUAUCAUCCUUGGUCUAGUGGUCAAGUUGAGCUUAGCAAUAGAGAAAUAAAAUUAAUUUUGCAAAAGACUAUCAAUAGGUCCAGGAAGAAUUGGUCUAAGAAAUUAGAUGAUGCACUUUGGGCUUGUAGAACAGGUUAUAAAAAUCCUAUGGGUAUGUCUCCUUAUAAAAUGGUUUAUGGAAAAGCUUGUCAUUUACCUCUUGAGUUAGAACAUAAAGCAUAUUGGGCAGUUAAAGAACUCAACUAUGAUUUCAAACUUGCUGGUGAAAAGAGGUUAUUUGAUAUAAGCUCAUUAGAUGAAUGGAGAGCCCAAGCUUAUGAAAAUGCAAAGUUAUUCAAACAAAAGGUUAAGCAUGACAAAAGAAUUCAAAAGCGUGAGUUUAAAGUCGGAGAAUAUGUUCUUUUGAACAACUCUUGUUUCAGAUUCUUUGCAUGAAAGCUCCUCUCGAAAUGGGAAGGCCCAUAUGUCAUCGAGGAGGUUUACCGGUCUGGAGCCAUCAAAAUAAAUAAUUCCAAAGGUACUAACCCGAAGGUUGUCAAUGGGCAACGAAUAAAGCAUUAUAUCUCAGGUACGCUUAUUAAUGUUGAAAGCAAUAUUAUCCAAACCUUGACACCGGAAGAGCACGUAAAAGAGUCCUUCUGGAACACUCCAGAAUCGUCAAAAUAAGGAGGUACGUGAUACGGUAAGUAAACGGACUCCAAAAAAUCCGCAAAAAUAUUUUUUGUCAGUUUUGGAAUAUUUUAGAAUUUUGGAAAUAAAGAAACUUCCAGGAAGCAUCCCCUGGUGGGCACAAGACACCAGGGUGCCACAGGCAUGCCUGGCGCGCCCAGGUGGGUUGUGCCCACCUGGGAUACCUCCCGUACUCCGUUUUUCUUCCGUAUAACUUGUCCUCCAAGAUAAAAAAAUCUAUAUAUACUUCCCGAACCUGUUAACCACCGUAUCACGGAGAAAUCCUCUGUUUUCUUUCUAGCUGUUUUCUAUCAGAUCCCAUCUACCAUGGCCUCUUCAAGUUCCUCCAAGGACAAGUUCUUAAAGAAUGUCAUCAACCCAUAUCUGCGGGAGGUGGUGCAGCACCCUCAAACCAUCCAGAUGCAUGAGGGGUGAUGUACAUACGCGAUGAGCAAGGUCCUAAGGGCACGGGAACCGUGGAGGCCAGGCUUGAAGCUAUGGAGCAAGAAGUCUUCCAGUGCAAGGGGAUGGUGGAGUGUGGUAUCAAUGCCAAUCACCUCAUGAUCAUGGAGCUUUCCCGUGAUCCCAAGGUAGAUGGCAAGCCCAUGAAGGACAUCAUCUUCACCCUCAACGAGCAAAUCAACUUCCUCCAAAGCCAGAUCUAUGAUCUUCAAAACCAAGUCUUUGAAUAUGAGGCGAGGUUUAAAGGUAUGAGUUUGGCUGCUAGUUGCAGGACCCGUGAGACUCACUCCUCCUCUUAUGAUGGUGGACCGCUGCCAUGGAAAUCCGAGGACAAUAUCUCUUUUUCUUCACCACCACCAUCUUCUUCAUCACCUAAGGAGAGCUGAGUAUCGGGUAUGGGCACUCCCCUUGGCUUCCGCCAAGCUUGGGGGAUGUGCCCCGGUAUCGUAUCAUCCCACUGUCUUUUUGCUUUUACUUAUCUUAGUCCGAUCCUUUUGCUUUAGAUGAAUAAAAAUUUAGUUCGAUCCUUUCUUCUUUGAAAGUUUGCUGAGUGGUCUAUCAUUGUAAUUGUGUGCAAGUUAUAUAAUAAAGUUUAGUUUGAGUUUUUGCUUUCUUUUAAUUUCAUGUUGCAAAUAAAAAAUAAAAAAUAAAAGAAAAAGAGAAAGAAAGCAAAUAAAAGAAAGGAAAUAAAUCAACAAGAUCAUAUACUAAUCCUAUGGUAGGUGAUAGCACCACAUAAGGAAACGUAUAGGUAUAAAAUUUUAUUAGAGAUUGACAAACAUAGCAUUAGUCAAUGAUGCAACUCAUGCAAGAAUUAAUAAGGGAAGGGAAGAUUCACAUAUAAAUAUACUAUCCUAGAAAUCUUUUGUGAUUGUGAGCCCUCAUCAAAAUAUUAUAUGCCAAAAAUGUUGACGUUGGACAAGGGAGACAACAUAAUGGUUUAUGUUUGUUUAUAUUCACAUAGAAGUCAUAUUGUCAUAGAUCCUUCAACAUGUCGUGUUUACCCCCUAUCUUUGCUAGAAAAAAAUUCCGCACUAAGUAGAGAUACUACUUGUGCAUCCAAAACACUUAAACCCAAAUCUUUUUGAAGUGUCCACUAUACCUACCUAGGGAUUGAGCAAGAUCCCUCAAGUAAGUUUUCAUCGGUGCAAAAAGGCAAUAAAAAUUGCUUCUAAAUGUGUGAGAUUGUUUAGUGUAAGAGAAAAUUGAGCGUUGCACAAACUUGGAUGACAAAGAAUAAAAGUGACAGACUGCAUAAUAAAGGUUGUCAUCUUAAGGGGCAAUGUAAUGCGACCUUCUCUUGCACUAAGGGAUUGAGCAUACAAACAAAUAAGCGCAUGGCAACCUCUGCUUCCCUCUGUGAAGGGCCUAUCCUUUACUUUUAUGUAUUUACUUUUAUGCAAAGAGUCAAUUUUUCCUUCUAUUCCUUUUAUUUUUUUUUCUCCUUUGGCAAGCAUCAUGUGGCGAGGAAAGAUCUAGGCACAUAUGUCCAGUUGAAUACAGAUAGCAUGAGUUAUUAUUGUUGACAUCACCCUUGAGGUGAGUAUGUUGGGAGGCAAAAAUAUAAGCCCCUAUCUUUCUGUGUGUCCGGUUGAAGUGUUUUGCUCAUGUGUACGCGGUCAGUGUUAGCAAUCAUAGAAGACUAUAUGAUGGUUGAGUAUGUGGACUUGCCUAAAGGCUCUGUGCUACGUCUUGAGCUUGCGUUGGUUUUCCUCGAAGAGGAGAGGGUGAUGCAGCAAAGUGUAGCGUAAGUAUUUCCCUCAGUUUUGAGAACCAAGGUAUCAAUCCAGUAGGAUGCUCCUCAAAAGUCCCACGCACCUACACAAACAAACUGAGAACUCGCAACCAACGCAAUAAAGGGGUUGUCAAUCCCUUCACGGCCACUUGCGAAAGUGAGAUCUAAUAAAGAUAGUAAGAUAAGAUAAAUAUAUUUUUGGUAUUUUAUAAGAUAGAUGCAAAAAGUAAAGAUGAAAAUAAAGAUAGAUUGAAAGCAAAUAUGAUAAGAGAUAGACCCGGGGGCCAUAGGUUUCACUAGAGGCUUCUCUCAAGAUAGCAUAAGUAUUACGGUGGGUGAACAAAUUACUGUCGAGCAAUUGAUAGAAAAGCGCAUAGUUAUGAGAUUAUCUAGGCAUGAUCAUGUGUAUAGGCAUCACGUCCAUAACAAGUAGACCGACUCCUGUCUGCAUCUACUACUAUUACUCCACACAUCGACCGACUCCUGCCUGCAUCUAGAGUAUUAAGUUCAUAAGAACAGAGUAAUGCAUUAAGCAAGAUGACAUGAUGUAGAGGGAUAAACACAUGCAAUAUGAUAUAAACCCCAUCUUGUUAUCCUCGAUGGCAACAAUACAAUAUGUGUCUUGCAACCCUUUCUGUCACUGGGUAAGAACACCGCAAGAUUGAACACAAAGCUAAGCACUUCUCCCAUGGCAAGAAAGACCAAUCUAGUAGGCAAAACCAAACUGAUAAUUCAAAGAGACUUGCAAAGAUAACUCAAUCAUACAUAAAAGAAUUCAGAGAAGAUUCAAAUAUUAUUCAUAGAUAAACUUGAUCAUAAACCCACAAUUCAUCGGAUCUCGACAAACACACCGCAAAAAGAGUUUACAUCGAAUAGAUCUCCACAAGAGAGGGGGAGAACAUUGUAUUGAGAUCCAAAAAGAGAGAAGAAGCCAUCUAGCUAAUAACUAUGGACCCGUAGGUCUGUGGUAAACUACUCACAACUCAUCGGAGGGGCAAGGAUGUUGAUGUAGAGGCCCUCCGUGGUUGAUUCCUCCUCCGGCAUGUAAGUGCAUCUAGUGCCCCUUAGUGAUUUUGGUGUAUUGAAGACUUAUAGGUUAAGGGACUGAUGCGUUUGUGAGUGUACACAGGUCUAUAAGUCUAUGAGGAGUUUGAUAUUUACAGAGAAAGUCGACCCCUAAAAAUGAAGUUCUUCGACUGAAGACUUUGAUAUUCUGAAGACUUUCUGAAGACUUUGAAAGUGAAGAAAUUGGUGUGACCUUGAAGACUUGGUAUUCAUUUGAGGAACAUGAAGUGUGAAGACUUUUGUUUUCGUAGUUUCAUUUUCUCUUUCUUGAAUCAUAGGAAACACCGUACUGUUAAAGGGGGUCGAGGAAAUACUAAGGAAAAAUUUCCAUGUGAUGAUCAACUCAAAAUCCUACACCUACCAAUCCCUUCGAGUGAAGCCAUUGGAAAUCUCAUACAAUCCAGUCAUUUUUUCAGUGACAGAGACGCAGUUCUUUUGGUCACUGAGGACUUUGCUCUGACUGAGGAGUUAGGAAUUCGCCAGUGCGAAUUGCCUACACAGUGAGGAACAUGAUAGCCCUGAGGAAUUUGAGAGUCAAAUUUCCGACCAUUGCUGUGCUGCACGCCGGCUGUCCAAAAUAUCUUAUCCACCUAACGGUCAUAUCAUUGAAGGGCAUUUAUGUCUUAUCAUGUCGGGCUGCUCCCUAGGCUAUAAAUAGCCGCCCCCUACAACCACUAGUUGGUUGGCUGCUCCGAGAGAACUUGACACUUGUCAUCUGAGAGCAACCCAUCCUCCGAGGACUUUGAGCGAAAAUCAUCAAGUGAGGAAAAUCCAAAACCAAACCCCCACAAACCCAAAGUGAUUGAGCAUCACUGAAGAAAUUGAUCCUGUGUGGAUCCGACGCUUGUUACCUUUGAAGAUUGUGCUUCUUCCAGACGGUUAGGCGUCAAGGUCUAGAGCAUCCAAGAGGAAUUGUGGAUCGCCGAGUGACCAAGUCUGUGAAGGUUUGGAAGUCACCUGAAGACUUACCACGAGUGAUUGGACGAGACCUGUGUGGUCUUAGUUCAAGGAGAAUACGGUGAGGACUGGGUGUCCUGAGUUGCGGCUCAGAGACUGGGUGUCCGGGACUGCGUGUCCUCGAGUUUAAAUACUCAGCCGCUCCAACCAUACGUACAACUGAGACAGCAGUUGGAACUGGUUUACCAAAUCAUUGUCUUCACCAACUAACUGGUUCUAUUUCCUCAACCCUUUCAUUUCCUCAUUACUGUGUUGAAUGUUGUUCAUAUCUGUGCUUGAAGACUUUGACUGAAGACUUUCUCAAUUUCCUCAGUUCAAUUUCUUCAGUCUGUUUGUCUUCAUCUUGUUAUCCUAUGUUUACGCUUUCUGUACUCUAUGAUAGUAUUCAUUUCAUCAUGAUGACUAUGCUUGUAUCAUGUUAUGUUUACUUCUGAGUACUUAUUCCGCUGCAAGUAGUUCUUCGCUAAGGAAUUUCCUCACUGGCAAAUUCCUCAGUGAAGAAUUCAUAAAAAUCGCCUAUUCACCCCCCCUCUAGUCGAUAUAACGCACUUUCAAUUGGUAUCAGAGCGAGGUACUCCCUUGUUCUGUGUGAUUUUGGUUUAACCUCCUGGAGUUUUAGUUAUGUCGACCACAGGUAUGAAGAAAGUCACAUGCCCUAUCUUUGACGGUCAUGAUUAUCCCAAGUGGAAGGCCAUGAUGAGGAAGCGCCUCAUGGCUAGGAACAGCGAGCUGUGGACAGUCACUGAAAUUGGUCUUACUGAUCUAUGCAAGAUGGCGAACGCAGAUGACAUUCGCAAGUACACUCGACUUGACAUCAUAGCGAAGGAUAUCAUCUGUUCCUGCCUAUCCAGAGAUCAAUUUGGGCGCAUUAUGCAUCUUGGCAAUUCGAAGCUUAUCUGGGACCGAAUCUUUGAUGUCUAUGAAGAUCAUCGAACUCGUCAUGAUCCCUGGUUUGAGGACUUCAAGGAUAUCUCUCAAAACGAUGACUUUCGAGCCAGAAUCAUCAUCUUCUGCAUCGUGUCUCAUGGCAGACGGUGCUGAGGUAACCAAAUGCUCCUCAUCCGAGUUCUGUGACGAUGAAUCUGAUAAUGAUGAAUCUGAUAAUGUUGAAUCUGAUAAUGAUGAAUCUGAUAAUGAUGAAUCUGAUGAUGACAUUGAAUCUUGUUAUUCCAAACUCAUUUGCAUUGCCACUAAACAACAAACAGCUUUGGAACAAACUCAAGACAUGUUAGCCAAAAGUGAUGAUAUGUUGCGUAAAGAAAUGGAUCAGUCAAAAGCAUUGGGUGAAUGUCUUCAGAGAAUUCACUCCAAGUUUGACGCCCUUCAAGAUCAACAUAAUACCCUCUUGACAGAUCACGAGAAGCUUUCUCUUGAAUUUCUUCAAAGAAAGGAAGAUCUUGAAAAGCUAAGAGUGUGUUAUGAAGAUCUUCAGAAGGAGCGCGAUUCAUUACUAGCUCAACAGAUCAGCACUUCUUAGGAAGAAUUUGUUCCUCCAUGCUUAAAGUGCAUUGAACGUGAAUCUGCUAAUUCUUCACCUGAAUGUUCAAAUGCUUCAACUGUUAUAAAUUCUUCAUCUGCCUCUGCUAUCACUAAUUCCUCACCUGAGGACAUUGCUAGUAUCACUGACAAUGCAGGGCUGAAGGAAUUGUACAUGACAGGCAUGUACAAAAGCCUCAAAGGGCAUCAGACUCUAUGUGAUGUGCUUAAAAAGCAGAUCCUUAACAGAAACCCUAGGAAAGAGGGUAUUGCAUUUGAGAGGAAACUCAAUGCUGAUGGAACAUAUUGGAAACCUGAGCAGUACCCCAAAACCUCAUGGGUUGCUGCAAAGGGACCUCCAGUUGAUCCAUCUAACUUAUCUGGCUUUACAUGUGAAUCUCCUCAUUCUUCUGAUGAGUCAUUUGACUCCAACUAUAAAAUGUUCAAAAAUCAAAAUGGUGAAGUAUUUGCUAGAUAUGUUGGCACUAACUGCAGGAACGGUUCCCCUAUGAAGAAAAUCUGGGUUCCCAAAAGUUAUGUUGAAAGUCUUCAGGUGAAUGUCCUCAUGACACCACCUGUGAAGAACAGGAACCUCAGAUCAAAUUCUUCAUAUGGACCAAAUUCUUCAUAUGGAUCCAAGUCCUCAUACGGACCAAAUUCCUCACGUGGAUCAAAUUCCUCAACAGGAUCGAAGUCCUUGUAUGAUUAUCAUCGUGCUAACAACUUUGUCUCGCGGGGUAGAGCUAAGGGCUAUGAAUAUGUGCAUUAUUCCUCCAACCAUUAUGUUCAUAAGUCCUCGAAGAAUUACUCUGCUUAUUCAUAUGCUUACCCUAACCCAUCUUAUGUGAAACAAAACGGUUUGGCAUCUUUGCCCCCAUUCUCACAUGGUGCUCGCAGAAUGAUGAACUCUUUGCCACCCCUUCAGAUGUGGGUGGUGAAGAAAAAGAACUAAUCUCUUCUGCAGGGUCAGGUCUCCAGACGUGCUCUAACGUCUGAAGAAUUUGCUGGGGACCUGACGAAAUGCCUGAAAGGACGCAGGCGAAUCACGAUGAAAUGAACUUUCAUUUCACACGUCCUCAUACUGCUAUAUCAGUUUACUGCUUGAUGAAAUUCAUCUGAUGAACUUGAUAUCAUAUUCUUCACUGACGAAGCAUAUGAGAUUGUAAGCUACACUAAUUCAUCUGCAGGAUGAUCAACCCAAAACCACUGAAUGGGUCCUCGAUAGUGGAUGUACAAAUCACAUGACUGGUGACAAGAAUCUAUUGAUGGAUGCUCCCUUAUCACCGUCACCUCUGAAGCAUAUCAUCUUUGCUGACAAAGGCAAAAGUCAGGUAUUGGGUCUUGGUAAGGUUGCAAUCUCUAAGGAUAAACACAUGGACAAAGUCAUGCUUGUUGAGUCCUUAGGAUACAAUCUAAUGUCAGUCUCAAUGCUUUGUGAUCUUGAUAUGGUUGUUGUCUUUGGCAAGUAUCGCUAUGUUGUGAUUAUGGAAGCUGACAAUUCCAAAGUCUUCGAAGGCUUUAGGAGAGGAGAUUUGUAUAUUGUUGAUUUCUCUACAGGACCACAACCAGCCGUGUGUCUACUUCCAAAAGCUUCAGAAGGCUGGCUAUGGCAUCGACGACUUGGUCACGCAGGCAUGAGGAAUUUGAACACGCUUGCGAAGAAGAAGCAUGUCAUUGGCAUUGAGAAUGUCAAAUUCCUCAAGGAUCACUUAUGCGGAGCCUGUGAAGCUGGAAAAAUGACCAAGGCCAAGCAUCCAGCGAAGACUAUCAUGACCACUACACGUCCAUUCGAAUUGCUUCACAUGGACCUCUUCGGACCUAACCAUUACUCAGCAGUCACUAAUGAUGCAUCUCUAUAUGGUUUUGUCAUUGUUGAUGAUUAUUCUCGAUAUACAUGGGUACACAUUGUUACUUACAAACAUGAAGUGCAGGAAGUCUUCAAACGAUUUUCCUCGAGGGCUUCAACCAACUUUGGUGUGAAGAUCAAGCAUAUUAGAAGUGACAAUGGAACUGAGUUCAAGAAUUCCGGUCUUGAUGCCUAUCUUGAUGAACUUGGUAUUACUCAUGAGUUAUCUGCUCCCUAUACUCCUCAGCAGAAUGGCGUCGUGGAGCGCAAGAACAGAACUCUUGUUGAGAUGGCUCGCACUAUGCUUGAUGAAUACAAAACGCCUCAGCGUUUUUGGAUUGAUGCUAUUGAUACUGCGUGCCACAUCAUCAACAGAGUAUAUCUUCACAAAUUCUUCAAGAAGACGGCCUAUGAACUCCUCACUGACAAGAAACCCAAUGUGAGUUAUUUCAAAGUCUUCGGUGCUAAAUGCUGGAUUAGAGAUCCUCACCACAACUCUAAAUUUGCACCGAAAGCACAUGAAGAUUUUAUGCUUGGUUAUGGAAAGGACUCGCACACCUACAGAGUCUUCAACAUUGUUCUUCACAAGAUUGUUGACACUGUAGAUGUGCGGUUCGAUGAAACUAAUGGCUCGCAAAGAGAGCACCUGCCUUCUGUGAUAGAUGAACCAGCACCUGAGGAUGCUAUCAAGCUCAAGGCAACUGAGGAUGUCAUUCCUACUGAAGAAUCUGCUGAAGAAUUCAUUCCUGUCCAUGAAGAACGUCGAGCUGAUGCACCUGAAGAACAUGAUGAGGAAAAUGGUGCUGAAGAAAAUGUUGAUCAAAAUCCUCAGUGACAACCAGCUCACCCUCGGGUUGCAAAAGAAGUGCAAGUGGAGAAGAUCAUCGAUGACAUUAGCGCACCAGGUCCUCUCACACGCUUAAAAGCUUCACAUUUAUCUAACUUUUGUGGGCACUAUGCUUUUGUCUCUAUCACAGAGCCCACUAAGGUAGAUGAAGCAUUUCUGGAGCCGGAGUGGAUUCAGGCUAUGCAAGAAGAAUUACAUCAGUUCGAGCUUAACAAUGUCUGGGAAUUGGUCAAUCGCCAGAUCCUCGCAAGCAUAAUAUCAUUGGCACAAAGUGGAUCUACCGCAACAAGCAAGAUGAAAAUGGCCUUGUGGUGAGGAAUAAGGCACGACUAGUAGCUCAAGGCUACACACAGGUUGAAGGAAUUGAUUUCGAUGAAACUUUUGCACCUGUUGCUAGACUUGAGGCUAUUCGCAUAUUACUUGCCUAUGCUAACCAUCAUGAUAUCAUCUUAUAUCAAAUGGAUGUGAAAAGUGCAUUCCUCAAUGGUAAGCUUGAGGAAGAAGUAUAUGUUGCUCAACCCCCAGGUUUUGAAGAUCCAAAGAAUCCUGACAAAGUCUUUAGACUCAAUAAGGCCCUGUAUGGCCUCAAGCAAGCCCCUCGGGCGUGGUAUGAUACACUGAAGGAAUUCUUUGUGAAGAAUGGCUUCACACCCGGUUCACUCGACCCUACUCUUUUUACUAAGUCAUAUGAUGGUGAACUGUUUGUGUGCCAAAUAUAUGUUGAUGAUAUUAUCUUUGGUUGUACUGACCAACGUUAUAGUGAUGAAUUUGCCUAUAUGAUGAGUGAAGGAUAUCAAAUGUCUAUGAUGGGAGAGUUGAAAUUCUUCUUAGGUCUUCAAAUUCGUCAGCAGCGCAAUGGCAUAUUCAUAUCUCAGGAGAAAUACCUCAAAGAUGUACUGAGGAAAUUCGGCAUGCAAGAUUGCAAAGGCGUCAAAAUUCCUAUGCCCACAAAUGGCCAUCUGUGCACUGAUGAAAAUGGUAUUGACUUCGAUCACAAGGUAUACCGCUCCAUGAUUGGUUCUUUAUUGUACUUAUGUGCAUCUAGGCCAGAUAUAAUGCUUAGUGUUUGCAUGUGUGCCCGAUUUCAAGCUGCACCGAAGGAAUCACACCAUAAGGCUAUGAAGCAUAUUCUUCGAUAUCUAGCUCACACACCAACACUAGGAUUAUGGUACCCCAAGGGCUCUGCUUUUGAUCUCAUUGGAUAUUCUGACUCUGACUAUGCUGGUGAUCGUGUGGACCGCAAGUCAACAUCUGGCACUUGUCAUUUCCUCGGACGAUCUUUGGUCUGUUGGUCCUCGAAGAAAUAGAACUGUGUAUCACUGUCUACUGCUGAAGCUGAAUACAUUGCUGUUGGCUCUUGUUGUGCUCAACUGCUUUGGAUGAAGCAAACCCUCAAGGACUAUGGCGUCAACGUGAAUAAUGUGCCUCUCCUCUGCGACAAUGAGAGUGCCAUCAAGAUUGCUCACAACCCAGUUCAGCACUCGAAGACAAAGCACAUCCAAAUUCGUCAUCAUUUCCUUCGUGAUCAUGUGUUGAAGGGUGAUAUCUCCAUCGAGCACGUGAAGACUGAAGAACAGUUAGCAGAUAUCUUCACUAAGCCCUUGGAUGAGAAGAGAUUUAGCAAGUUGCGGUGUGAGCUAAAUAUCUUAGAAUCUUCGAAUGUUCUUUGAAAAGGACACACAUCCUAACCCUUAUGCAGAAUUGAUGACUUAGAUGUGCAACACAUAAAGAAACGGUUUUCUUCAAUCAAUGAAGAAUAACACUCUAAGUGUGAAAAAAAUAAUGAAGAAUUUGAUUCUCAGAACCCUACGACAAUUGUACAUGGUGUCUGAAAUCAUCAUUCUUAUACGGUGGGUCACGCCACCACAAGAAGUUGAAAAUCUUCAAUUUGAGUUUUCCCUCAGUUUUGAAAUUCUUCAGUUUUUCAAACUCUUCAACUUUGCAAAAUCUUCACUGUUUCCGUCAUUUUUCUUCAUUGGCCAUAUAUAUAUGUGAGCUUAUGUCCUCUACAGCAUUCACUUAUUGCUAUUUCUUCAAGUUGUGAUUUCUGCUAAGUGAAUGUGAUCGGACCCUUCCCCCUUUAUGCUAUACUCAACCCAAUCUAUUCACAAAUUCUUCAUGUGCGUUCUAUUUGAAACUCGUUCAAAGUCUUCACUGUGUCCUUGACAGCUGAAGAAAUUGCGAACGAAACUUUAAAACAAAUCUUAUCUAGAUUUUCGGUUUUACCGCUCAAACCGUUCCGCAUCCCAUGAUGCAUUAGUUUAUUCACCCACGAUCUUACACGAUCUCAUCUGCACAAUACGUGGGUGACACAUGUCACGUGAAGGAGAAAGGGCAGGGGCAUGUUCGUCCCAAAAUCUUCGGGCGAACAGUUUUUACCGUGGCUAUAAAUACCCCUCUCCCCUUCCUCACUUCAUUUACUCCGCUCGGUCGCUGUCUCUCGCUCGAGCUUCCCAAACCCUAGCGUCGCCGCUACUCCAUCGUCGCCGCUGAGGAAGAGCUUCACUGCCUCGACCUCAUCGCCGUCGUACUCGCGCCGGCUGCGGAAAUCUUCACUCCGCCGCCGCCGUAGCUAUUUCCCUCUGCCAAGUUAGGGCGUGGGAGAUCGAACCGGACGAACUUCACAUCUGUUCAUCUCAGUUCGUCGUGUUCUUCGGUUCGGGUAAUUAAAAGUUACUUUUAUUACUCACUUUGAUUCUCAAACUUUCCUAAAAAUCUUCAAAGGUGUUUUAUUCUUCAAAUCUUCACACAUAUGAACACCUCGCACACUGUAUGCUCUUGAUCCAUUUCUCGAAGCACUCAUUUUCUUCAAGAUUCCUCAAUUGUGUGGAUUUUCGAUCUGUACAACUCUGGAACCUAAGACAAAGAGCACUUAGUGAAAUUCCUCAAGGCUCAAUGGGUCAAAUUCCUCAAAACUUGUCUUUUCAAAAAAUCCUUCCGAGAACGCAUAUGACCUCUUCAAAUUUCUCGCACCUACACUCCGUUCACAGGUACUCAUGACCGCUGCUGAAUCACUAGGUUCUCAUCAACUUAACUCAUUUGCAGCGUUCCUCGAAGAAAAACUGCAUACUUCUUCAGAGUGCUCAGUUGUUCAAAUUCCUCAUUUGAAGAAUAUGGCUAAAGGAAAGAGACCGCAGAAAGGAGGAAAGAGGCCUGAGGUCAUGACUGCUUUCGAAAUCCCUGAUGAACUCUAUAAGGAUUAUUGCACACCUGAUGAAGCCAAGUUUGGCAAAGAAAACAAGAAUCAGCGCAAGGUGCGCAUUCAGAGAAUUGAACGGAGAUGGGCAAGGGAGUGGAGAGAAUAUCGAUAUGUUACUCCAAAGUACAUGAAGAAAUUCGCCCUCAAUCCUCCGUGCCCUAGAGCUCCACUGGCACCUGGCCAAGUUGCUGAUCCCACUAGCAUCAAAAGUGGUGAAGACUUUCCUGAAGAAUGGGCUAAGCGCCAAGCAAAAUUAGCAAGGCAAGCCAAGGAGGCAGUGAGGAAAUUCAAUGAGGAUUCUGCCGCUGCUGCUGCCGCUGAGACCUCCGUCAAACUGAGGAAAUCAAUGCCGAAGAAGCCUGCACGCAAGCCAAGUGCUUCACCAACAGCGCCCUCACGGCCAGGUUCCUUAGCUACACCCUCACGGCAAAUUCCUCAGACUGCCACUGCUCCACCAAAGUCCUCAGCAGCUCCCUCAAAGUCCUCAACUCCUGUGCUUCUGGCUACAUGUCAAAGGACUCAGGGUUUCUCAAUUGCUUCUGGUGUCUCAGCAAGUUCCUCAGCUGCACCAAUGUCCUCAUCAGCCCCCACUCUGUUGAAGACUAAAGCAACAGCUGGACGCGAUCCUCGGCCAAGUCCAAGGAAGAAACAGGUUGCAUUCCAAGUGCCAUCUGAUGAUGAAGCUUCUGAUGAAGAACUUGCAGAAAUCAUCAGAGAUAGACAAGUGAAGGCCGCUAGAGCCAAAGGGACGUUUGUGCCACUGCUUUUGGAUCCGAAGAAGAUCCUCGACUACAUCGAUCUCUGGCACAAGGAUCCGAACACUCCAAUGCCUGAUCUGCCUCUGACUCCCGGUCAAAGUCACAUGCUGACCCAUUUUAUCUCUCAAGAGAAAUGGAAGUUUGAAAAGGCUCAUGAAAUCAAAAAGGCUCAAUCUAGAAAGGAGAAGCUCCUGAAGAAGAAUGUUGUAAGACUGACUCCUGAGGAACUUCUCAAGGCUCAAUCUGAAAUCCAAGCACUCAGCAAGGACUUCGAUGCAUACAAUGCUGAUUGGCAAGGAGCCAAAGUGAGAUUCGUCAACCUGACGAAGAAAAUGACAACUGUUGCAGCCCCAUCGCAACAAGAAAAUCCUCAGGCUGCAGAUUCUGCUCAGCCUGCUGAAGAACAUGCCAGCACCGCUGAUGACUUUCACCAUGCUGAUGAAAAUACAAGUUCCAGGGAUGAUGACUCCAUCCCAGCCGCUGAAGAAAUUGCCAGGGCAUCCACUAGUGGUGCGCCUGAAGAAACUGAAGAAAUCAGGGCAACUGCACCAGUUGCGCCUGAAGAAAAUCAACCACAGUCCUCAGCUCCUCCCGCGCCAACACCAACUCCAAUUCUUCCUUCUGCCUAUGAAGUGAAGAAGAGCAAGGCUGCAGAGCGAGCUGUAGUGAAGAAAAGGAAGGCAUCAGCUGCGUCAAAUUCUUCGGCUGCGAAGAAAAUGAAGCCAAUGACCAGCUCUCUUGAAAAUCCUAUUGAUGUCGUUCCGAUUUCCUCCAUGUCAUCAAAGGAAAUUGUUCCUUAUGGAGAAGACUACAAGAUCCCAAGCGGAUCUGAUGAAGAAAAUCAUUCUGCUGCUACUUCAGAGCAGUUUGAUGAAGAAAUUGAAGUGGAAGCAAUCCCUUCAACGCCACUCAUUUCCUCACCUAUGCCUCAGUUCACAGCUGAAGAGGCGGGUGUUGAGGAAAUUGAAAAUGAAGAUGAAGAUGUGGAUAUUGGAUGCACUACACCAGUGAUGAAUGAUGACUUUUGGGAAAGUCAGCAUCCCAAUACUCCUCCAUUUACACCGAUCCAACAAAUUCCUCAGUCCCCGGCAACCAUAGUUCAGAUGGGCUCUGAAGAAACUCAUCCCACUCCUUCUGUUCAUGAAGAAAUUCCAGCCGCUAGUGCUGAAGAACCUGCUGCUGCUGAUCCUCAAGUUGCACAAGAGGAGGAACCAGAAAUUCCUCAGCCUGCAGAACCUGAGCUCAUGAUUCCUGAGGUUGUGCUGCAAAUCACUGACACUCCUCUGCCCAAGCCGAAGAAUCCGUUCUCAAGCAAGCAAAAAUUCAAGGCUGAAGACUUCUUUUCUGAGCAUGUGUUCUUCACUGAUUAUAAUCCAUAUGACUCUGCUCGCAUAAGGAAGAGGCGUUUCUGGACUGCAAGUCAAGCCAACUUUAUUCCUCAGUGCUCUUCGACAAGGACAAAAUCUUCGAUCAUGAACAUAUUCCUCAUGUGGGUAUGGAAUCUCUGCCGUGCUUCGAGCCAGUCCUCAGAGUUAUUCACGAUGCAGGACUACUGAACUUUUGCACUGAUAUCUGUGAUUGGAAUGAAGAACUCAUUCUUCAGUUCUACACCACAUUGCAUAUCACUGGAGACGCUGAAGAUAUCAAUUCAUGGGUGCUGGAUUGGUAGACCGAAAACACUCACUAUAAGGCACCAGCAACUGAAUUGCUUCAUGUCCUUCCUCUUGAUCCUCCCCAGGACAGUGCACGUUGCAUCUACAAUGACCGUGAACUGACAAAUCAUUAUAUGCAAGUGCUCAUGAAGCCUUUGAAGCCAGGGCAGGCCCCAUGAACCAAAUUCCUCGUCAAGGAAUUGCUCUAUGUGCCUCGGACUGUCUAUCGCAUCCUGACGAAGACAAUGAGUCCUAUCAAAGGCCACGACUCAAAUGAUGAAGAUGUCGUUGGCAUCAUGAAGAACAUGCUUUUCAACAUCAUUCAUGGCGUUCCCGUCAACUUCCAUGGUUUCUUCAUGAGGACUCUUGCAAAUGUUGCAAUGUCACCAUUCGAGCUGAAGCCCUAUGCGCCUUGGAUUAUGAGAUUCAUAAGGGCAAGAUCUUCACUGAAUUACAAGGCUGACACUCUGAACCAUGGUAGCUACUUGCCUCCCAUUGAAGUCCUCAAGUGACCAGUUUCAUCAUCUGAUGAUAAAGGCAAGGCAGCUGCUAUGAUUGAUGAAGGCACUCGUCCAUUGGAUGGUCAAUUUCGUCUGGCUACAUCUUAUUCUACCAAUGACGACUUUGCCACACAUGACACUGCCGCAAAUACCUCAGCAAAGCAAAAUCCUCAAGCCACAGCUCCCAGGGUGAUGACUGAUCGUGAGUUACUCCUCAGUCUUCAUCAGAAGGUUGAUCGCAAUCACAAAUGGGUGAAGCGUCAGUUUGCUGCUAUUCUUCACAAUAUGACCUCAACACAUAAUGCAGUGAAGAAGAACCAUUAUCACCUUCAUGAAACCCUCAACCGCACCUGGGCUGUUCUCACUCAUGUAUAUUGCGCGGAAGAACUAAAGACUAUGGAUCUCCAGGAAGCAUUUGACUGGUCUGCACCUCCUCCGAAGAAAUUCAAGAGAGUCAAAGUGCCUGAUCUGGUUGCCAGCUCCUAUUCUUCAUCGUGUGACACUGAUGAAUUUGAAGAUUUGGAUGACACUACGGUAGGCCCUACUUCAACAAACAACCCCGACAACGCCGGCGCUCCUCCAUCAACGUGAAAAUCUUCAGGGGCGUUAGUCCUCAGUUUCGAUCCUUUUGGUCAUUUGAUGACAAAGGGGGAGAAAUCUGAGUUAGUCUUCAAGCGGGUUUAUAUUAUGGGCGUUUUUUUAAGUUACAACUCUCGUUCUUCCGAAACUUUUAGUGGAUCGAGUUGUAAUCUUAAAACCGAUGGUGCCUUGAUACUUUUGGUCGUGCUAUGAUGCUUUUGAUGCACUGAGCUCUGAUACUUUUGAUGUGCUAUUCUGCAUGCUUAUACUUUUGAUGAGCUAUGAUACUUUUGAUACUUUUGAUGUUUUAAUAUUAUUGCACGCAUGCUGAAUUACAUCAGGCACCAUAUUUCAUCAUGCAUUUCAAAUUCUUCAUAUUAUAUAUCAAAUGCGUGUAUGAAUUACAAGAUAUAGGGGGAGAUCUCCAUGAUUCAAUUCUUCAAAUGUGCAUUGCCUCAAAAGCAAAUUCCUCACUAUGCACAUAGUCAGGGGGAGUUCUUCUAUAUCUUGCAAUCAAAUUCCUCAAUAUCAGUAUUUACACUUCACAUAUUUAUCCCCGUUGAAAACUUAACCUAUGUUGUCAUCAAUCACAAAAAAGGGGGAGAUUGUAAGUGCAUCUAGUGCCCCUUAGUGAUUUUGGUGUAUUGAAGACUUAUAGGUUAAGGGACUGAUGCGUUUGUGAGUGUACACAGGUCUAUAAGUCUAUGAGGAGUUUGAUAUUUACAGAGAAAGUCAACCCCUAAAAAUGAAGUUCUUCGACUGAAGACUUUGAUAUUCUGAAGACUUUCUGAAGACUUUGAAAGUGAAGAAAUUGGUGUGACCUUGAAGACUUGGUAUUCAUUUGAGGAACAUGAAGCGUGAAGACUUUUGUUUUUGUAGUUUCAUUUUCUCUUUCUUGAGUCAUAGGAAACACCGUACUGUUAAAGGGGGUCGAGGAAAUACUAAGGAAAAAUUUCCAUGUGAUGCUCAACUCAAAAUCCUACACCUACUAAUCCCUUCGAGUGAAGCCAUUGGAAAUCUCAUACAGUCCAGUCAUUUUCUUCAGUGACAGAGACGCAGUUCUUUUGGUCACUGAGGACUUUGCUCUGACUGAGGAGUUAGGAAUUCGCCAGUGCGAAUUGCCUACACAGUGAGGAACAUGAUAGCCCUGAGGAAUUUGAGAGUCAAAUUUCCGACCGUUGUUGUGUUGCACGCCGGCUGUCCAAAAUAUCUUAUCCACCUAACGGUCAUAUCAUUGAAGGGCAUUUAUGUCUUAUCAUGUCGGGCUGCUCCCUAGGCUAUAAAUAGCCGCCCCCUACAACCACUAGUUGGUUGGCUGCUCCGAGAGAACUUGACACUUGUCAUCUGAGAGCAACCCAUCCUCCGAGGACUUUGAGCGAAAAUCAUCAAGUGAGGAAAAUCCAAAACCAAACCCCCACAAACCCAAAGUGAUUGAGCAUCACUGAAGAAAUUGAUCCUACGUGGAUCCGACGCUUGUUACCUUUGAAGAUUGUGCUUCUUCCAGACGGUUAGGCGUCAACGUCUAGAGCAUCCAAGAGGAAUUGUGGAUCGCCGAGUGACCAAGUCUGUGAAGGUUUGGAAGUCACCUGAAGACUUACCACGAGUGAUUGGACGAGACCUGUGUGGUCUUAGUUCAAGGAGAAUACGGUGAGGACUGGGUGUCCUGAGUUGCGGCUCAGAGACUGGGUGUCCGGGACUGUGUGUCCUCGAGUUUAAAUACUCAGCCGCUCCAACCAGACGUACAACUGAGACAGCAGUUGGAACUGGUUUACCAAAUCAUUGUCUUCACCAACUAACUGGUUCUAUUUCCUCAACCCUUUCAUUUCCUCAUUACUGUGUUGAAUGUUGUUCAUAUCUGUGCUUGAAGACUUUGACUGAAGACUUUCUCAAUUUCCUCAGUUCAAUUUCUUCAGUCUGUUUGUCUUCAUCUUGUUAUCCUGUGUUUACGCUUUCUAUACUCUGUGAUAGUCUUCAUUUCAUCAUGAUGACUAUGCUUGUCUCCUGUUAUGUUUACUUCUGAGUACUUAUUCCGCUGCAAGUAGUUCUUCGCUAAGGAAUUUUCUCACCGGCAAAUUCCUUAGUGAAGAAUUCAUAAAAAUCGCCUAUUCACCCCCCCUCUAGUCGAUAUAACGCACUUUCACGGCAGAGUGCCGGCGAAGGCUCCAAGAUGGGAUCUCGCGGAUACAGAAGGUUACGGCGAUGGAAAUUGUGUUUCGUGGUGCUCUUGGAUGUUUUCGGGGUACGUAGGUAUAUAUAGGAGGAAGAAGUACGUCGGUGGCCGCCCGAGGGGCCCACAAGACAGGGGGCGCGCCCUACAGGGGGGGCGCGGCCCCCUAUCUCGUGGGGCCCUCGGAAGCUUCUUGAUUUGCACUCCAAGCUCUCCAGAUCAUGUUCGUUCCAAAAAUCACGCUCCCGAAGGUUUCAUUCCGUUUGGACUCCGUUUGAUAUUCCUUUUCUUCGAAAUACUGAAAUAGGCAAAAAAAACAGCAAUAUGGGUUGGGCCUCCGGUUAGUAGGUUAGUCCCAAAAAUGAUAUAAAUGUGUAAAAUAAAGCCCAUAAACAUCCAAAAGGGGUAAUAUAAUAGCAUGGAACAAUCAAAAAUUAUAGAUACGUUGGAGACGUAUCAAGCAUCCCCAAGCUUAAUUCCUGCUCGUCCUCGAGUAGGUAAAUGAUAAAAAAGAAAUUUUUCAUGUGGAAUGCUACCUAGCAUAAUUCAUAAUGUAAUUUUCUUUAUUGUGGCAUGAAUGUUCAGAUCCAAAUGAUACAAAAUAAAAGUUCAUAUUGACAUAAGAAAUAGUAAUACUUCAAGCAUACUAAUCAAAGUAAUCAUGUCUUCUCAAAAUAACAUGGCCAAAGAAAGUUAUCCCUACAAAAUCAUAUAGUCUGGCUAUGCUCUAUCUUCAUCACACAAAGUAUUUAAUCAUGCACAACCCCGAUGAAAAGCCAAGCAAUUGUUUCAUACUUUAAUAAUUUCACACUUUUUCAACUUUCACGCAAUACAUGAGCGUGAGCCAUGGACAUAGCACUAUAUGUGGAAUAGAAGGGUGGUUGUGGAGAAGACAAAAAGGAGAAGAUAGUCUCACAUCAACUAGGCGUAUCAACGGGCUAUGGACAUGCCCAUUAAUAGAUAUCAAUGUGAGUGAGUAUGGAUUGCCAUGCAACGGAUGCACUAGAGCUAUAAAUAUAUGAAAGCUCAACAAAAGAAACUAAGUGGGGUGCAUCCAACUUGCUUGCUCAUGAAGACCUAGGGCACUUUGAGGAAGCCCAUCAUUGGAAUAUACAAGCCAAGUUCUAUAAUGAAAAAUUCCCACUAGUAUAUGAUAGUGACUACAUAUGAGGCUCUCUAACAUGAAGAUCAUAGUGCUAUUUUGAAGCACAAGUGUGGAAAAAGAGAUAGUAGCAUUGUCCUUUCUCUCAUUUUAUUAUUAUUAUUAUUUCCUUUUUUUUCCUUUUUUUUCUUUGGCCUUUUUUUGGCCUUUCUCUUUUUUUUUGUAAAGUCCAAAGUCUCAUCCCGACUUGUGGGGGAAUCAUAGCCUUCAUCAUCCUUUCCUCACUAGGACAAUGCUCUAAUAAUGAAGAUCAUCACACUUUUAUGGAUUUACAACUCAAAGCUAGAACAAGAUAUGACUCUAUAUGAAUGCCUCUGGCGGUGUACCGGGAUAUGCAAUGAAUCAAGAGUGACAUGUAUGAAAAUUAUGAAGGUGGCCUUGCCACAAAUACGAUGUCAACUACAUGAUCAUGCAAAGAGCAAUAUGACAAAAGUAAUGCGUGUCAUAUGAACGGAACGGUGGAAAGUUGCAUGGCAAUAUAUCUCGGAAUGACUAUGGAAAUGCCAUAAUAGGUAGGUAGGGUGGCUGUUUUGAGGAAGGUAGAUGGUGGGUGUAUGGUACCGGCGAAAGUUGCGUGGUACAAGAGAGGCUAGCAAUGGUGGAAAGGUGAAAAAGUGCGUAUAAUCCAUGGACUCAACAUUAAUCAAAAGAACUCAUAUACUUGUUGCAAAAAUUUAGAAGUCAUCAAAAACCAAAGAACUACGCGCAUGCUCCUAGGGGGAUAGAUUGGUAGGAAAAGACCAUCGCUCGUCCCCGACCGCCACUCAUAAGGAAGACAAUCAAUAAAUAAAAUUGUGCUCCGACUUCAUCACAAAGCGGUUCACCAUACGUGCAUGUUACGGGAAUCACAAGCUUCAACACAAGCAUUAUUUAAAUUCAUAAUCACCCAACUAGCAUGACUUUAAUAUCACUACCCCCAUAUCUCAAAACAAAUAUCAAGCAUCAAAUUGAUCAUAGCAUCCAAUUCACUUUCUAUGAUAGUUUUUAUUAUACCCAACUUGGAUGCUCAUCAUUCUAGGACCAACUUUAUGAUCAUAGCAAAUAUCAUGCUGUUCUAACAGACUCUCAAAAUAAUAUAAGUGAAGCAUGAGAGACUAGCAAUUUCUUCAAAAUUAAGACACCACCAUGCUCUAAAAGAUAUAAGUGAAGCACUAGAGCAAAAAUUAUCAAACUCAAAAGAUAUAAGUGAAGCACAUAGAGUAUUCUAGCAAAUCCUAAUCAAAUAGGCUUCUCCCAAAAGGUGUGUACAGCAAGGAUGAUUGUGGUAAACUAAAAAGCAAAGACUAAUAUAAUACACGACGCUCCAAGCAAAACACAUAUCAUGUGGCGAAUAAAAAUAUAGCUCCAAGUAAAGUUACCAAUGAACAAAGACGAAAGAGGGGAUGCCUUCCCGGGGCAUCCCCAAGCUUAGGAUUUUGGCUAUUCUUGAAUAUCUUGGGGUGCCAUGGGCGUCCCCAAGCUUAGGCUCUUGCCACUCCUUAUUCCAUAGUCCAUAAAAGCUUUACCCAAAACUUGAAAACUUCACAACACAAAACUCAACAGGAAAUCUUAUAAGCUCCGUUAGUGAAAGAAAACAAAACCACCACAUAAGGUACUGCCAUGAACUCAUUCUUUAUUUAUUUUGGUGUUAAACCUACUGUAUUCCAACUUCUUUAUGGUUCAUAGACGGAAUUACUAGCCAUAGAAGCAUUGAAAUAAGCAAAUAACACACGAAAAACAGAAUCUGUCAAAAACAGAACAGUCUGUAGCAAUCUGUAACUAACGCAAACUUCUGGAACUCUAAAAAUCCUACCAAAAUAGGAAGUCCUGGACAAUUUGUUUAUUGAACAGCAUCAAAAUAAAUCAACGCAAAAGCACGUUCCUGUGAUUUAUCAAAAUUACACUUGUGCGUGCAAAGUUUCUGUUUUUCAGCAGAAUCAAAUCAACUAUCAUCGUAGGUUAUCCUAUAGGUUCUACUUGGCACAAACACUAACUAAAAGAUAAAAACACAUCUAAACAGAAGGUAGAUGCAAGAUUUAUUACUAAACAGGAGCAAAAACAAAAAAACAUAAAGAAAAUUGGGUUGCCUCCCAAUUAGCGCUAUUGUUUAACGCCCCUAGCUAGGCAUAAAAGCAAAGAUAGAUCUAACGAGUGCCAUCUUUGGCACUAAAUUCAUAAGUAGCACGCAUGAUAGAUUCAUAAGGUAAUAGACCCUCAAAAAAAAGAUUCAUAAGGUAAUUUGACUUUCUUUCUUGGAAAGUGCUCCAUGCCUUUCUUUAAGGGAAACUGGAAUCUAAUAUUCCCUUCCUUCAUAUCAAUAAUCGCACCAAUCGUUCUAAGGAAAGGUCUACCAAGAAUAAUAGGGCAAGAAAGAUUGCAAUCUAUAUCAAGAAUGAUAAAAUCUACGGGCACCGAAUUUCUAUUUGCAACAAUAAGAACAUCAUUGAUCCUUCCCAUAGGCUUUUUAAUGGUGGAAUCCGCAAGGUGCAAAUUUAAAGAGCAAUCAUCAAGAUCAUGGAAACCUAGAAUAUCACAUAAAGUUUUCGGAAUCAUGGAAACACUAGCACCCAAAUAACACAAAGAAAAACACUCAUAAUCUUUAAUUCUAAUCUUUAUAGUAGGUUCCCACUCAUCAUUAAGUUUUCCAGGUAUAGAAACUUCCAAAUUAAGUUUUUCAUCAUAAGAUUGCAUCAAGGCAUCAACAAUAUGUUUGGUAAAAGCUUUGUUUUGACUAUAAGCAUGAGGAGAGUUAACAACGGAUUGCAACAAGGAAAUACAACCUUUUAAAGAACAAUUAUUAUAAUAAAAUUCCUUGAAAUCCGAGAUAGAAAGUUCAAUAUUAUUAGAAGUUGAGGAUGAAGGAAAUAUGCCCUAGAGGCAAUAAUAAAGUUAUUAUUUAUUUCCUUAUAAUCAUGAUAAAUGUUUAUUAUUCAUGCUAGAAUUGUAUUUACCGGAAACAUAAUACAUGUGUGAAUACAUAGACAAACAAAGUGUCACUAGUAUGCCUCUACUUGACUAGCUCGUUAAUCAAAGAUGGUUAUGUUUCCUAACCAUGAACAAUGAGUUGUUAUUUGAUUAACGAGGUCACAUCAUUAGUAGAAUGAUCUGAUUGACAUGACCCAUUCCAUUAGCUUAGCACACGAUCGUUUAGUAUGUUGCUAUUGCUUUCUUCAUGACUUAUACAUGUUCCUAUGACUAUGAGAUUAUGCAACUCCCGUUUACCGGAGGAACACUUUGGGUACUACCAAACGUCACAACGUAACUGGGUGAUUAUAAAGGAGUACUACAGGUGUCUCCAACGGUCGAUGUUGGGUUGGCGUAUUUCGAGAUUAGGAUUUGUCACUCCGAUUGUCGGAGAGGUAUCUCUGGGCCCUCUCGGUAAUACACAUCACAUAAGCCUUGCAAGCAUUACAACUAAUAUGUUAGUUGUGAGAUGAUGUAUUACGGAACGAGUAAAGAGACUUGCCGGUAACGAGAUUGAACUAGGUAUUGGAUACCGACGAUCGAAUCUCGGGCAAGUAACAUACCGAUGACAAAGGGAACAACGUAUGUUGUUAUGCGGUUUAACCGAUAAAGAUCUUCGUAGAAUAUGUAGGAGCCAAUAUGGGCAUCCAGGUCCCGCUAUUGGUUAUUGACCAGAGACGUGUCUCGGUCAUGUCUACAUUGUUCUCGAACCCGUAGGGUCCGCACGCUUAAGGUUACGAUGACAGUUAUAUUAUGAGUUUAUGCAUUUUGAUGUACCGAAGGUUGUUCGGAGUCACGGAUGUGAUCACGGACAUGACGAGGAGUCUCGAAAUGGUCGAGACGUAAAGAUUGAUAUAUUGGAAGCCUAUAUUUGGAUAUCGGAAGUGUUCCGGGUGAAAUCGGGAUUUUACCGGAAUACCGGGAGGGUUACCGGAACCCCCCGGGAGCUAUUUGGGCCAUAGUGGGCCUUAGUGGAAAAGAGAAGGGGCUGCCCUAGAUGGGCUGCGCCCCCCCCCCUUCCCCUAGUCCUAUUAGGACUAGGAGAGGUGGCCGGCCCCCUCCUCCUCUUUUCCCCUCCGAGGAAUCCUAGUUGGACUAGGAUUGGAGGGGGAAUCCUACUCCCAGUGGGAGUAGGACUCUCCUGCGCCUCUCCCCCUUGGCCGGCCAGCCUCCCCUCCUCUCCUCCUUUAUAUACGGAGGCAGGGGCACCUCUAAACACACAAGUUGACACAAGUUGAUCCACGUGAUCUAUUCCUUAGCCGUGUGCGGUGCCCCCUGCCACCAUAUUCCUCGAUAAUACUGUAGCAGAGUUUAGGCGAAGCCCUGCUGCUGUAGUUCAUCAAGAUCGUCACCACGCCGUCGUGCUGACGGAACUCUUCCCCGACACUUUGCUGGAUCGGAGUCCGGGGAUCGUCAUCGAGCUGAACGUGUGCUCGAACUCGGAGGUGCCAUAGUUUCGGUGCUUGAUCGGUUGGAUCGAGAAGACGUACGACUACUUCCUCUACGUCGUGUCAUCGCUUCCGCAGUCGGUCUGCAUUGGGUACGUAGACAAUACUCUCCCCUCGUUGCUAUGCAUCACAUGAUCUUGCGUGUGCGUAGGAAAAUUUUUGAAAUUACUACGAAACCCAACAGUGGCAUCCGAGCCAGGUUAUUUAUGUUGAUGUUAUAUGCACGAGUAGAACACAAGUGAGUUGUGGACGAUACAAGUCAUACUGCCUACCAGCAUGUCAUACUUUGGUUCGGCAGUAUUGUUGGACGAGACGACCCGGACCAACCUUACGCGUACGCUUACGCGAGACCGGUUCCCUCGACGUGCUUUGCACAGAGAUGGCUUGCGGGCGACUGUCUCUCCAACUUUAGUUGAACCAAGUAUGGCUACGCCCGGUCCUUGCGAAGGUUAAAACGGAGUCUAUUUGACAAACUAUCGUUGUGGUUUUGAUGCGUAGGUGAGAUUGGUUCUUACUUAAGCCCGUAGCAGCCACGUAAAACAUGCAACAACAAAGUAGAGGACGUCUAACUUGUUUUUGCAGGGCAUGUUGUGAUGUGAUAUGGUCAAAGCAUGAUGCUGAAUUUUAUUGUAUGAGAUGAUCAUGUUUUGUAACCGAGUUAUCGGCAACUGGCAGGAGCCAUAUGGUUGUCGCUUUAUUGUAUGCAAUGCAAUCGCGAUGUAAUGCUUUACUUUAUUACUAAACGGUAGUGAUAGUCGUGGAAGCAUAAGAUUGGCGAGACGACAACGAUGCUUCGAUGGAGAUCAAGGUGUCGCGCCGGUGACGAUGGUGAUCAUGACGGUGCUUCGGAGAUGGAGAUCACAAGCACAAGAUGAUGAUGACCAUAUCAUAUCACUUAUAUUGAUUGCAUGUGAUGUUUAUCUUUUUAUGCAUCUUAUCUUGCUUUGAUUGACGGUAGCAUUAUAAGAUGAUCUCUCACUAAAUUAUCAAGAAGUGUUCUCCCUGAGUAUGCACCGUUGUGAAAGUUCUUCGUGCUGAGACACCACGUGAUGAUCGGGUGUGAUAGGCUCUACGUUCAAAUACAACGGGUACAAAACAGUUGCACACGCAGAAUACUCAGGUUAAACUUGACGAGCCUAGCAUAUACAGAUAUGGCCUCGGAACACGGAGACCGAAAGGUCGAGCGUGAAUCAUAUAGUAGAUAUGAUCAACAUAAUGAUGUUCACCGAUGAAACUACUCCAUCUCACGUGAUGAUCGGACAUGGUUUAGUUGAUUUGGAUCACGUGAUCACUUAGAGGAUUAUAGGGAUGUCUAUCUAAGUGGGAGUUCUUUAGUAAUAUGAUUAAUUGAACUUAAAAUUUAUCAUGAACUUAGUCCCUGAUAGUAUCUUGCUUGUUUAUGUUGAUUGUAGAUAGAUGGCUCGUGCUGUUGUUCCGUUGAAUUUUAAUGCGUUCCUUGAGAAAGCAAAGUUGAAAGAUGAUGGUAGCAAUUACACGGACUGGGUCCGUAACUUGAGGAUUAUCCUCAUUGCUGCACAGAAGAAUUACGUCCUGGAAGCACCGCUGGGUGCCAGGCCUGCUGCUGGAGCAACACCAGAUGUUGUGAACGUCUGGCAGAGCAAAGCUGAUGACUACUCGAUAGUUCAGUGUGCCAUGCUUUACGGCUUAGAAUCGGGACUUCAACGACGUUUUGAACGUCAUGGAGCAUAUGAGAUGUUCCAGGAGUUGAAGUUAAUAUUUCAAGCAAAUGCCCGAAUUGAGAGAUAUGAAGUCUCCAAUAAGUUCUAUAGCUGCAAGAUGGAGGAGAACAGUUCUAUCAGUGAGCAUAUACUCAAAAUGUCUGGGUAUAAUAAUCACUUGAUUCAAUUAGGAGUUAAUCUUCCGGAUGAUUGCGUCAUUGACAGAAUUCUCCAAUCACUGCCACCAAGCUACAAGAGCUUCGUGAUGAACUAUAAUAUGCAAGGGAUGAACAAGACUAUUCCCGAGCUCUUCGCAAUGCUGAAAGCUGCGGAGGUAGAAAUCAAAAAGGAGCAUCAAGUGUUGAUGGUUAACAAAACCACUAGUUUCAAGAAAAAGGGCAAAGGAAAGAAGAAAGGGAACUUCAAGAAGAACAGCAAGCCAGUUGCUGCUCAAGAGAAGAAACCCAAGUCUGGACCUAAGCCUGAAACUGAGUGCUUCUACUGCAAGCAGACUGGUCACUGGAAGCGGAACUGCCCCAAGUAUUUGGUGGAUAAGAAGGAUGGCAAGGUGAACAAAGGUAUAUGUGAUAUACAUGUUAUUGAUGUGUACCUUACCAAUGCUCGCAGUAGCACCUGGGUAUUUGAUACUGGUUCUGUUGCUAAUAUUUGCAACUCAAAACAGGGGCUACGGAUUAAGCGAAGAUUGGCUAAGGACGAGGUGACGAUGCGCGUGGGAAACGGUUCCAAAGUCGAUGUGAUCGCAGUCGGCACGCUACCUCUACAUCUACCUUCGGGAUUAAUAUUAGACCUAAGUAAUUGUUAUUUGGUGCCAGCGUUGAGCAUGAACAUUAUAUCUGGAUCUUGUUUAAUGCGAGAUGGUUAUUCAUUUAAAUCAGAGAAUAAUGGUUGUUCUAUUUAUAUGAGUAAUAUCUUUUAUGGUCAUGCACCCUUGAAGAGUGGUCUAUUCUUAUUGAAUCUCGAUAGUAGUAAUACACAUAUUCAUAAUAUUGAAGCCAAAAGAUGCAGAGUUGAUAAUGAAAGUGCAACUUAUUUGUGGCACUGUCGUUUAGGUCAUAUUGGUAUAAAGCGCAUGAAGAAACUCCAUGCUGAUGGACUUUUGGAACCACUUGAUUAUGAAUCACUUGGUACUUGCGAACCGUGCCUUAUGGGCAAGAUGACUAAAACACCAUUCUCCGGUACUAUGGAGAGAGCAACAGAUUUGUUGGAAAUCAUACAUACCGAUGUAUGUGGCCCGAUGAAUAUUGAGGCUCGUGGUGGAUAUCGUUAUUUUCUCACCUUCACAGAUGAUUUAAGCAGAUAUGGGUAUAUCUACUUAAUGAAACAUAAGUCUGAAACAUUUGAAAAGUUCAAAGAAUUUCAGAGUGAAGUUGAAAAUCAUCGUAACAAUAAAAUAAAGUUUCUACGAUCUGAUCGUGGAGGAGAAUAUUUGAGUUACGAGUUUGGUGUAUAUUUGAAAAACUCUGGAAUAGUUUCGCAACUCACGCCACCCGGAACACCACAGCGUAAUGGUGUGUCCGAACGUCGUAAUCGUACUUAACUAGAUAUGGUGUGAUCUAUGAUGUCUCUUACUGAUUUACCGCUAUCAUUUUGGGGAUAUGCUUUAGAGGCGGCCGCAUUCACGUUAAAUAGGGCACCAUCAAAAUCCGUUGAGACGACGCCUUAUGAACUGUGGUUUGGCAAGAAACCAAAGUUGUCGUUUCUUAAAGUUUGGGGCUGCGAUGCUUAUGUGAAAAAGCUUCAACCUGAUAAGCUCGAACCCAAAUCGGAGAAAUGUGUCUUCAUAGGAUACCCAAAGGAAACUGUUGGGUACACCUUCUAUCACAGAUCCGAAGGCAAAACAUUCGUUGCUAAGAAUGGAUCAUUUCUAGAGAAGGAGUUUCUCUCGAAAGAAGUGAGUGGGAGGAAAGUGGAACUUGACGAGGUAACUGUACCUGCUCCCUUACUGGAGAGUAGUUCAUCAUAGAAAACUGUUUCAGUGACACCUACACCGGUUAGUGAGGAAGCCAAUGAUAAUGAUCAUGAAACUUCAGAUCAAGAUACUACUGAACCCCGUAGAUCAACCAGAGUAAGAUCCGCGCCAGACUGGUACGGUAAUCCUGUUAUGGAAGUCAUGCUACUAGAUCAUGAUGAACCUACGAACUAUGAAGAAGCGAUGGUGAGCCCAGAUUCCGCAAAGUGGCUUGAAGCCAUGAAAUCUGAGAUGGGAUCCAUGUAUGAGAACAAAGUAUGGACUUUGGUUGACUUGCCCAAUGAUCGGCAAGCAAUUGAGAAUAAAUGGAUCUUUAAGAAGAAGACUGACGCUGAUGGUAAUGUUACUGUCUACAAAGCUCGACUUGUCGCAAAAGGUUUUCGGCAAGUUCAAGGGAUUGACUACGAUGAGACCUUCUCACCCGUAGCGAUGCUUAAGUCCGUCCGAAUCAUGUUAGCGAUUGCCGCAUUUUAUGAUUAUGAAAUUUGGCAGAUGGAUGUCAAAACUGCAUUCCUGAAUGGAUUUCUGGAAGAAGAGUUGUAUAUGAUGCAACCGGAAGGUUUUGUCAAUCCAAAGGGAGCUAACAAAGUGUGCAAGCUCCAGCGAUCCAUUUAUGGACUGGUGCAAGCCUCUCGGAGUUGGAAUAAACGUUUUGAUAGUGUGAUCAAAGCAUUUGGUUUUAUACAGACUUUCGGAGAAGCCUGUAUUUACAAGAAAGUGAGUGGGAGCUCUGUAGCAUUUCUGAUAUUAUAUGUGGAUGACAUAUUACUGAUUGGAAAUGAUAUAGAAUUUCUGGAUAGCAUAAAGGGAUACUUGAAUAAAAGUUUUUCAAUGAAAGACCUUGGUGAAGCUGCUUACAUAUUAGGCAUUAAGAUCUAUAGAGAUAGAUCAAAACGCUUAAUUGGACUUUCACAAAGCACAUACCUUGACAAAAUUUUGAAGAAGUUCAAAAUGGAUCAAGCGAAGAAAGGGUUCUUGCCUGUGUUACAAGGUGUGAAAUUGAGUAAGACUCAAUGCCCGACCACUGCAGAAGAUAGAGAGAAUAUGAAAGAUGUUCCCUAUGCAUCAGCCAUAGGAUCUAUCAUGUAUGCAAUGCUGUGUACCAGACCUGAUGUAUGCCUUGCUAUAAGUUUAGCAGGGAGGUACCAAAGUAAUCCAGGAGUGGAUCACUGGACAGCGGUCAAGAACAUCCUGAAAUACCUGAAAAGGACUAAGGAUAUGUUUCUUGUAUAUGGAGGUGACAAAGAGCUCAUCGUAAAAGGUUACGUUGAUGCAAGCUUUGACACUGAUCCGGACGAUUCUAAAUCGCAAACCGGAUACGUGUUUACAUUAAACGGUGGAGCUGUCAGUUGGUGCAGUUCUAAACAAAGUGUCGUAGCGGGAUCUACAUGUGAAGCGGAAUACAUAGCUGCUUCGGAAGCAGCAAAUGAAGGAGUCUGGAUGAAGGAGUUCAUAUCCGAUCUAGGUGUCAUACCUAGUGCAUCGGGUCCAAUGAAAAUCUUUUGUGACAAUACUGGUGCAAUUGCCUUGGCAAAGGAAUCCAGAUUUCACAAAAGGACCAAACACAUCAAGAGACGCUUCAACUCCAUCCGGGAUCUAGUCCAGGUGGGAGACAUAGAGAUUUGCAAGAUACAUACGGAUCUGAAUGUUGCAGACCCGUUGACUAAGCCUCUUCCACGAGCAAAACAUGAUCAGCACCAAGGCUCCAUGGGUGUUAGAAUCAUUACAGUGUAAUCUAGAUUAUUGACUCUAGUGCAAGUGGGAGACUGAAGGAAAUAUGCCCUAGAGGCAAUAAUAAAGUUAUUAUUUCUUUCCUUAUAAUCAUGAUAAAUGUUUAUUAUUCAUGCUAGAAUUGUAUUUACCGGAAACAUAAUACAUGUGUGAAUACAUAGACAAACAAAGUGUCACUAGUAUGCCUCUACUUGACUAGCUCGUUAAUCAAAGAUGGUUAUGUUUCCUAACCAUGAACAAUGAGUUGUUAUUUGAUUAACAAGGUCACAUCAUUAGUAGAAUGAUCUGAUUGACAUGACCCAUUCCAUUAGCUUAGCACACGAUCGUUUAGUAUGUUGCUAUUGCUUUCUUCAUGACUUAUACAUGUUCCUAUGACUAUGAGAUUAUGCAACUCCCGUUUACCGGAGGAACACUUUGGGUACUACCAAACGUCACAACGUAACUGGGUGAUUAUAAAGGAGUACUACAGGUGUCUCCAAUGGUCGAUGUUGGGUUGGCGUAUUUCGAGAUUAGGAUUUGUCACUCCGAUUGUCGGAGAGGUAUCUCUGGGCCCUCUCGGUAAUACACAUCACAUAAGCCUUGCAAGCAUUACAACUAAUAUGUUAGUUGUGAGAUGAUGUAUUACGGAACGAGUAAAGAGACUUGCCGGUAACGAGAUUGAACUAGGUAUUGGAUACCGACGAUCGAAUCUCGGGCAAGUAACAUACCGAUGACAAAGGGAACAACGUAUGUUGUUAUGCGGUCUGACCGAUAAAGAUCUUAGUAGAAUAUGUAGGAGCCAAUAUGGGCAUCCAGGUCCCGCUAUUGGUUAUUGACCAGAGACGUGUCUCGGUCAUGUCUACAUUGUUCUCGAACCCGUAGGGUUCGCACGCUUAAGGUUACGAUGACAGUUAUAUUAUGAGUUUAUGCAUUUUGAUGUACCGAAGGUUGUUCGGAGUCACGGAUGUGAUCACGGACAUGACGAGGAGUCUCGAAAUGGUCGAGACGUAAAGAUUGAUAUAUUGGAAGCCUAUAUUUGGAUAUCGGAAGUGUUCCGGGUGAAAUCGGGAUUUUACCGGAAUACCGGGAGGGUUACCGGAACCCCCCGGGAGCUAUUUGGGCCAUAGUGGGCCUAGUGGAAAAGAGAAGGGGCUGCCCUAGAUGGGCUGCGCCCCCCCCCCCCUUCCCCUAGUCCUAUUAGGACUAGGAGAGGUGGCCGGCCCCCUCCUCCUCUUUUCCCCUCCGAGGAAUCCUAGUUGGACUAGGAUUGGAGGGGGAAUCCUACUCCCAGUGGGAGUAGGACUCUCCUGCGCCUCUCCCCCUUGGCCGGCCAGCCUCCCCUCCUCUCCUCCUUUAUAUACGGAGGCAGGGGCACCUCUAAACACACAAGUUGACACAAGUUGAUCCACGUGAUCUAUUCCUUAGCCGUGUGCGGUGCCCCCUGCCACCAUAUUCCUCGAUAAUACUGUAGCGGAGUUUAGGCGAAGCCCUGCUGCUGUAGUUCAUCAAGAUCGUCACCACGCCGUCGUGCUGACGGAACUCUUCCCCGACACUUUGCUGGAUCGGAGUCCGGGGAUCGUCAUCGAGCUGAACGUGUGCUCGAACUCGGAGGUGCCGUAGUUUCGGUGCUUGAUCGGUUGGAUCGAGAAGACGUACGACUACUUCCUCUAUGUCGUGUCAUCGCUUCCGCAGUCGUUCUGCGUUGGGUACGUAGACAAUACUCUCCCCUCGUUGCUAUGCAUCACAUGAUCUUGCGUGUGCGUAGGAAAAUUUUUGAAAUUACUACGAAACCCAACAGAGGAUUCUCCAAUCUCUCUUUUACCAAAUUUAAUAUCAAGAUCUAAAGACUCCGAAUUUUUGGGACGCCUUCUAGGAGAAGUUCAUUCAUCAUCACUCCCAUAAUCAUCAAAAUUCAUAUUGCAAAACAUAGAUCUAAUCGGAGACGCAUCAAUAACUUUAAGAUCCUCAUCAUUAUUUUCAUGAAGACUAGAAGAACACGCUUUUAUAAAGCUUUCUUUUUUAGCAUGCAAUCUAGCGGUUCUUUCCUUGCACUCGUCAAUGGAAAUUACCAUUACUUUGAGAGACUCAUUGAUAUCAUGCUUAGGAGAAGAAGAUCCAAGUUUAAGAGAAUUAACAUCAAGCGAAAUUCUAUCAACGUUCCUAGCCAAAUCAUCAACUUUGAGCAAUUUUUCUUCAAGCAAAGCAUUAAAAUUCUUUUGAGAAAUCAUAAAUUCUUUCACACUAUUCUCAAAAUCAGAGGGCGUCUUAUUAAAAUUACCAUAAGAAUUAUUGUAGGAAUUUCCAUAAUUAUUAGAGGAAUUACUAGGGAACGGUCUAGCAUGAAAAUUUCCUCUAUAAGCAUUGCUUCCAAAACUAUUCCUACCAACAAAAUUCACAUCCAUAGAUUCAUUAUUAUUCUCAAUCAAGGAAGACAAAGGCAUAUCAUUGGGAUCAAGAGGAGUAUUUUUAGUAGCAAACAUCUUCAUAAGUUCAUCCAUCUUUCCCCUCAAAACAUUAAUUUCUUCUAUAGCAUGCACUUUUUUACUAGAAGAUCUUUCGGUGUGCCAUUGAGAAUAAUUAGCCAUAAUAUUAUCAAGCAAUUUUGUAGCAUCUCCUAACGUGAUUUCCAUAAAGGUGCCUCCCGCGGCCGAAUCUAAGAGAUUUCUAGAAGCAAAGUUCAAACCGGCAUAGAAAUUUUGUAUGAUCAUCCAUAAAUUCAAACCAUGAGUAGGGCAAUUGCGAAGCAUCAAUUUCAUUCUUUCCCAAGAUUGGGCAACAUGCUCAUGAUCAAGUUGUUUAAAAUUCAUAAUAUCGUUCCUAAGAGUGAUGAUCUUAGCGGGAGGAAAAUACUAAGAGAUAAAAGCAUCUUUGCACUUGUUCCAAGAAUCAAUACUAUUUUUAGGCAAAGACGAAAACCAAACUUUAGCACGAUCUCUAAGUGAAAACGAAAAUAACUUCAAUUUGACAAUAUUGUUAUCCGUAUCUUUCUUCUUUUGCAUAUCACAUAAAUCAACAAAAUUGUUUAGAUGAGUAGCGGCAUCUUCACUAGGAAGGUUGGCAAAUUGAUCUUUCAUGACAAGAUUCAGCAAAGCGGUAUUGAUUUCACAAGACUCAACAUCAUUAAGAGGAGCAAUCAGAGUACUAAGGAAAUCAUUAUUAUUGGUAUUCGAGAAAUCACACAAUUUGGUAUUAUCUUGCACCAUGGCAACAAGUAAUCCAACACACAAGCAAAUAGAAAAAAUGGCAAGCAAAAAAGAGAGGAGGAGAUUGGGAAAGAGAGGGCAAAUAAAACGGCAAGGGUGAAGUGGGGGGAGAGGAAAACGAGAGGCAAAUGGCAAAUAAUGUAAAUGCGAGGGAGAUGGGUUUGUGAUGGGUACUUGGUAUGUCUUGACUUGAGCGAAGACCUCCCCGGCAACGGCACCAGAAAUCCUUCUUGCUACGUCUUGAGCUUGCGUUGGUUUUCCACGAAGAGGAGAGGGUGAUGCAGCAAAGUGUAGCGUAAGUAUUUCCCUCAGUUUUGAGAACCAAGGUAUCAAUCCAGUAGGAGGAUCCUCAAAAGUCCCACGCACCUACACAAACAAGCUGAGAACUCGCAACCAACGCAAUAAAGGGGUUGUCAAUCCCUUCACGGCCACUUGCGAAAGUGAGAUGUAAUAAAGGGGUUGUCAUCCCUUGUGUUCAAUCUUGUUACCCAAACUGUAGAUUGGUGCUUGUGGGUGACUAGUAGUGUCGAUUAUAUGUUGUAGUUGAUUACCAGAUGGUUUAUUUGGUGGAAGAUUAUAUGUUCAUAUCCAUUAUGCAUAUUAAUACUCCUCUAAUCAUGAACAUGUUUAUUAUUUGUGAGUAGUUACUUUCGUUCUUGAGGUCACGGGAUAAAUCAUGUUGCAAGUAAUCAUGUGAAUUUGAUAUGUGUUCGAUAUUUUGAUGGUAUGUAUGUUGUGAUUCCCUUAGUGGUGUCAUGUGAAUGUUGACUACAUGACAAUUCACCAUAUUUGGGCCUAAGGGAAUGCAUUGUGGAUUAGUAAAUAGAUGGUAGGUUGUGAGAGUGACAGAAGCUUAAACGCCAGUUUAUGCGCUAUUCCGUAAGGGACAGAUUGGACCCAAAAGUUUAAUGCUAUGGUUCGAAUUCAUUCUUAAUACUUUUCUCAUAGUUGUGGAUGCUUGCGGGAGGGUUAAUCAUACAUAGGAGGUUUGUUCAAGUAAGAACAACACCUAAGCACCGGUCCACCCACAUAUCAAAAUAUCAAAGUAGCAAACACGAAUUAAACCAACAUGAUGAAAGUGACUAGAUGAAAUUCCCGUCUACCCUCAAGAACACUUUGCUUAUAUUAAGAGACCGUUUUGGCCUGUCCUUUGCCUCAAAAGGAUUGGGCUACCUUGUUGCACUUUUGUUACUACUAUCGUUACUUGCUCGUUACAAAUUACCUUGCUAUCAAACUACUCCGCUACUUACAAUUUCACCACUUGCAGACACUACCUUACUGAAAUCUACUUGUCAUUUCCUUCUGCUCCUCUUUGGGUUCGACACUCUUAAUUAUCGAAAAGAGCUACAAUUGAUCCCCUAUACUUGUGGGUCAUCACCAAACAUUUCCGGAAAUGUCCGGAACCCCUUUCGGUGAAUUCUGGAACCCUUUCGGAGACCAAACACUAUUAUCCCAUAUAUCAAUCUUUAUCUCCGGACCAUUCCGGAGUUCCUCGUCAUGUCCGUGAUCUCAUCCGGGACUCCGAACAACAUUCGGUCACCAACAUACAUAACUCAUAUAAUACUAUAUCGUCAACGAACAUUAAGUGUGCGGACACUACUGGUUCGAGAACUAUGUAUACAUGACCGAGACAUCUCUCUGGUCAAUAACCAAUAGCGGAACCUGGAUGCCCAUAUUGGCUCCUACAUAUUCUAUGAAGAUCUGUAUCGGUUGAACCAUUAUGACAACAUAUGUUAUUCCCUUUGUCCUCAGUAUGUUACUUGCCCGAGAUUCGAUCGUCGGUAUCCUCAUACCUAGUUCAAUCUCAUUACGGGCAAGUCUCUUUACUCAUUCCGUAAUGCAUCAUCCCGUAACUAACUCAUUAGUCACAUUGCUUGCAAGAUCAUAGUGAUGUGCAUUACUGAGAGGGCCCAGAGAUACCUCUCCGAUACACGGAGUGACAAAUCCUAAUCUCGAUCUAUGCCAUUUCAACAAACACCAUUGGAGACACCUGUAGAGCAUCUUUAUAAUCACCCAGUUACGUUGUGACGUUUGAUAGCACACAAGGUAUUCCUCUGGUAUUUGGGAGUUGCAUAAUCUCAUAGUCAGAGGAAUAUGUAUGAGUCAUGAAGAAAGCAAUAGCAAUAAUACUAUACGAUCAGUAUGCUAAGCUAACAGAUGGGUCUUGCCCAUCACAUCAUUCUCUAAUGAUGUGAUCCCGUUCAUCAAAUGACAACACAUGUCUAUGGUUAGGAAACUUAACCAUCUUUGAUUAAUGAGCUAGUCAAGUAGAGGCAUACUAGGAUACUUUGUUUGUCUAUGUAUUCACACAUGUACAAAGUUUCCGGUUAAUACAAUUCUAGCAUGAAUAAUAAACAUUUAUCAUGAUGUAAGGAAAUAUAAAUAACAACUUUAUUAUUGCCUCUAGGGCAUAUUUCCUUCAGUCUCCCACUUGCACUAGAGUCAAUAAUCUAGUUCACAUCGCCAUGUUAUUCCACACCAAUAGUUCACAUCGUCAUGUGAUUUAACACUCUAUAGUUCACAUCGCCAUGUGACCAAUACCCAAAAGGUUUACUAGAGUCAAUAAUCUAGUUCACAUCGGCAUGUGAUUAACACCCAAAGAGUACUAAGGUGUGAUCAUGUUUUGCUUGUGAGAGAAGUUUAGUCAACGGGUCUGCCACAUUCAGAUCCGUAUGUAUUUUACAAAUUUCUAUGUCUACAAUGCUCUGUACGGAGCUACUCUAGCUAAUUGCUCCCACUUUCAAUAUGUAUCCAGAUUGAGACAUAGAGUCAUUCGGAUCAGUGUCAAAGCUUGCAUUGACGUAACCCUUUACGACGAACUUUUUGUCACCUCCAUAACCGAGAAACAUAUCCUUAUUCCACUAAGGAUAAUUUUGACCGCUGUCCAGUGAUCCGCUCCUAGAUCACUAUUGUACUCUCUUGCCAAACUCAUGGUGAGGUACACAAUAGGUCUGGUACAUAGAAUGGCAUACUUUAUAGAACCUAUGACUGAGGCAUAGGGAAUGACUUUUCAUUCUCUUUCUAUUUUUUGCCGUGGUCGGGUUUUGAGUCUUUACUCAACUUCACACCUUGCAACACAUGCAAGAACUCCUUCUUUGACUGUUCCAUUUUGAACUACUUUAAAAUUUUGUCAAGGUAUGUACUCAUUAAAAAAACUUAUCAAGCGUUUUGAUCUAUCUCUAUAGAUCUUGAUUCUCAAUAUGUAAGCAGCUUCACCGAGGUCUUUCUUUGAAAAACUCCUUUCAAACACUCCUUCAUGCUUUCCAGAAGAUUCUACAUCAUUUUUGAUCAACAAUAUGUCAUGCACAUAUACUUAUCAGAAAGGUUGUAGUGCUCCCACUCACUUUCUUAUAAAUACAGGCUUCACCGCUAGUAUGUAUAAAACUAUAUGCUUUGAUCAACUCAUCAAAGUGUAUAUUCCAACUCCGAGAUGCUUGCACCAGUCCAUAGAUGGAUCACUGGAUCUUGCACAUUUUGUUAGCACCUUUAGGAUUGACAAAACCUUCUGGUUGCAUCAUAUAUAACUCUUCUUUAAUAAAUCCAUUAAGGAAUGCAGUUUCGUUAUCCAUUUGCCAGAUUUCAUAAAAUGCGGCAAUUGCUAACAUGAUUCGGACAGACCUAAGCAUCGCUACGAGUGAAAAAAAUCUCAUCGUAGUCAACACCUUGAACUUGUCGAAAACCUUUUGUGACAAGUCGAGAUUUAUAGAUAGUAACACUACCAUCAGCGUCCAUCUUCCUCUUGAAGAUCCAUUUAUUCUUAAUGGUUUGCCGAUCAUCGGGCAAGUCCACCAAAGUCCACACUUUGUUCUGAUAUAUGGAUCAUAUCUCAGAUUUUCUGGCCUCAAGCCAUUUGCGGAAUCUGGGCUCAUCAUCGCUUCUUCAUAGUUCGUAGGUUCGUCAUGGUCUAGUAACAUGACUUCCAGAACAGGAUUACUGUACCACUCUGGUGCAGAACGUGCUCUAGUUGACCUAUGAAGUUUGGUAGUAACUUGAUCUGAAGUUUCAUGAUCAUCAUCAUUAGCUUCCUCACUAAUUGGUGUAGGCAUCACUAGAGCGGAUUUCUGUAAUGAACUACUUUCCAAUUCGGGAGAAGGUACAAUUACCUCAUCAAGUUAUACUUUCCUCCCACUCACUUCUUUCGAGAGAAACUCCUUCCCUAGAAAGGAUCCAUUCUUAGUAACGAAUAUCUUACCUUCGGAUAUGUGAUAGAAGGUGUACCCAACAGUUUCCUUUGGGUAUCCUAUGAAGACGCAUUUCUCCGAUUUGGGUUCGAGCUUAUCACGUUGAAGCUUUUGCACAUAAGCAUCGCAGCCCCAAACUUUAAGAAACGACAACUUAGGUUUCUUGCCAAACCACAAUUCAGAAACGACAAUUAAGCAAGAUGACAUGAUGUAGAAGGAUAAACACAUGCAAUAUGAUAUAAACCCCAUCUUGUUAUCCUCGAUGGCAACAAUACAAUAUGUGUCUUGCAACCCUUUCUGUCACUGGGUAAGAACACCGCAAGAUUGAACCCAAAGCUAAGCACUUCUCCCAUGGCAAGAAAGACCAAUCUAGUAGGCCAAACCAAACUGAUAAUUCGAAGAUACUUGCAAAUAUAACUCAAUCAUACAUAAAAGAAUUCAGAGAAGAUUCAAAUAUUAUUCAUAGAUAAACUUGAUCAUAAACCCACAAUUCAUCAGAUCUCGACAAACACACCACAAAAAGAGUUUACAUCGAAUAGAUCUCCACAAGAGAGGGGGAGAACAUUGUAUUGAGAUCCAAAAAGAGAGAAGAAGCCAUCUAGCUAAUACUUACGGACCCGUAGGUCUGUGCUAAACUACUCACAACUCAUCGAAGGGGCAAGGAUGUUGAUGUAGAGGCCCUCCAUGGUUGAUUCCCCCUCCGGCAGAGUGUCGGCGAAGGCUCCAAGAUGGGAUCUCGCAGAUACAGAAGGUUACGGCGGUGGAAAUUGUGUUUCGUGGUGCUCCUGGAUGUUUUCGAGGUACGUAGGUAUAUAUAGGAGGAAGAAGUACGUCGGUGGCCGCCCGAGGGGCCCACGAAACAGGGGGGCGCCCUAUAGGGGGGCGCAGCCCCCUAUCUCGUGGGGCCCUCGGAAGCUUCUUGACUUGCACUCCAAGCUCUCCGGAUCAUGUUCCUUCCAAAAAUCACGCUCCCGAAGGUUUCAUUCCGUUUGGACUCUGUUUGAUAUUCCUUUUCUUCGAAAUACUGAAAUAGGCAAAAAAAACAGCAAUAUGGGCUGGGCCUCCGGUUAGUAGGUUAGUCCCAAAAAUGAUAUAAAUGUGUAAAAUAAAGCCCGUAAACAUCCAAAAGGGGUAAUAUAAUAGCAUGGAACAAUCAGAAAUUAUAGAUAUGUUGGAGACGUAUCACUCCGACACGUGACCCUUCCUGAAAAGAUGAUGAAUUGUAGUUGCAAAGUUGACUGAGAACAUAGUUUGUUGGUUUCUAAUAGAGUUUUUGCUUUAUACUUUGAUUGUGUGAUGAACUAUCACUUAUUCAUGAGAAGUGUAUGAUAGAAGUUAUACGAUAAAAGUCUUAUGUUUAAAUUUGUUGUUGUUAUAAUAAUCAACAUGAUGCUUCUAUGUCCGUAUUUUGUUUUUAUCGACACCUCUCUUUCAAAGCAUGUGGACAUGUUCUUCGAUUUCGGUUUUCGCUUGAGGACAAGCGAGGUCUAAGCUUGGGGGAGUUGAUACGUCCAUUUUGUAUCAUGUUUUCUUACUGAUAUUUAUAGUGUUUUUAUCCAUAAUAAUGCUUUUUGGAGUAAUUCUAAUGCCUUUUCUCCCAUAAUUUGCAAGGUACACACCAAGAGGGAGAAUUUUGGCAGCUGGAAAUCUGGACUUGAAUAGGCUACGUCAGGCCACCUAUUUUGCACAACUCCAAACAAGCUAAAACUUCACGGAGAUUUUUUAUGAAAUAUUUAAGAAAUAUUGGAGCAAAUAACUACCUGAGGGGGCCCACCAGGUGGGCACAACCCACCUGGGCGCGCCAGGGAGCCCAGGCGUGCCCUGGCGGGUUGUGCCCUCCUCAGCCCACCUUUGGUGCCCAUCUUUUGGUAUAUAAGUCAUUUUUACCUAGAAAAAUAAGGAGAAGUCUUUUGGGGCGGAGCGCCGCCGUCUCGAGGCGAACUUGGGCAGGAGCACUUUUGCCCUCCGGCAGAGCGAUUCUGCCGGGGGANNNNNNNNNNNNNNNNNNNNNNNNNNNNNNNNNNNNNNNNNNNNNNNNNNNNNNNNNNNNNNNNNNNNNNNNNNNNNNNNNNNNNNNNNNNNNNNNNNNNNNNNNNNNNNNNNNNNNNNNNNNNNNNNNNNNNNNNNNNNNNNNNNNNNNNNNNNNNNNNNNNNNNNNNNNNNNNNNNNNNNNNNNNNNNNNNNNNNNNNNNNNNNNNNNNNNNNNNNNNNNNNNNNNNNNNNNNNNNNNNNNNNNNNNNNNNNNNNNNNNNNNNNNNNNNAAUCAUCGUCAUCAUCAUCACCAACAACUCUCCCAUCUUGUGGAGGGAAAUCUCCAUCAACAUCUUCAACAACACCCUCUCAUAUCAAACCCUAGUUCAUCCCUUGUGUUCAAUCUUGUUACCCAAAUUGUAGAUUGGUGCAUGUGGGUGACUAGUAGUGUUGAUUACAUCUUGUAGUUGAUUACUAUAUGGUUUAUUUGGUGGAAGAUUAUAUGUUCAUAUCCAUUAUGCAUAUUAAUACUCCUCUAAUCAUGAACAUGUUUAUUAUUUGUGAGUAGUUACUUUCGUUCUUGAGGUCACGGGAUAAAUCAUGUUGCAAGUAAUCAUGUGAAUUUGAUAUGUGUUCGAUAUUUUGAUGGUAUGUAUGUUGUGAUUCCCUUAGUGGUGUCAUGUGAAUGUCGACUACAUGACAAUUCACCAUAUUUGGGCCUAAGGGAAUGCAUUGUGGAUUAGUAAAUAGAUGGUAGGUUGCGAGAGUGACAGAAGCUUAAACCCCAGUUUAUGCGCUAUUCCGUAAGGGACAGAUUGGACCCAAAAGUUUAAUGCUAUGGUUCGAAUUCAUUCUUAAUACUUUUCUCAUAGUUGUGGAUGCUUGCGGGAGGGUUAAUCAUACAUAGGAGGUUUGUUCAAGUAAGAACAACACCUAAGCACCGGUCCACCCACAUAUCAAAAUAUCAAAGUAGCAAACACGAAUUAAACCAACAUGAUGAAAGUGACUAGAUGAAAUUCCAGUCUACCCUCAAGAACACUUUGCUUAUAUUAAGAGACCGUUUUGGCCUGUCCUUUGCCUCAAAAGGAUUGGGCUACCUUGUUGCACUUUUGUUACUACUAUCGUUACUUGCUCGUUACAAAUUACCUUGCUAUCAAACUACUCCGCUACUUACAAUUUCAGCACUUGCAGACACUACCUUACUGAAAUCUACUUGUCAUUUCCUUCUGCUCCUCUUUGGGUUCGACACUCUUACUUAUCGAAAAGAGCUACAAUUGAUCCCCUAUACUUGUGGGCCAUCACCAAACAUUUCGGGAAACGUCCGGAACCCCUUCCGGUGAAUUCCGGAACCCUUCCGGAGACCAAACACUAUUAUCCCAUAUAUCAAUCUUUAUCUCCGGACCAUUCCGAAGUUCCUCGUCAUGUCCGUGAUCUCAUCUGGGACUCCGAACAACAUUCGGUCAACAACAUACAUAACUCAUAUAAUACGAUAUCGUCAACGAACAUUAAGCGUGCGGACCCUACUGGUUCGAGAACUAUGUAUACAUGACCGAGACAUCUCUCUGGUCAAUAACCAAUAGCGGAACCUGGAUGCCCAUAUUGGCUCCUACAUAUUCUACGAAGAUCUGUAUCGGUUGAACCAUUAUGACAACAUACAUUAUUCCCUUUGUCCUCAGUAUGUUACUUGCCCGAGAUUCGAUCGUCUGUAUCCUCAUACCUAGUUCAAUCUCAUUACGGGCAAGUCUCUUUACUCAUUCUGUAAUGCAUCAUCCCGUAACUAACUCAUUAGUCACAUUGCUUGCAAGAACAUAGUGAUGUGCAUUACUGAGAGGGCCCAGAGAUACCUCUCCGAUACACGGAGUGACAAAUCCUAAUCUCGAUCUAUGCCAUUUCAACGAACACCAUUGGAGACACCUGUAGAGCAUCUUUAUAAUCACCCAGUUACGUUGUGACGUUUGAUAGCACACAAGGUAUUCCUCUGGUAUUUGGGAGUUGCAUAAUCUCAUAGUCACAGGAAUAUGUAUAAGUCAUGAAGAAAGCAAUAGCAAUAAUACUAUACGAUCAGUAUGCUAAGCUAAUAGAUGGGUCUUGUCCAUCACAUCAUUCUCUAAUGAUGUGAUCCCGUUCAUCAAAUGACAACACAUGUCUAUGGUUAGGAAACUUAACCAUCUUUGAUUAACGAGCUAGUCAAUUAGAGGCAUACUAGGAUACUUUGUAUGUCUAUGUAUUCACACAUGUACAAAGUUUCCGGUUAAUACAAUUCUAGCAUGAAUAAUAAACAUUUAUCAUGAUGUAAGGAAAUAUAAAUAACAACUUUAUUAUUGCCUCUAGGGCAUAUUUCCUUCAGUCUCCCACUUGCACUAGAGUCAAUAAUCUAGUUCACAUCGCCAUGUUAUUCCACACCAAUAGUUCACAUCGUCAUGUGAUUUAACACUCUAUAGUUCACAUUGCCAUGUGACCAGUACCCAAAAGGUUUACUAGAGUCAAUAAUCUAGUUCACAUCGGCAUGUGAUUAACACCCAAAGAGUACUAAGGUGUGAUCAUGUUUUGCUUGUGAGAGAAGUUUAGUCAACGGGUCCGCCACAUUCAGAUCCGUAUGUAUUUUACAAAUUUCUAUGUCUACAAUGCUCUGUACGGAGCUACUCUAGCUAAUUGCUCCCACUUUCAAUAUGUAUCCAGAUUGAGACAUAGAGUCAUUCGGAUCAGUGUCAAAGCUUGCAUUGACGUAACCCUUUACGACGAACUUUUUGUCACCUCCAUAACCGAGAAACAUAUCCUUAUUCCACAAAGGAUAAUUUUGACCGAUGUCUAGUGAUCCACUCCUAGAUCACUAUUGUACUCUCUUGUCAAACUCAUGGUGAGGUACACAAUAGGUCUGGUACAUAGCAUAGCAUAGCAUACUUUAUAGAACCUAUGACUGAGGCAUAGGGAAUAAAUUUUCAUUCGCUUUCUAUUUUCUGCUGUGGUCGGGUUUUGAGUCUUUACUCAACUUCACACCUUGCAACACAUGCAAGAACUCCUUCUUUGACUGUUCCAUUUUGAACUACUUUAAAAUUUUGUCAAGGUAUGUACUCAUUAAAAAAACUUAUCAACCGUUUUGAUCUAUCUCUAUAGAUCUUGAUGCUCAAUAUGUAAGCAGCUUCACCGAGGUCUUUCUUUGAAAAAAUCCUUUCAAACACUCCUUCAUGCUUUCCAGAAAAUUCUACAUCAUUUUUUAUCAACAAUAUGUCAUUCACAUAUACUUAUCAGAAAGGUUGUAGUGCUCCCACUCACUUUCUUGUAAAUACAGGCUUCACCGCUAGUAUGUAUAAAACUAUAUGCUUUGAUCAACUCAUCAAAGUGUAUAUUCCAACUCCGAGAUGCUUGCACCAGUCCAUAGAUGGAUCACUGGAGCUUGCACAUUUUGUUAGCACCUUUAGGAUUGACAAAACCUUCUGGUUGCAUCAUAUAUAACUCUUCUUUAAUAAAUCCAUUAAGGAAUGCAGUUUCGUUAUCCAUUUGCCAGAUUUCAUAAAAUGCGGCAAUUGCUAACAUGAUUCGGACAGACCUUAGCAUCGCUACGAGUGAAAAAAAAUCUCAUCGUAGUCAACACCUUGAACUUGUCGAAAACCUUUCGCGACAAGUCGAGCUUUAUAGAUAGUAACACUACCAUCCGCGUCCAUCUUUCUCUUGAAGAUCCAUUUAUUCUUAAUGGUUUGCCGAUCAUCGGGCAAGUCCACCAAAGUCCACACUUUGUUCUUAUAUAUGGAUCCUAUCUCAGAUUUUCUAACCUCAAGCCAUUUGUGCAAUCUGGGCUCAUCAUCGCUUCCUCAUAGUUUGUAGGUUCGUCAUGGUCUAGUAACAUGACUUCCAGAACGGGAUUACCGUACCACUCUGGUGCAGAACGUGCUCUGGUUGACCUACGAAGUUUGGUAGUAACUUGAUCUGAAGUUUCAUGAUCAUCAUCAUUAGAUUCCUCACUAAUUGGUGUAGGCAUCACUAGAACUGGUUUCUGUAAUGAACUACUUUCCAAUUCGGGAGAAGGUACAAUUACCUCAUCAAGUUAUACUUUCCUCCCACUCACUUCUUUCGAGAGAAACUCCUUCCCUAGAAAGGAUCCAUUCUUAGCAACGACUAUCUUGCCUUCGGAUAUGUGAUAGAAGGUGUACCCAACAGUUUCCUUUGGGUAUCCUAUGAAGACGCAUUUCUCCGAUUUGGGUUCGAGCUUAUCACGUUGAAGCUUUUGCACAUAAGCAUCGCAGCCCCAAACUUUAAGAAACGACAACUUAGGUUUCUUGCCAAACCACAAUUCAUACGAUGUCGUCCCAACGGAUUUAGAUGGUGAACUAUUUAAUGUGAAUGCAGCUGUCUCUAAUGCAUAACCCCAAAAUGAUAGAGGUAAAUCGGUAAGAGACAUCAUAGAUCGCACCAUAUCUAAUAAAGUAUGAUUACGAUGUUCGGACACACCAUUACGCUGUGGUGUUCCAGGUGGCGUGAGUUUUGAACUAUUCCACAUUGUUUCAAAUGAAGACAAACUCGUAACUCAAAUAUUCGCCUCCGUGAUCAGAUUGUAGAAACUUUAUUUUCUUGUUACGAUGAUUUUCCACUUCACUCUGAAAUUCUUUGUACUUUUCGAAUGUUUCAGACUUAUGUUUCAUUUAGUAGAUAUACCCAUAUCUGCUCAAAUCAUAUGUGAAGGUCAGAAAAUAAUGAUACCCGUUGUGAGUCUCAACACUCAUUGGAUCGCACACAUCAGUAUGUAUUAUUUCCAAUAAGUCAGUGGCUCGCUCCAUUGUUCCGGAGAACGGAGUCUUAGUUAUCUUACCCCUGAGGCAUGGAUCGCAAGCAUCAAGUGAUUCAUAAUUAAGUGAUUCCAAAAGCCCAUCAGCAUGGAGUUUCUUCAUGCGCUUUACACCAAUAUGACCUAAACGGCAGUGCUAUAAAUAAGUUGCACUAUCAUUAUUAACUUUGCAUCUUUUGGCUUCAAUAUUAUGAAUAUGUGUAUCAACACGAUCGUGAUUCAAUAAACCAUUUAUUUUGAGUGUAUGACCAUAGAAGGUUUUAUUCAUGUAAAUAGAACAACAAUUAUUCUCUAACUUAAAUGAAUAACCGUAUCGCAAUAAACAUGAUCCAAUCAUAUUCAUGCUCAACACAAACACCAAAUAACAUUUAUUUUUGGUCCAACACUAAUCUCGAAGGUAGAGGGAGUGUGCUAUGGUGAUCUUAUCAACCUUGGAAUCACUUCCAACACACAUCGUCACCUCGCCCUUAACUGGUCUCUGUUCAUUUUGUAAUUCCUAUUUCGAGUUACUAAUCUUAGCAACUGAACUGGUAUCAAAUACCUUGGGGUUACUAUGAACACUAGUAAAGUACACAUCAAUAACAUGUAUAUCAAAUAUACCUUUGUUCACUUUGCCAUCCUUCUUAUCCGACAAGUAUUUGGGGUAGUUCCGCUUCCAGUGACCAUUCCCUUUGCAGUAGAAGCACUCAGUUUCAGGCUUAGGUCUAGCUUUGGGUUUCUUCAAGGGAGUGGGAACUUGCUUGCCAUUCUUUAUUGAAGUUCCCUUUAUUUUCCUUGCCCUUUUACUUGAAACUAGUGGUCUUUUCAACCAUCAACACUUGAUGCUCUUUCUUGAUUUCUACCUUCAUUGAUUUCAGCAUCACGAAGAGCUCGAGAAUCGUAGUUGUCAUCCCUUGCAUAUUGUAGUUCAUCACGAUGUUCUAGAAACUUGGUGAUAGUGACUAGAGAACUCUGUCAAUCACUAUCUUAUCUGGAAGAUUAACUCCCAUUUGAUUCAAGCGAUUGUAGUACUCAGACAUUCUCAGCACAUCCUCACUGGUCGAGCUAUUCUCCUCCAUCUUGUAGGCAAAGUACUUGUCAGUGGUCUCAUACCUCUUGACAUAGGCAUGAGACUGAAAUAUACCAAUUUUAUCUCUUGGAACAUCUCAUAUGCUCCAUGGCGUUCAAAACAUUUUUGAAGUCCCGGUUCUAAGCCGUAAAGCAUGGUGCACUAAACUAUCAAGUAGUCAUCAUACCGAGCUUUGUCAAACAUUCAUAACGUCUGCAUCUGCUCCUGCAAUAGAUCUAUCACCUAGUGGUGCAUCAAGGACAAAAUUCUUUUGUGCAGCAAUGAGGAUAAUCCUCAGAUCAUGGACUCAGUCCGCAUCAUUGCUACUAACAUAUUUCAACUAAUUUUUAUCUAGGAACAUAUCAAAAAUAGUGGAGCUACAACGCGAGCUAUUGAUCUACAACAUAAAUAUGCAAAAUACUAUCAGGUACUAAGUUCAUGAUAAAUUAAAGUUCAAUUAAUCAUAUUACUUAAGAACUCCCACUUAUAUAAACAUCCCUCUAGUCAUCUAAAUGAUCAUGUGAUCCAAAUCAACCAAACCAUGUCCGAUCAUCACGUGAUAUGGAGUAGUUUUCAAUGGUGAACAUUACUAUGUUGAUCAUAUCUACUAUAUGAUUCACGCUCGGUCUUUCGAUCUCAGUGUUCCCAGGCCAUAUCUGCAUAUGCUAGGCUCGUCAAGUUUAACCCGAGUAUUCUGCGUGUGCAAAACUGGCUUGCACCCGUUGUAUGUGAACGUAGAGAUUAUCACACCCGAUCAUCAUGUGGUGUCUCGGCACGACGAACUGUAGCAAAGGUGCACUCAGGGAGAACACUUAUACCUUGAAAUUUAGUGAGGGAUCAUCUUAUAAUGCUACCGUCGCACUAAGCAAAAUAAGAUGCAUAAAAGAUAAACAUCACAUGCAAUCAAAAUAUGUGACAUGAUAUGGCCAUCAUCAUCUUGUGCCUUUGAUCUCCAUCUCCAAAGCACCAUCAUGAUCUCCAUCAUCACCGGCUUGACACCUUGAUCUCCAUCGUACCAUCAUUGUCGUCUCACCAACUAUUGCUUCUACGACUAUCGCUACCGCUUAGUGAUAAAGUAAAGCAAUUACAUGGUGAUUACAUUUCAUACAAUAAAGCGGCAACCAUAAGGCUCCUGCCAGUUGCUGAUAACGGUUACAAAACAUGAUCAUCUCAUACAACAAUUUAUAUCUCAUCAUGUCUUGACCAUAUCACAUCACAACAUGCCCUGCAAAAACAUGUUAGACGUCCUCUACUUAGUUGUUGCAAGUUUUACGUGGCUGCUACGGGCUUAGCAAGAACCGAUCUUACCUACGCAUCAAAACCACAACGAUUUUUCGUCAAGUGUGCUAUUUUAACCUUCAACAAGGACUGGGCGUAGUCAAACUCGAUUCAACUAAAGUUGGAGAAAUAGUCACCCACUGGCCACCUGUGUGCGAAGCACGUCGGUAGAACCAGUCUCAUGAACGCGGUCAUGUAAUGUCGGUCUGGGCCGCUUCAUCCAACAAUACCGCCGAAUCAAAGUAAGACGUUGCUAGUAAGCAGUAUGACUAUUAUCACCCACAACUCAUUGUGUUCUACUCGUGCAUAUAACAUCUACGCAUAGACUGAUGCCACUGUUGGGGAACGCAGUAUUUCAAAAAAAUUCCUACGAUCACGCAAGAUCUAUCUAGGAGAUGCAUAGAAACGAGAGGGGAGAGUGUGUCUACAUACCCUCAUAGACCGAAAGCGAAAGUGUUUAUCAACGCGGUUGAUGUAGUCAUACACCUUCACGAUCCGUCCCGAUCAAGUACCGAACAUACGGCACCUCCACGUUCAGCACACGUUCAGCUCGAUGACGUCCUCGCCUUCUUGAUCCAGCAAGAGGGGUGAAGUAGUAGAUGAGUUUCGGUAGCACGACGGCGUGGUGACGGUGUUGGUGAAGAACGAUCUCCGCAGGGCUUCACUUAAGCACUACGAAAACUAUGACGGAGGAUAAACUAGAGGGGACGGGGUUGCCGGCACACGGCUUGGUGUUUCAUGAACUCUCUUGGGUGAUAUCCCUGCCCCUCUAUUUAUAUGUUGAGCCUUGGGGUCGAAACCUGAAGUAAAGCCUCCACAAAGUCAGUUUCACCCGAAAAGCGAGAGUCCUUCUCGGACUCCAGGGCUAGACACAAGGGUUCCCGGCGUCUGGAACCACAUGCCAGGGACCCUAGCAUCUGGCCCCUGGACUCCGCAAAACUUUCUUUUGCGCUUUCCAAAAACCUUGUGGGCUUUCCCUUUUGGCCCAAAUAAAGUGUUCUCGUACCCAAACAUUUCGAGAAACAUCCGGAACCCCUUUCGGAGACCAAACACUAUUAUCCCAUAUAUGGAUCUUUAUCUCCAGACCAUUCCGGAGUUCCUCGUCAUGUCCGUGAUCUCAUCCGGGACUCUGAACAACAUUCGGUCACCAACAUACAUAACUCAUAUAAUACUAUAUCGUCAAUGAACGUUAAGCGUGCGGACCCUACGGGUUCGAGAACUAUGUAGACAUGACCGAGACAUCUCUUUGGUCAAUAACAAAUAGCGAAACCUGGAUGCCCAUAUUGGCUCCUACAUAUUCUACGAAGAUCUUUAUUGGUCGAACCGUUAUGACAACAUAUGUUAUUUCCUUUGUCAUCGGUAUGUUACUUGCCCAAGAUUCGAUCGUCAGUGUCCUCAUACCUAGUUCAAUCUCGUUACCAGCAAGUCUCCUUACUCGUUUUGUAAUGCAUCAUCCUGUAACUAACUCAUUAGUCACAUUUCUUGCAAGGCUCAUAGUGAUGUGCAUUACCGAGAGGGCCUAGAGAUACCUCUCCGAUACACGAAGUGACAAAUCCUAAUCUCGAUCUAUGCCAACUCAACAAACACCAUCGGAGACACCUAUAGAGCAUCUUUAUAAUCACCCAGUUACAUUGUGAUGUUUGAUAGCACACAAGGUGUUCCUCCGGUAUUCAGGAGUUGCAUAAUCUCAUAGUCAGAGGAAUAUGUAUAAGUCAUGAAGAAAGCAAUAGCAAUAAAACUAUACAAUCAUUAUUCUAGCUAAUGGAUGGGUCUUGUCCAUCACAUCAUUCUCUAAUGAUGUGAUCUCAUUCAUCAAAUGACAACACAUGUUUAUGGUUAGGAAAGUUAACCAUCUUUGAUUAACGAGCUAGUCAAGUAGAGGCAUACUAGGGAUACUUCAUUUGUCUAUGUAUUCACACAUGUACUAAGUUUCUGGUUAAUACAAUUGUAGCAUGAAUAAUAAACAUUUAUCAUGAUGUAAGGAAAUAUAAAUAACAACUUUAUUAUUGCCUCUAGGGCAUAUUUCCUUCAGCUUGUAGUUGUCUUUGUCAUCUUUGGCGCUACCAAAGCAGAACAAUUCACACUUGUGAAAAUUGAUCUUUAGACCAGAGAGUUGUUCAAAUAGGCAUAAUACUAGCUUCAUAUUUCUGGCCUUUGCGAGGUCGUGCUCCAUGAAGAUAAUGGUGUCAUCCGCAUAUUGUAGGAUAGAGAUGCCCCCAUCCACCAAAUGGGGAACCAGACCACCUACCAAGCCUUUCUCCUUGGCCCGACCUAUGACAACUAUCAACAUGUCUGCCAUGAAGUUAAACAAAAUCGAAGACAUCGGGUCUCCUUGUCUCAGGCCUUUAUGCAUUUGAAAAUAAUGACCAAUGUCAUCAUUCACCUUUAUCCCGACACUACCUUUCUGGACAAAAGAAUCCACCUGAUUCCUCCAUGUCCCAUUAAAGCCCUUCAUGCGCAUGGCUUGCUACAAAAAUGGCUAUUUAACCUUGUCAUAUGCCUUCUCAAAAUCCACUUUGAAUAUUAUCCCAUCGAGUUUCUUCGAGUGGAUUUCAUGUAAUGUUUCAUGUAAAACAACUACCCCUUCUAGGAUGUGUCUUCCAGGCAUAAAGGCAGUCUGACUUGGUUGCACAACCGAAUGGGCAAUCUGUGUCAGUCUAUUCGUGGCCACUUUCGUAAAGAUCUUGAAACUCACAUUCAAGAGACAUAUGGGCCUGAAUUGCUCAAUGUGAAUUGAUUCCGCUUUCUUUGGCAGAAGUGUAAUCGUGCCGAAAUUUAAAUGGAACAGUUGCAGAUGCCCAUUUGAAAGAUCAUGAAACAUAGGCAUAAGAUCAUCUUUCACGAUAUGCCAACAUUUCUUAUAGAAUUCUGCCGGAAACCCAUCCGGUCCCGGUGCAUUAUUCGGUUUCAUUUGAGCAAUCGCCUCAAAAACCUCCUUCUCAGUAAAAGGUGCAGAAAGAAUCUCAUUUUUCUCUGACCGCAAUUGAGGAAUAUCCUCAACUACAUGCUCAUCUAGGGUCACCGCGUUAUCCACCGGUGGUCCAAACAGUUGCUUGUAGUAGUUGGAUAUAUAUAUAUAUAUAUAUAUAUAUAUAUAUAUAUAUAUAUAUAUAUAUAUAUAUAUAUAUAUAUAUAUAUAUAUAUAUAGCUUCAGAUUCUCAUGACCCACAACUGUUCCCUCAUCUUGCUCAAGCUGGAUAAUCUCCUUUCUCCUAUGCUUGCCAUUAGCAAUGAUAUGAAAGAACUGGUGUUGUCAUCCCCAUGGACGACCUUAAGGACCUUAGCGUGUAAGGCCCAUUUCAUUUCCUCUUCUCUAAGCAAAGCACGCAAUUUCAACUCGGCCUCCGACUUAACUGCCCUCUCUGACUCGUCCAGCAGAUUCGUUUCUGCUCUCAGGUCUAGCGUUUGGAUCAGCUGGAUAAGUCGUUCCUUCUCUUGUUUAUAGAUCCCACUCUCAUUUCUGACCCAACCCCUCAAGAAUUGUCUCAGGUGUCUAAUCUUAUUCUGCCAGUGCUCCAUGUAGGAUCUACCUGCAACAGGUCUAGCCGACUCUCUCACCACCAUCUCUAUAAAAUUCUCUUUUUCGAACCAACUGAGCUCAAAAGAGAAAAUAUUUUUAUUGCCAAUAUGAGUUGCUUCACCCAAAUCAACUAACAAGGGCGUGUGGUCGGAAAUCGCCCUCUACAUCGCGUGCACCGAUACCAGUGGGUAUUUCUGUUCCCAUUCCACACUCGCAAGCACCCUGUCUAGCUUCUCAUAAGUAGGAGUAGGAAGAGUGUUUGCCCAGGUAAAUUGUCUACCCGUGAGUUCUAUCUCCCUAAGAUUAAGGCUCUCAAUGAUCAUAUUGAACAUAAAUGACCACCGUCCAUCAAAAUGAUCAUUGUUUUUUUCUUCCUUCCUCCUAAUGAUGUUAAAAUCACCCCCACUAAUAUUGGCAAUCUCUCAUCCCCACAAAUCCUAACCAGAUCCGCCAAGAAAUCCAGUUUAAAUUUAGGUUGGGCUGCGCCAUAAACCAUCACUAAGGCCCAUCGGAAACCAUCCAAUUUAGACCUAACCCAGAACUGAACCGCAUAAUCUCCUCGUACCACGUUUAGUACCUCAAGAGCUUCGCACUUCACCCCCAAGAGAAUCCCACCAGAUCGUCCUCUUGGCGGUAGGCGGUGCCAAUCAAAAUCAAUGCCACCAGUAAGUGAACCAAGGAAUUGUGAAGUGAAGUUAUCUCUACUAGUUUCAAGAAGUGUGAUGAAAUCUAGUUUAUCUUCGAGUGUUGUUUCAGCCAGGAACCUUUUCUUAGCCAAGUCUGCUAGACCUCUGCUAUUCCAAAAGAUCCCUUUCAUAUUUCAUCAUGAAAGUUUUUUCUUGAGUUUCACUCUCGCACUUCUACGGACCACCGACGUUGGAUAAAUCUUCCUCUUCUAGGAACGUUUAGGUUUAUCUAAUGCCGACACCUCCUCUACACAAUUUAUAGUCUGUUGUACCCCCGCCUGCAAUCACGGGGGGUCAACUGGUUGCACAGACUCCACAUCUUCUGCCUCUCCUUCGGCAUCCAAAGAAGGCAUCAUUCUGUCACAAAAGUUCUCUAGCGUAGAGAUACCCAAGUUAUUAAUAUGAGCAUCCGACAUAGGUUUAACUGCCGCUAAUGCGCGGAUCAACUCAGAAGCUCUCUCGGCCUCUAAGUCUAAAAUAUCAUUAACUAAUUUAGGAAUUUCUUUCCCAUUAGACCCAAGUGAGACUCCUAUGUCAUGUGCCUUACUAAUGAUCUCAUGUUUAGAAAAAUGCAAAAUAGAGCAUUGUUUAUUAACCGACAUACCUGUCUGAGUCUCGACGUCCCUAAGCUUGGAGGCCCUCAUAGCACGUCCAACCUGAAAGUCAUCGGCGUCUGGCUGGUCCUGAACCCGGCUACUGACACGCCUGCCAGACAGCACCAAGUCCGGAUGUCCACCAAACGCGAUCACCUCCUUCGUAGUCCAGACCUGUGGUGACUGGACCGUCUCCAUGAGGCCUUCUGGCCUGGCAAGUACAAGUGAAGGGGAGGAGGGGGCUCUGGCGCCUCCAGAGCCUCCUCCCAUAUCUCCCACCGCCUGCAGACCCGCUCCAGCUAACGUCAGUGAAGACGAUGUUGGAGAAGAACGCGCUGGUGAAUCGGGUGCCACCUGCCCAUAACUCACCCUCACCGGGGAAUCCUCCAGACGCCUUGUCAGCGUCUGAAGUGCGUACACCAGUGUAGGCGCAGGACUCACCUGGGCCUCCUACCCAGUCACGUUUGUCCAGCCCUCGUCAUCCAUCCUCGUCCUCGGGCUGCGCGCUGAACUCCACUGACCAGAGACACCCCCAACUCCGCUAUCGAGGACCCCUCGACAACAAGAGAGGCCAUCAGGACAGGCGGCAACACCUUCUCAUCUGCAUCGCCACUCUCAACCCGAUCACCCCAUAGGCGAGGAGGCACGGAUGACGGCAAUCCCAAAGAUCCAAAUCUUAAAGUGUGCAUGGGUGUAGAAGAUGUCGGUGUCGCACCCUUCUUUGACGCCUAUGGGGUGGACUUUCCACCCAUCAAAUGAGAACCAUCCCGUGAACCACUAUCAUCUUGCUUCUCCUGAUUUCCCAUACCAUCAUCCUUGUCAUACAUGUCAACAUCUCCACCUCCUUGGAGUGCCUCCUGAAACAUCUCAGCAUCAUCUAACUCAAUGUCCAAUUUGUACACCAUGCCCGCAUGUGUCCAUGGGACCACAUCAGGUAUAUGUUCAAUAUCCACAACAUUGACAAGCAGCCUGGCCACCCCGUGAGCACGUGUAAAAGGCAUAUCAACGCGCUUAGUCUUGCCUAUUAGUGUCCCAAGACUGCGACCACCCUGGCAUCAUUGAGAGGCUUAGAAGGUGCCCCCGAAAAGCGAACCCAGACCUGAGAUAAAGGCGUGCCCUUUGGUUCUGUCUGCUUCCAAGCAUCAAGCUCAAGUAUACACUCUGUACCCGGCACACGCGCGCUACCAAACUUAAGGAGUUUCUUCAGCUCUUCCGUUGAAGGAAAAUCAACCUUAUACAGAUUAUCAUCAAGCCUGGUAAGCUCCCAAUGAGAAUUCCCGGGAGCAAGCUCAUUCAACCUCUGCAUGAUCUGCGCCUCAGACAAGUAUCCCUUCAUAACUUUGACCACUCCUGUAGCCAAAUUCUGCAGUGCGUCCGGGAUAGCAGAAGGAGUAGGUGACUCCAAAAACAUCAACUCGGCACAACAUACCCCAUAUAUGGUGACCGCCGGCAUCGGAUGCAGCAACAACGGACACUCACCCGAGUCGUGUAUAGGCUUGAGACACGUAUCACAAAGCUCUGUGUUGCAUUUUGCAAUAAAGUGCCCCUGUUCACUGCAUCGAUAGCACAACAUUUUCUCUUUCUUGUGAGCCCACUUUGCGGACCUUUCACCAUCAGACUUGUCGGAAAGCUUGUCAGAAGCCUGCUCACGUCCUUUGGCCCCAGCUGGCACUGUCGCUGGAACCUUUGUAGUGGCAAGAGCGGUCACCACCGCCAUGGCCUUGCCCGACAAAUCUGUGGUCCAAGCCACCUCCGCCGUCUCCGACGACUGCCCCGCACUCAGUCUCGGCAGUCUGACUUGCGACAGCGAUGGAGGGCAAUGGCGAUAUUGGGAAGGCCGCCUGGCACCGCCCCUGCCGCCACAGAAGCCACGAUAACCUCUGCGAGACCUGUAAUCUGGGCUGGAUGCCCCCUCCACAUAGUUACCCGGAGGCGCAUAGAACGGUCGUUCAUCCGAACCAUCACUUUGCCAGACGUAUCCACGGCCACCGCCAGUCGACGAUGAGCCACGAUGUUGUCCGUCACCGUACGCAUUGACCCCAUCAUCGCCCCAACGGCCUCGGGGAGGGCCGUGACCCCCAUGCGCGACCGUAGCAUACUCUCGGCCCGGUGCUGCCCCAUGACCAGCAGCAGGGUGGGGGCCCUCCAAGGAUCGGCCAUCCCGGGUUGCCUGCCCGCCCGUUGACUGCACCUGUGCAGUCGAGCGCGGCGGUGGUAGCGCCUGAUGCGGCGGCGGCGCCGGCCUGUGCAGCUGCGGCCCGGACAUCGUCCCGCCUCUGUGCUACGCCGGCGCCGGCUUGGGUGGAGGCGGUGCAGCCUUGGCUGGCGGAGGCGCAGUCCUAGUAGGUGGAGGCGUGGUUUUUGGCGGCGACGGAGCAGGCUUGUGCGGCGGCGGCAAACCCCUUCCGUGACCGGCCAUGAUCUCGGAAGUCGAACGAAUGAAUGGUGCAACCCUCGCUGUGUGUCCUUGAGGUAGACUAUGAAACCCCGGCUGUGCGAUUCGGCGUUGCGUAAUCUCCGUACAUGCAUGUGGCUCUCGAUCCAACGCAUCCUCAUGCAGCCGGCCCUGAGCCUGAAUAGCCAUGUCCGGACCCUGGGCCACGCACUGGGCCUCAUACCCAGUGCACCUCGGGCCCAGGACGGACAGCUCUGCUUCCGGCCCACUAAGGCCAAGUGAUACGUCUCCAACAUAUCUUUAAUUUUUGAUUGUUCCAUGCUGUUAUAUUAUCAUUCUUGGAUGUUUUACAAUCAUUUUAUACUCAUUUUAUAUCAUUUUUUGGUACUAACCUAUUGACAUGGUGCCAAGUGCCAGUUGUUAUUUUCUGCAUGUUUUUUACAUCGCAAGAAAUCAAUACCAAACGGAGUCCAAACGCAGUGAAACUUUUUGUGGAUUUUUUUUGGACCAGAAGACAUCCAAUGGGCCGGGGAAGCGCCUGGGGGUGCUCCGAGGGGAGCACAACCCACCAGGGCGCGCCAGGAGGCCCAGGCGCGCCCUGGUGGGUUGUGCCCACCUUGGGUGCCCCCUGAACCGACUCUUUGCUCUAUAAAUACCCCAAUAUUCCAGAAACCCUAGGAGAGUCAACGAAAAUCUAUUCCAGCCGCUGCAGAGUCCAGAACCACUAGAUGAAUCUAGACACCAUCACGGAGGGGUGCAUCAUGUCCAUUGGUGCGUCUCCGAUGAUGCGUGAGUAGUUCUUUGGAGACCUACGGGUCCGUAGUUAGUAGCUACAUCGCUUCCUCUCUCUCGUUUGAUUCUCAAUACAAUGGUCUCUUGGAGAUCCAUAUGACGUACCUCUUUUUACGGUGUGUUUGUUGGGAUCCGAUGAACUUUGAGUUUAUGAUCAGAUCUAUCUUUUUAUCCAUGAAAGUUAUUUGAGUCUUCUAUGAAUCUCUUAUACGCAUGAUUGCUUAUAGCCUCGUAUUUCUUCUCCAAUAUUUGGGUUUUUUUUGGCCAACUUGAUCUAUUUAUCUUGCAAUGGGAAGAGGUGCUUUGUAGUGGGUUCGAUCUUACAGUGCUUGACCCUAGUGACAGAAGGGGAACUGACACAUAUGUAUCAUUGCUACUAAGGAUAAAACAAUGGGGUCUAUUUCUACAUAAAUAGAUCUUGUCUACAUCAUGUCAUCGUUCUUAUUGCAUUACUUCGUUUCUCCAUGAACUUAAUACACUAGAUGCAUGCUGGAUAGCGGAUGAUGUGUGGAGUAAUAGUAGUAGAUGCAGGCAGGAGUCGGUCUACUAAUCUUGGACGUGGUGCCUAUACAAUGAUCAUUGCCUGGAUAUCGUCAUGAUUAUUUGAAGUUCUAUCAAUUGCCCAAAAUUAAUUUGUUCACCCACCGCUAGUGAAACAUACGGCCCCCGGGUCUCUUUCUCAUAUUAUUUGCCUUUGCGAUCUAUUUUAUUUGCCUUUUAUUUUCAGAUCUAUUAAACCAAAAAUACAAACAUACCUUGCUGCAAUUUGUUUUAUUUGGCAUUCGAUCUAUCAAUAUUUACAACUCUCUCACGUCCGUUUGCCAAUUUCUCGCGUCGCUACCCGAAAGGGAUUGACAACCCCUUUUACACGUCGGGUUGCGAGUAUUUGUUAUUUGUGUGCAGGUGAUGUUCACGUAGUGUUGCUUGGUUCUCCUACUGGUUCGAUAACCUUGGUCUCAUCAUUGAGGGAAAUACCUACCCGUCGUUGUGCUGCAUCAUCCCUUCAUCUUUCUGGAAAUACCGACGUAGUUCUAGCAGGCAGCAAAAGGAAUUUCUGGCGCUGUUGCCGGGGAGGAUCUUCAACAUUACCAAGUUCCUAAUCAAAAAUCUCAUCUCCUCGCAAUUUACAUUAUUUGCCAUUUGCCUCUCGUUUUCCUCUCCCCCACUUCACAAAAUAUUUUCCGUUUUAUUCGCCCUCUUUUUCGUUCGCCAUUUUCUCGUCAGAUCUAUCCUUUGCUUGCAACCAUGAGUGAUUUCGGUAUGGCACCAACAGAUGAUGGCCUAACUCCUAAGAUUGGAUGUACUGGCAAUGUAGAUGCUAAAAAUUUUAUCACGGGGCAAGGGAAUGUUAUGGGAAAAGAACGUAUCCAAGAAUUUUUCAAUUGUGUGGGAAAUCUAAGUCUUGAUGAUGCUCCUAUACUUAGAACUACUAGAUCUUAUGCGGAUGCUAUAUCAGCAUUAGUUUUCAAACUUGAAAGCAAAUUUAUCCAUACCCAUCCUACUUUGCAAAGAUUGUUUUUUGAGCUUCCCGUUAUAAAGAACCCUAAAGCUAAAAAGUUGGCCACUCUCAUUCUUAUGAAUGAAUUUGACUACAUAAUACGGGAAGCUAGGGAAAUCCUUGAUUUUUAUGGUAUGAAUCGUGAAAAGCCCGUGAUAGAUGAAAUUAUUUACAAUAAUGAUUAUGCGUUAAGACAUUUACUUGGGGAUAAUAAAAUCUUUGAUGAGAAUCUUAAGAAGGAAGUCCCCAUUUUAGACAUAAUCCAACAAGUUUUCAAUAAUGUUAAUCAACAUUACUCUUGGAUUGUUGCCGGAAAUCAAAGGGGUUAUGAUAAUGAAAACUCAGUAAUGCUAAGGUUUCUAUGGAUAAUAUGUUUUAUGUUGUUUUUACAAAACCUCAUGACGAAAACACCUCUAAAGAAAUUAAGAAGACAGAGGACAAAACUUAGAUCCUUGCUUUAUGCCUAGCUAAGGGUGUAAAACGAUAGCGCUUGUUGGGAGGCAACCCAAUGAAUAAAAUUUAUUUUUGCUUUUUGCUUUCUGUUCUUGAGUGUUUGCACAAUUAUGCUACUGUUAUGAUUGUGUUUUUUGUGUUUUAAUUAGUGUUUGUGCCGAGCAAAGCCUUUAGAAACUUCUUGGGUAAUAGUUGUUUCAUCUUGCUGAAAAACACAAACUUAUGCACACAUGAAAAUAGUUUUCAUAAAUCACAGAAACGUCAUUUUUCCCUGAUUCUUUUUGAAGAAGAUUAAUAUACAAAUUUCUCAGGUUUUCCUAAUUUCUAAAGAUUUUUGGAGUUUCAUAAGUAUUGAAAAUAUUCAGAUUGCUACAGACUGUUCUGUUUUUGACAGAUUCUGUUUUCUUUGCGUUGUGUGCUUGUUUUGAUGAUUCUAUGGUUUUCUUUAAUGAGUUUUUGUGAUAGAAAAGUUGGAAUACAGAAGAUAUAAUGCAAGGGUAAAAUAUUAAUUGGUUUUCUACAAUACUUAUAGUAGUGAUUUGCUUUAUUAUACUAACGGAUCUCACGAAGGUUUUGUUGAGUUUUGUGUGAUUGAAGUUUUCAAGUUCUGGGUUAUCUUACGAUGGAUGAAGGAAUAAGGAUUAAGAAGAGACUAAGCUUGGGGAUGCCCACGGAACCCCAAGUUAUUAUCCAAAAAGAAGCAAGCAACUAAGCUUGGGGAUGCCCCGAGUGGCAUCCCCUCUUUCUUCUAACGACCAUCGGUAUUUUACUCGAAGCUAUAUUUUUAUUCGUCACAUACUAUGAGUUUUGCUUGAAGCGUCUUGUUUAUAUGAGUCUUUGCUUGUUUUUCUUUGUGUUCUAAGUCAUGAUUCCUUGCUGGACACACCUAUUUGAGAGAUCCAAAAUUAUGCCAUGACUUGUUAGAAUUGCUCUCUAUGCUUCACUUAAAUUUUGUGAGCUAUGGUUUUGCUCUAGUGCUUCACUUAUAUCUUUUUGAGCACGGUGUGCUUUAGUGUUUUUGAAGAAAUGCUCUCUUGCUGCGCUUAGAUUUGUUUGGGAGUUGGUAAAGUUUUCAAGAAAUUCUCUCUUGCUUCACUUAAAUUAUUUUGAGAUAAAGAAAUAUUAUGCUCAUGAUCUUCACUUAUAUUUGUUUGAGCUUAGCAAACGCAACACAUGAAAAUUAGUCCCAAAGUGAUAGAUAUCCAAGAAGGAUAUAAUAAAAACUUUCAUGAAGAUCAUUGGACAAAAUAAACUUGAUUCCUUGUAACAGUUUUGAGACAUGAUGAUGUGAUAUGUGAGUCAUGUUGACGAGUAAUUAUGCUUUAGUAAGAAUAUUGGUGUUAAGGUUUGUGAUUCCCUAUGCAAGCACGAAAGUCAAUAGUCAUGCAAUGAAAUUACAUCCUACUUGUGGUGCAUUAUUUGGUGUUAAUUAUGCUUAAUGCUUGCUUAUGAGAUUAUUCGUUUCUUGGUUGGUCGCUCCUCAAUCUUUUGCUAGCCUUCAUUUUGCACUAAGUAUGAUCACUACUUGUGCAUCCAAAAUCCUUUAAACCAGUUUUGCCACAUGAGUCCACUAUACCUACCUAUAUGCGGUAUUCUUUUGCCGUUCUAAGCAAAUUUGUAUGUGCCAGCUCUAAUUUUCAAAAUAAAUUUCUCUUUUGUGUGCUCGUACCGCUCACGAGGCGGUGAGGGGUGGCUAAUAUUUUCCAUGCUAGAUGUGUUAUUCUCACGAUGAGUGUUUAUUCACUUAUCCUUGCACGAGAGUAAGGCAAAGGUAUUAGGGAUACCCAGUCUCGAAAUAAAAAAUGAAUUUACUUUAUGUUGUCAAAUAAUAAAUUCCUUGGAAAGUGUUGGUAUGGAGGGCAAUCGUGGAUUCGGCUAGCCAUGGAAAGUGAAAGUAUGGUGGAAAAGGGAAUAAACUUUAUUUCCUGUUUGGGAACCUCCUAUGAUAUAUCUAGCAUGGAAAGUGUUGAGAGCUCUAAGUCAUUUUCGUUGGUGGGAAAAGUAUGUCUAUCAAAAUGUUUUUAUCUCUCAAUUUUCGCUUUGAGCUCUGCCACCUCUACAAAUCCCUACUUCCCUCUGGGAAGGGCCUUUCUUUUACUUUAUGCAAUUUUUAUUUUGAAUUUGAGUCUCCAUCUUCUCUUAUAAAGCACCAACUAGGAGGCACUAUGAUCAUACUUGAGCACUGGGUGUAGCUAAUAUGCGAGUGUGUUAUGAAUGGAUCAAUGAUUGAGCAUAAUGGGCUACGCAUAACUUAUUUUAGCGUUGAUAUUCUGAAAGACAUGGUUGCUUGUUGAUAUGCUUGAGUAUUUAAAUCUCAUGUCAAAACUAGACUAUUGCUUUGAACCAUAUAAAAGUCCAAAUGUCCAUAAUAUAAAAAAAGAAUAUGUGAUGAAUAUGUUAGGCAGCAUUCCACAUCAAAAAUUCUGUUUUUAUAAAUUACCUACUCGAGGACGAGCAGGAAUUAAGCUUGGGGAUGCUGAUACGUCUCUAAUGUAUCUAUAAUUUAUGAUUAUUUCAUGUUGUUAUAUUAUCAUUCUUGGAUGUUUUACAAUCAUUUUAUAGUCAUUUUAUAUCAUUUUUUGGUACUAACCUAUUGACAUAGUGCCAAGUGCCAGUUGUUGUUUUCUGCAUGUUUUUUACAUCAUAGUAAAUCAAUACCAAACGGAGUCCAAACGCCGCGAAACUGCUACUAAGGAUAAAACGAUGGGGUAUAUUUCUACAUAAAUAGAUCUUGUCUACAUCAUGUCAUCGUUCUUAUUGUAUUACUCCGUUUCUCCAUGAACUUAAUACACUAGAUGCAUGCUGGAUAGCGAUCAGUGUGUGGAGUAAUAGUAGUAGAUGCAGGCAUGAGUUGGUCUACUAAUCUUGGAUGUGAUGCCUAUAUAAUGAUCAUUGCCUGGAUAUCGUCAUGAUUAUUUGAAGUUCUAUCAAUUGCUCAACAGUAAUUUGUUCACCCAUCGAUUGCUAUUUUUCUUGAGAGAAGCCACUAGUGAAACCUACGGCCCCCGGGACUCUUUCUCAUAUUAUUUGCCUUUGCGAUCUAUUUUAUUUGCCUUUUAUUUUCAGAUCCAUUAAACCAAAAAUACAAAAAUACCUUGCUACAAUUUAUUUAUUUGGCGUUCGAUCUAUCAAUAUUUACAAUUCUCUCACGUCCGUUUGCCAAUUUCUGGCGCCGCUACCCGAAAGGGAUUGACAACCCAUUUUACAUGUCGAGUUGCGAGUAUUUGUUAUUUAUGUGCAGGUGUUGUUUACGUAGUGUUGCUUGGUUUUCCUACUGAUUCGAUAACCUUGGUCUCAUCACUAAGGGAAAUACCUACCAUCGUUGUGCUGUAUCAUCCCUUCCUCUUUGGAGAAAUACCGACGUAGUUCUAGCAGGCAUCACCAAGCAGCAGGUUCAAAUGCUCCCGACGCGUUGCUCAGAUCUCGCCUGGGCCGACGGCCGACGGCGGCGGAUGAACCACUGCCGGAGAAACUUUCUUGUUCUUCUUACGAGUAAUUUUCGUCCAACCGUCUGAUGAAAAAAAUCUGAUAACGUGAUUUGUGGCAGAUUCACCUUUGGAAGGGGACCUUUCCAAGGUUUGAUCUUCAUCGUCGAGGAUUUGCAGAGAGCCACAGGUCGUGGUUAUGCGAUCUUCUUGUCUUUGUGCCCCUCACGAGGCAUGAGUUUCAUGAGUGAUUCAGCGAUUGGUGUUGUGUACUUUGACAGCUCCUUGGGUGACUCUUGGCCCGUGGCUCCAGGUGAUCUUUGCUCUGCAAUGCCAUCUUCUUCAUCUUCAUCAUCUGCCAGGAUCCAAAACCUUCCUCCGAUCUUCGGCUUCGGUAUUGGGCCUCCCGGUUCCGAUGUUAGAUCGAUGACCUCUAUCUGAUCCUCCCCGUCCAAAGCCUCCUGCAAGCAAUCUAAAACAAGGAUUUCGAAAACAUCGAUAUUCAAAUGCGUACAUGCGUGGAUCUGCUCGUCAACGCCCAAGUACCAUCCGGCAAGGAUAUCAUGAUCCUGAUCUCGCACCGUUGUCCAUCGCGACAAUGAGUGCUCGUAUAGAAAUCCAUCCCUCCAUGUCCCGGCCAUCCGGCCAUCCUCGAAGUGGAUGCGCCAUCUGACCAGAUCCAAAUGCCCCUCGGUUCGAUCCUGAUCCAACUCGGAAUUGGAUCCGCGAGAGUCCUCUGAAGACGGCGCCUGAUUUGACCGCGCGGACACUGGCUCUGGCGGUGGCGGUGGUUCCGGUGCGGCCCCUGGCGUCGGCAGUGGCGGUGGUUCCGGUGGAGGCGGCAAGGUCGCCACCCCCUCCCCCACCCUCACGCGAGGCCAUUCCUAAUGGAAUUGCAAAGAUGCAAGCACUGGUGGUGGAAGACGUCAUGGCCAUCUUUGGAAAGGCACUGGAGAGGAUUGACGACGUUGAGAAGACAAUUGACACCAAGUUGGACGCCAAGUUCGAUGAAGUACUCGUGUGUCUUCCACAACCACCACCUGCAUCUGCUACUGAGGAUGGUGGGUAUGAGUCCGCUAGUGACUAUGAUGAGGAGACUUUGGCUCUUAUUACAAGUGAACAACACAGUGGAGAUGAUUCUGAUAAUGAGACGCAAUACAUGGCUGUUGAAGAUGCUGACAAGUAUGAAAGUUUAGUUGCUCAACAUGUUUUGAGUGUGCAGGUCACACAAGCUGAGCAAAAUCAGAGGCAUAAUUUGUUCCAUACAAAGGGAGUUGUGAAGGAAUGUUCUGUCCGUGUCAUCAACUUGGCUAGCAUGGAGAUGGUGGAGAAGCUCUCUCUCAUCACAAGACGACAUCCGCAUCCUUACUACAUCCAAUGGUUCAAUAACAGCGGCAAGGUUAAGGUAACAGGUGCCGAUUGUGUGCAUUUUAGUAUCGCUACAUAUGCUGAUUUUGUUGAUUGUGAUGUGGUACCCAUGCAAGCAUGUUCCUUAUUACUUGGUAGACCAUGGCAAUUUGAUAAAAAAAAUUGUACACCAUGGUAGAAACAAUCACUAUACUCUUGUUCAUAAGGAUAAACAUAUUACUUUGCUUCCUAUGACUCCUGAUUCCAUUUUGAAAGAUGGUAUUAAUAGAGCUAGUAAAGCAAAACAGGAGCAAAAUAAGAGUGAAAAUUAGCUAGUGGCAAAAGAAUUUGAGCAACAAAUGAAACCUAAUAAUAAACCAUAUAGUGUUGCUUCUGAAAUUAUAUUGAAAAGUGGAUGUUUACUUGCCACCAAAUCUGAUAUUGAUGAUCUAGAUUGUAGCAAAUCUGUUUGUUAUGCUUUUGUGUGCAAAGAGGCAUUAUUUUCAUUCGAGGACGUGCCUUCCUCUUUGCCUCCUGCUGUCACUAACAUUUUGUAGGAGUUUGCUGAUGUCUUUCCACAAGACGUGCCACCGGGAUUACCACCUAUUCGAGGGAUUGAGCAUCAGAUUGACUUAAUUCUCAGUGCAUCACUAACCAACUGUGCACCAUACCAUACAAAUCCAGAGGAAACGAAGGAGAUUGUGCGUCAAGUACAGGAGCUGCUCGACAAAAGUUAUAUACGCGAAUCUCUUAGUCCCCGUGUUGUUCCUAUUAUACUAGUGCCAAAAAAGGAUGGCACGUCGCGUAUGUGUGUUAAUUGUCGAGGCAUUAAUAAUAUUAUUAUUCAUUAUCGUCAUCCUAUUCCUAGGCUAGAUGAUAUGCUUGAUGAAUUGAGUGGCUCUACAAUAUUCUCCAAAGUUGAUUUGCGUAGUGGAUACCAUCAAAUUCGUAUGAAAUUAGGAGAUGAAUGGAAAACAGCAUUUAAAACUAAGUUUGGAUUAUAUGAGUGGUUAGUCAUGCCUUUUGGGUUAACUAAUGCACCUAGUACUUUCAUGAGAUUAAUGAAUGAAGUUCUACGUGCUUUCAUUGGACGAUUUGUGGUAGUCUAUUUUGAUGAUAUACUGAUUUAUAGCAGAUUUUUGGAGGAACAUUUGAAACAUUUACAUGUUGUUUUUAUUGCUCUACGUGAUGCACGUUUGUUUGGUAACCUUGGGAAGUGCGCCUUUUGCACCGACCGAGUAUCUUUUCUUGGCUAUGUUGUUACUCCACGGGGAAUUGAAGUUGAUAAAGCCAAGAUUGAAGCUAUUGAGAGUUGGCCGCAGGCCAAAAGGGUCACACAAGUGAGGAGUUUUCUUGGCCUCGAUGGAUUCUACAUGCGUUUUGUGAGAGAUUUCAGCACCAUUGCUGCACCUCUUAAUGAGCUUACAAAGAAGGAUGUGUCUUUUAUUUGGGGUACCGCAUAGGAAGAAGCCUUCACGGUAUUGAAAGAUAAGUUGACACAUGCUCCUUUACUCUUGGAGAUUGCUUAGAAAGGCCUUGCCUACGGGUUUGCGAGCUGGUCGUUUUUUCAUUCAUAUUUCUAGGGUCAAAACUUCCGCUUGGAGAUUGCUUAGAAAGGCCUUGCCUACGGGUUUGCGAGCUGGUCGUUUUUCCAUUCAUAUUUCUAAAGAUUGUUGUCGUUGUGGCCAGCAAGAGGAUUAGUUCCAUCUAUUUUUUUUGUGCAACUUCUCCCGUGUGGCUUGGUUUUCCUCUCCUUGGUUCCUUCGAUCCGAUGCUUUAAUUCAGGGCCAUUCCACUAUGCAUUAUGUUCUUUUUGACUUGCUUCGUAUGGGACAUCUCAUGGUUCUAUCUCUAGUGUUUUAAAUUUUUUGUGGUGUCUCUGGAAGGCUAGAAAUGAUUUUCUCUUUGAUAGAAAAGAGGCUCUCCCCCACCAAGUUCAUAUUGCAGCUCUUGCUUUAGCUUCUGAUUCUUAUGAUAAUCUUUCAUGUUUACCUUCGAAGCAAGAACAAGCCCAUAAUCAAUUGCCUCCUAAUCAGCUCCCUAUGCAAGGUAGAACGCUUACGACAGAUCUGUUAAUUGUUGGCCCUAAGAUCUAUUCUGAUGCUACUUUUAGGACCAAGAAAGUUCUAGGUUUGUUGCAAGGAGAGGUUGCUACAGGUGUGGGAGUGUAAAUCUAUAUGCCCUUCAACCAAAAGGAAAUUAAUGUGCAAGUUCAAGCUUCGGCUUCUCCUACUUCUACUCCUCUGCAAGCUGAAGCAUUGGCUCUUUCUUUUGCUGCUCAUCUUGCUUCUCAACUCAAUAUUGCGCAGCCCAUUUUUCUUUUGGAUUGUCUUGCUUUAGCUUUGGUUGUUGCCUCAGGUAAUAUUUGUGAUUCUACCACCCCUUGGAAUAUUAGAAAGUCUUUGGCUAGCUUUUUCAAAUGCACAUCUAAUCUGCAUCCGUGUGUGUUUCAUAUUUCUAGAGAAAUCGGUAUUGCUCAUAAUCUUGCGCAACAGGUUUUUCUUUCUGAUGGGCACACUCAACUCUCUUGUUUUGCUUCUACUCAUUCUCAAGUUUCUUGUCAUGUGCUGCCCCUUCUUUCAAAUUUUCAGAUUCAGGAUUUUAGAAUUCAUACUAUACAUUGCUACUAACAGUCUUGUUGUGCAUGGAUCUUCUGCUUCUCUUCACAGUGUUGUUGUGCUGGCUUCUAUACUCUCUCUCUCUCUCUCUCUCUCUCUCUCUCUCCCUCCCUCCCUCCCUCCCUCCCUCCCUCCCUCCCUCUCUCUGGAUGCGCCUUUGCCAGAUUAAGGAUGGUCUUCUUCAACCUGCUAGUUCACAGGAGAAGGAAGCAUCUUUCAUGUUGUGCAUUUUGCAGAGUUUGCCAAGCUGGGGCAGUUGACGUCUUAAGCUCUGCAGGAUUAAAUUUAGAGGCUUGUAUUACACCUGCCUUGGGGUGCUUCAGUACACUUUCAAGUCAUCUUCGUUUGCACACUCGUUGGUUUAGGCUAUCUAUUGCCUGCUUUUCUGUUCUUCUGAUCAUGUUGUUCAUCAGUUGGGGUUUUUUCCCUCCCUGUCUUCGAGGAUAGUUCUUCAACUCACAGCCUUAGAUUCUGCUUCUCUUUCUUUUAAUUUCUUGGCAGGUCUAUGUAAUGCUUGAUGUACUCUGUCAAUAUUGACACCUGUUGGUGCCUUCUCUUGUUCAAAAAAGAAAACAGCCUUAGAAGUACUUCAAUCCGGUUUCUAUUGGCCAACUUUUUAAAAUGCUUUGUCACUUAAUUACAAUUCUGGUUUUUAGGCAAAAGUUCCAAUUUUGCUGUUAAUAAAUAUAGGAUUAGCAAGAUCUAGUCAAGUUCAUCUCAGGACAUUAGUAUAAGGUGUUUGUCUAUGGAUCACCGAAGUCCAUAGUGGAGGCCCCAAUUGGUCAAAUUGGUCACAUCCAUGGAACGGAGCAAAUAUUUAUAAGUUGCAAUUUCUUGCAUCUCCAAAAAAGAUGUAGUUCCGUGUGAAAUUUAUUGUACAACAUGUUUGCAUACAUGAUAUAGUACAACAAAUUUCAUCACAGCACCAUAACUGGCACUGAACUAAUAAGAAUGCUUUGGACAACUGCAGAGUUCCACAAGUUGACAAGCAAAAUACAAGAUACCAGUAUCGCAGCAUAUAGUACAAAUGAAACAUCCUAUAAGUUUAUGACACGACAAAAAUCUGGAUUGACAAUGGAAACUACUUUCCUGUUUAGAUUUUAUGCACCUGAUGCAUAGUUACUUGUUAAUGUUACAAAUGACCAACUCACAUCCAUGUUUUGAGACCCCUCCCCACCUACCAAAAUGUACCAAGAAUCGCAACAAACGCCAUACCAAACUGAACAGAAAUCAGAACCAGGAAGUUACAAACGAUGAUCAAAGUUAAUGAUGGCAUUGCUUGCUCGCACACCCACAGAUUAACAAGGAAAAUGGCAGCCAAACAUCAACAGUUCAGCUCCAAAAUUCGAGCACAGCAAUUGAAUAAACUGGCAUCCCCCCUAAAGCAACAAUCAGAACACAAUGAGAAAAAGGUAGACCACAGAAGUUUCCCCACUUUAGCUUUGAGACUGUUGAGGUUGUUGCCUUGUCAAUAUGCAGGAGGCCCUCACAUCAACUUCCACAUUCUUCCUGGCAAGCAAAAAUGUUUGCACAACUGGACAACUGAUAAUAUCAAAUCAGACCUGCACAGUAAAACUCAUAAGUAGUCUUUGGUGUUACUGAAACUGCUUCGAGCCUGCAAUGACCUCCGCAGGCUAGCCAAAACCUUUACACUUCUUCAACUUCCCAACCAAUUUCAUCCAUAUCCAACCAAUUAGGAGUGUGAGGCCUGUUAAUGGGAAAGACAGUUCUAGAACAGUUCAGCAAAGGAAGUAGCUGUAAACAUAUCAUGAUUUGUUUUAUUUUCUCAUCAAAUCAUCAUUCCAUCAUAUCAACAGAGCCAAAUUACCAGGUCACAUACAUCUUGAAAAUAGAUGAAAAAUAAAAAUAAACUUGUGGUACAUCAGAACAUACUCCGAAUACAUGACACUUUGACUUCAUGAAAAAUCUACUAAUUUCAAUGAUAUGACAGUAAUUCUUUCUAUAUUGAUGGUCAAACCUGAAAAGUUUUGACUGCCACAAAUUCUAGAACUAUAACUAAUAUGAAUGGCCAGAGUAAUUGUUUGAUUGGACGAAACUCACCAAUCGUACUGGCUACUAUAGUUUAUACAAGCUUUAACUUGAUAAACAUCGAAGGCGGCAAAGACGCGGGAAGCAAAAAUGCUCUGAAAAAACCAUUGCAUCUGCACCGAUGACCAGCUUAUACGAGAGAUAAAACGGAACCAUGUGUUGGCUCAAGGGGGUGGAGGGUUAUGAAAUAUGAGGACAUGCCGCUGGCACCAGAUUCAAAAUUCUCUGCAUGACGGGGGAAAAUUGCAUAUACUUGACAGCAGUUUUUGCUUAAACCACUCAAGCACAAUUCAGUUUUUACUGCUGAUCAACCCACACUGGCCAUAUUAAAUUUCAGAUACGGAAC
This 100936-nucleotide long non-coding RNA is filed under the name Triticum aestivum (bread wheat). RNAcentral describes it as "long non-coding RNA (TAES_LNC004645)". The record is from RNAcentral. Lineage: Eukaryota; Viridiplantae; Streptophyta; Magnoliopsida; Poales; Poaceae.